RNAcentral lists this long non-coding RNA (160376 nucleotides) under Cucumis sativus (cucumber). RNAcentral's name for it is "long non-coding RNA (CSAT_LNC000072)". The stretch from base 146198 to 146269 matches the Rfam family "tRNA". The record is from RNAcentral. Lineage: Eukaryota; Viridiplantae; Streptophyta; Magnoliopsida; Cucurbitales; Cucurbitaceae.
UUUUUUUUUUUAGUAUGAACGAAUAAAUGACAGAAAACCCUCCCGUCCCACCUAUACCAUGAAUGUAAAAGUUCAAAUUAAUGUCUCAAAUUUUCUCCACAGAAAACAAACUAAGGAAGAGCUGAAAGAUUGAUUUUGAUUUUUUCUUUUUAGGUCUGAUUAAAUUAAUCAUGGCAACCUUUUCCCAGUUAUCCUUAUCACUGGAAUAAUAAACCAAGUUUUCCAAGUAUAGUGUCAGAACAUCUUGAGAACCAGGGCCAUCCCCAGUGAGAAGAAAAUAACGAGAUAAGAUUAUUUUUGACACCCUAUACAGUCACAGGGUUCGGGUCAAUAGACAUACUUCUCCAUCCAACGAGGAAAACGAGGCCCUCGAAACGUUGGUCUGAGCUCCCAGCCAUUAACACCUUCGAGUACAGAACCUUUCCCUGGUAGAAGAGUCAGCAGAAGCGCAGAUAAUCCGUUGAUCAACCUCACAACAUUAUUCAAAGACUCAUACGUAAAUGUCUUCACGGACCUGCACUAAAAAGAUAUACACGAAGGAAAGAAGUUACUUCUACAAUGAGAUAAGCUCAACUAGUAAGAAAUCCAAUCUUAUGAGGAAAUCAAUUUAAACAUACGAAAAGAAAUUCUAAGACGCAAGUUAAAAAAAGCACCUACAAAUUAAAAAUUGCAACAAGAAAAACAAAAGAAAGCUUAAGCAAUAAAAACAGCAACCAUUUCUUCAUUGAAACAAAAAUACAGAGAGAGAUGGCAAAUAACUAAAUUAGAUAAAAGGAAAAAGAAAACCAACUCGAUACAAUAAAAACCAAAAAAAUUCCUCAAGUGAAACAGCACCGAUUUCAAUAAACUAUUCCAACAUUCAAAAGAGGCAAGGCAUUCAUAUCGAAAUCCAACUCCAGUUCUAUUGUACGUGACUUAUAACUUGCACUAAUUAAUUUUCCAGAUUUUCCUUCCUCUCGCAUAAUAAUGAGAUGAGAGAUACGGUUGUUUUAGAAAUUUAGACAAAUCUUCCACCGCGAAAUCAGCUUUGAGAAAACAUAUCAUGAACCGCCAAAAACAAAAAAAAACAAAAAAAAUUCCCGCAAAAAACAAUAAAAUCGAAUCCGAAAACAAAAUCGAUCAAAAACUGGAAAAGGGAAGAAAGAUGAGAACUCACUCUUUGGUAACAGCAAGCACAUCGUCAACAACUCGUUGAAUCAUUUAUUAAGGUACUUCAAUCUCUUUCCGAUCCGAAAAAAAUUACGGAAUCGGAAAAAGAGAGAGAUUAAACGAAAUCCAAACCUAAUUAGAGGCGGAAAUUGAGGCAAGGAAUCGGAGAAAGAAGCGGAAAACCUGAAGAAGAAAAUAAGGAAAUAGCAAAGAGGACAAACCAAAGGGAGAAUUGAAUAUACUGAAAGAGAAACAACGGCGAUUCUUGACGUAAAAUGGAAGUCGGUUAUUUGUUUGCUUUAGGCCGGUGGUGACUGUGUCAGUCAGGUAAUGCCUCGCGCGUGAGCUUUCUCAUAAGGGAAAACAAGCAACGUGUCCCACCCGUUUCGGAUUUGAAUUACACGUAGUUAUGACGUGGAUUACCUCCCUUCACUUUUUGACACACGUGCUUGCGGCUUAAUCUUGACCGUCUAUUCUGGUGGUCUCACUACGCAUUUGUAAGGCGCAGAUGCGGUCGGUUGGGCCGACUUGGACGACCCGUUCCUGCCUGAAAGUACUUGAAAAUGGGAUGCUCACAUUAAAAUUCAUUAAUAAUGAAAGGGGAAAUUUUUAAAACCACGAAACUCGUGAAAAUAUAUUCGGUACUAUAAAUUAAAUUAUUAUUUAGGUCUAAUGAAUAGAUCCGUGUUCACAUUUAGCUCACUUAGAAUAAAUUAAUUGGGAGAUGUUAAUUAAAUAUAAAGUUUUUUCAUGCAUUUGGCAUGUUAGGUUUUAUAAAAUGUUUUUAAAUAUUUUUCAAAAAACUUUUGAUAAUUUUUUAAAUUAUUCAAUUUAAUUUCACAAAAAGUUUCACAUCUCUCGUAUGUAAAGGUUGGUGGUUCUUCUUCCUUCCUUUUCCAUCACAUCUUUCUCAAUUUCUUCUUUUUAUUAUUGGGUCCCACCAUCCUACUCCUUACGAAGAUGGAAAAGGUUUGCUAAUUUCGUUUAAUUAGGAAAUUUGCGACAAUAAUAAACUUUUAUUAUUAUUUAGCGUACUAUUUACUAUUUUCUUCUUAAACUAAAACAAUUUAGUUUCCAAACAUAUACUAUCGUAACAAAAACUAAAAUAAUCUAUAAUUAAACACAAACGGUUACAAUCCAACGAUAAAAUAACUCAUUGUUUGCCUGUAUGUCUUCUUAGUUUAAGCAAAAAAAUAGUAAACACUAUAACAAAUAAUUAAAAUAUGACAAAUGUAAAACAGUAAAACUAUCACAAGGAUUGUAUCUGAUAAGAGUUUUGAAAUACCGUUGAUAGUAACAAUUUAAAAUGACGUUUAAACUAUAUCUUAUAUAAAAGAAUUCAUAGUAAACGUUUAUAAAUUUUUAUUAAUGACUAAUGAGCGAUAGAAGUUUAUCGACUGUAUCUAUUAUUUACAAAAUUUAAAUUUUGUUAUAUUUUAUAAAUAUUUUAGUUGCUAUAAUAUAUUUGAAAAUUUCUCUAGACUAAUGUAUAAUACGUGAAAAUGUUAAAGAAUAUUGUUAAGUUAAACUUCAUACUACAUUCCCAAAUUUUUUAUCUUUUAAUGUUAAAAUUUGUGAAUUAGAUCAAGAAAAUUGUUAAAUUUCAAUGAGAUUAAAGAAAAACAACAUUAGGCAUUGACAUUAUUUUUAGAAUCAAUUUGAACAUAUAGUAGGAUUAAUUAAUGAUAAUUUUAUGAUAUUAGUGUUUAAUUUACGAAACUGUUGAGAAAAGGAUGUAAUUAAUUUUUGUAUAGAGUCGUAGUUGACUAAUUAUUCAUUGAUUUAUUUGUCUUCAGAACUAAUUGUAAUGUUUUUAAAUAUUAAUUACAAUUUUGGUUUAAUAAAUUAAAACAUUUUUAGUAUUGAAGAAAGAAGCAACAUUAAGUUCGAUCAUAGGAAUGGACCAAAUAAUUUUUAAUAUAAAGUGUACAUUUUUUUCAAAAUAGGUUCUUAAUGAGGCUUAGAGAAUUUAAAAUAUUCGUAUGGUCUAAAAUAAUUCGAAAAAAUAUAUAAGAUAUAGUUUAAACGUCGUUUUAAAUUAGUUACUGUCAAUAGUAUUUCAAAACUUUCAUCGGAUACAAUCCUUGUGAUAGUUUUACUGUUUUACAUUUGUCAUAUUUUAAUUAUUUAUUAUAGUGUUUACUAUUUUUUGCUCAAACUAAGAAGACAUACAGACAAACGAUGAGUUAUUUUACCGUUGGAUUAUUAUAAUUGGGUUGUAACAGUUUGUGUUUAAUUAUAGAUUAUUUUAGUUUUUGUUACCAUAGUAUAUGUUUAGGAACUAAAUUCUUUUAGUUUAAGAAGAAAAUAGUAAAUACUACAUUAAAUAAUAAUAAAAAAUAGUAAAUACCAGCAAAUGAAUAUUUUGAAAUAAUGUUAACUACAUUUAAUUGAAAACUUUUAAAUAGUAUUUACCGUAACUAAAUGUAGUUAUUGUAGUCUCGUAUAAUUCUUGCCUCACACACACAUUUUAAAUUAUUUACUUUUAAAACGCAUACUAUUAUAAGUCAAACUAAAAUAUUUCAUCCUCCAAACAAUAAUAAUAAUAACCAACUUUUUGUACCAAAUACUGGAAAGAAUCUAACUUAGGAACAUUUAUUAUAUAUCCUUUUCUUCAAAACAAACAUUCAAUGACUGUCAUUUUUCAAUAAUAGAUUAUUGUUGGGUUGGGAACACAACUUUCAAGUUGGUUUAACUAUUAUAGAGAGAGAUCCAACUAUGAAUGUUUAAAAUAAUAAAGAAUGACAUAUUGGAUCUAACGUAUUUCCAUAUUGGCUUACUGCUGAAAUAAAUUAUAUAAAAGUACAAUUGUCUUUUGAACAAAAAUUGACAAAUAGAGAAAAUAAUGUGUUCUUGCAAAUUCUUGCAAACUUUGCUCAUUUGAAUAUAAUUGAAGUGGUGACUAUGGUUAAAGAAAUAAAUAAAGUGGCCAUUGUGGAGAUAUGAAUCAAUGAAUUUGGAGUCUUUGACCAAGUUUGUUGCCUUUGUUGUUAUUAUUGCAAAAGAAAUAUUUCAAAAGUGUUAGGCUUUAAUUUGUGUAAUGUUUUAAAAGUCUUAACAUUUUAAUCUAUAGAAUCAUGGGUAAGGUUAUACACAGAGUUCAAGACUCACUUAGCAUAAACAUUACCUUCAUCAUACAUUAGAAAUUUUAAAAGAGCAAGAGAGUGUAAAUAGUGAGAAAGUAGAAAUUAUAUAACCUUUUAUUCACGUGUGUCACUGUUGUUUAAGCGGAUUUGAGUCUAUGCUUGUGAUAGAUCAACAACGAAGGUUUUUCAAAAAGGUGAAAAGGUUCUCACGAUCACGAUGAUACUGCUUCGUUGAUUAUUUUUGUACUUAAAAGAUUCCUUAUUUUAUUGAGCAAUAAAAGAUUUUGAUUUUUGGAAUUGAGAUUAUUUAACCUUCAACUUAAAGUUUUAUGUUUGUUUUUUAUAUAAAAAGAAUGUAAUGAUUAAACAAAUAGAAAAUAAAAAACAAUUUUUUUCCAACUAAAAAUUUUAAUUCAUUACAAAUUGUCACCUCGCUUAACAACGAAAAUAUAAAUAUUUAAAUUUAUGACUAUUUGAAAGUUGACAUAUAUCUCAAAUUAAAAUUGCAUAAAUUUGAUCAUUUUUAUGACUUCUCAUUUUAAUCGUUCUAUCAAGUUAAUUAUUUUGAUUUAAUUAAAUAUUAUUUAUUUAAACUAAAAUUAAAUUGGAUUCAAAACUAAGAUGUUUGAUAUCAUAGAAAAAUUAAAUAUUUUAAAAUCUAAAAUAUGCAAGAUUUAAAAAUAAAACUACUUAAUUGGGCUUGUCACUUUUUUAACUUUCAUUUAACAUAUCACAUCACAUUUAAAAGUCUAUAUUAGUAAAUCUCUUACUUUCUUUUACUUCUUAAUUGUGAUAAAUUUUAAAAUAUAUUAAUUACAAAAUUUUCUCAUUUCAAACAAAAUAGUUAAAUUAAAAUUAGUUUUCACAUUUUAAAUCAUUACUCCAACUUUCAUAAAUCCAAACACAAGGUAAGAAGUAAGAACAUUUUAUACAAAAACACCUAUCUAUAAACAAACAUCAUUAAAUUAAACCUUUUAAACAAAUUUAAUUUUCGAAGCUAUUUUCUAUAAUUUACAAUAAAAUCCUUGGUUCAACGGGAGGAGUUGAAACGACGUCGUAGAAGGUGUAUGGCUGAGACGAGUGGCUAAUUACCCGGCUUAAAAGAUCGCGAGAAUGGGACCCGCGACGAGUACCAUUUAGCUAAGAGCCAACCCACGCGUCAGCAACUAAGCCACUCAGUCGAAGCUCCUUUUACAUUUUCUCUGUGAACCACUGAACCUUACUCUUGCUGUACCAAAUCACUCUUCAUCCUUCAAACAGUUCUUCAAGCACGCUGAGAGAAGAGGGCGACAGAGGCCAUGGAAGCUGCAAUUUGCGGUCGAGUACCUCUUUCACCCAACCAAUUCUUCACCUCAACCAAGCCAGGUAUUCAAAUUCUUUCCUAUUUCCUCCUCUUAACUCUUAAUUUGUCUCUACUUCUUUUGGGUGUGUAUGCUAUGUUCUUAAUCCAAAUUCAGAUGAAGGACUUUGAGAAAUUUUGGUUUUGUUGAUGAAUCUUUGCAUAAUUCCUGGGUUUGUGGAGAUUGAAGCUUUUGGCUCCUUAGAAUGAGUAUAAUUAAUAUUAUUUACCGGGAAAAUCUGUGUAGAAUAUUAUUUUCCUGUUUGUAUGAAUUUUGUUUUUGUCGUAGAGGAGAGAAUAGAGUGUUGCAUUAUGAGGGGAGAACUACAAAUGGGGCCUAAUUGGUGUUUAGAAGAAGAUCUGAAGCUUUUUGUUUGUUUGUGUCUGUAUUUACGCUGCAGUAGUUUAAAGCUUUCGUGGUUGUCUAGUAAAAUAUUGUUUGUGGUGGGUGGAAGUAUUGAUAUAUUUAAAUAUAUUGUAAUUCAAACAUGUCAGGAGGUGGUAUUUUCAAAUCCUGUAGUGUCAUUUUUACCAGAUAAUGUGAAGCUGCGAUAAAAGGAGCUCCUUAUCUAUAUUUAAGAUUGUGAGGUUCCUUGGCAUGUUUCCUCAAAAUAAUGCCACUUUUGGUUCUCCAUUUUUUAACCAAAUAUUUGUUUGGGCUUUAUGGGAUAUGUUAACAUAUUAGGUAAUAUGAAGUUUCGUCUUAAAACCAAUAGGUAAUGAGAGGUUAGAGGAGUAGCUCAUCUAUAUUGUUAAGAUUAUGAGAUGGUCGAUCUUCUAAUAUGCUAGUUUCAAUAUCUGAGGUCUUUUAAUUUCUCUGCUAUGGGGAUCAUCGACACUUUUAUCUCCAAUGUUGCAUUUUGAGAGAUAAAACACUAAAAGGUAAAUUAUGAUAAAGCUUUUCAAUUGGAACUUUGAGUAGAAAGACUGCCGUCUUUAAAAAACUAUUUACUUUUUGCAUCAAUAUAAAGUUGGCAACAAAAUUAAUCAUAAAAAAUUAUCAACAUUUGAAGAAGGGUAACAUUCUCCCAUUUCGUUCACACCAAAGGUUAAAAAAUCAUCCCUGUUGACAGCAAGCUAUAAUGAUAUCUUCACACCAUGGUAAGGAUGACCCAAAAAAAAUGGAGGCAAGAAUGUCAUAUAUGUUGCUAGACAUAAUCAUUGACCAACCAAAAGCAUCCAAUAUCAAGAGGCAAAAGAGAAACCUAGUAAAAAGAUGGCAUAGAUGUUAAGGAAACACACCAAAAAGCAGAGUGACAAACGUGGAGCGUUCUCUUUUGAAGGUCAUCAGUAGCUCCCACAAAAAGAUUUAAAUUUCCUUCAGAUAAGCUUCCUUCCAAAUCAACAAAAAAGUUUUUUCGGAGAUGAGUCCUUAGCUUGGAUAGAAUCCUUUGUUAAUAAACGUACAUGAAAGCUUUAGAGGGAUUAAGAGGUCAAAUCCACGAAUUGUUGGCAUUCCUCUUACUCUUUGGCUUGUCCUGGGGGCAAAGAGUUGGGAUGUUUGGCGAUAUUCACCAAAGUAUUGCUUCAAGUCUGCAGGCAAAGAAUUUAAUAUUAAUCCAGCCCAUGUUGCAUCUAAGACCUAGAAAAGUAAAAUACAUUAAAUGAUUAUUUAAAUUCAACUGAUUAAGACAUAUACUCUUGGCUUAGAGGUUAAAGGGUCAAAGGCUCGACCCUUCUCAUUGUUGACUAGUUUGUGAAUCAUGCAAAUGGAUAACCAUAAAAGAGGUUCAUUGUUAGAACUAAAUUUGCAAGGAUCUUAGAUCCUAUUUAUAUACUCUUCAAAACACCUUUGAAUUUGUAAUUUGAGAUAAAUAUCAAUGGCCUAUUCUAAACGUUAAUAUUGAUAAUUAUGGUACGUAGUUUUACCUGCAAAAUUGUGAAGGCUGUUCAUUUUAUUAUUCAUUGGAACUUGCAUGACAUCUUCAUACAAUUUUACCCAUUUAUAAUUGCUAUUUGUGUCAUAGGGGAUAAAUACUAUUUUCAUAAACAAUGUAGAAACCGGAGUGCCUUAAUGAUGAUAUCAGUUGCUGAGCUUGGAAAAGGCGGGGGGUUGUUGGAAAAACCAGCAAUAGAGAAGACAACUCCGGGCCGUGAAUCUGAGUUUGAUGUUAGGUACAAAACACUUUUCCUUUUAAUGUUUGUCACGUAUAAGCAACUAAAGAUCUGUAUGCAUUAGAGAAGGUCUCAACUUCCAAAAUUAUUUUGAUAUUCAGGAAAUCAAGGAAAACUUCUCCACCUUAUCGAGUGUUGCUACAUAAUGACAAUUUCAACAAGCGGGAAUACGUUGUUCAAGUUCUGAUGAAGGUGAUUCCUGGAAUGACACUUGACAAUGCAGUCAACAUAAUGCAGGAAGCGCAUUACAAUGGGAUGGCAGUGGUAAUUAUCUGCGCUCAAGUAGACGCAGAAGAUCACUGCAUGCAGCUUAGAGGCAAUGGCCUUCUCAGUUCAAUCGAGCCUGCAAGCGAUGGUUGUUGAAUAAGAAACAUAGAUUGUGUAAUGUACUCUUUUUCCUCCCUUAGUUAUCAGCCAUAUUAAAAUUGCAUGUCCUCAACUGCUACAUUGUUGCAAGUUGCGCCUAUGUACAUAAAUAGAGAUACUUCAUAAACAAACAAUCUUCAAUUGAUGAAUAUAAUUAUCACUCUAGUUAUGAUAUGAGUUGUAUACACAAACACAUCUUCCUUUUACUAAAUUUUUUCUUUACUCGACUUCCAUGUGGCUUUUUGUGCUCUUAUGGAUGCAAUUCAUAGAGUGGGAUCUUACUUUUACUUGGUAGGACUUAGUUUGAGUAAAUAUUUGCAAGUUCUUCCUUUGGUCCCACUCUCAUGCAUACAUUGAUAAUUUUUCUAAGAAUGUUGUUCUCUCUGUUGCUUGAUUUCUUGAUAUAGAUUGAGACGUCUAGUGCUUUAACUCUAUAUUUACACAUUUUCCAGUUCCAGUCUUGGGAAGUAGUUCAGAACAGCUGGAGUUUCCAGUUUGUAGAAAUCACCUUUUCGUUAGAAUACUUUUUGAACGAGUUUAGUGGAUAAAGACAACAAUAGAAUACUUUUUGAACGAGUUUAGUGGAUAAAGACAACAAUUACCAUCCUAACGAUGGAUAACAAUUGGUGAACUGUUGUGGAUGGUUAAUUAAGCGGUUGCAUUCUUCACCAUUUUCUUGAAACUAUAACAGUGCUUUCCAUCUAUUACAAAGCUUUUCAAUACACCUGUGAAUUUAAUGAGAUAAAACCAUACGAAUAGAUCGAUAAAUUUAUUUUCUAGAGUGGCGCAGGGCUGAAAGAGAGAUGAAUGGGCUGCACUAACUCUUGCAGGACUCAACAUGGACUGCCCUUGAAUUACUGCAACAGCUGCAGGUAGGUCCAAUAUCCAACCUAUACUACUAUUAUUUCUUUCCUUAUUUAUGAUAGCAUGACAAAUUAACUUCGAAAAAUGUUAAGAGAAAAAUCAUAGACUUUUCUAUCAUAUAAUUGAAGUAGGUGAACUAAGGUACCGAAGUAUCUCCAUUGUAUUUAUCAUUCUUUUUAAAAGAAUCCGUUAUUAAGUAUGGUGGGUGAAUAUUUAUAACUUUCAACAAACUAUGCACACUUUUAAACUUAAACUUUAUAAAUAGAAAAUUGGUUCAAUACUAAUGUAUUUUUUGUUUUUGUACUUUCAUUUUACAUUUUAUCAUUCUACUUAAAAAAAAAAAGUAAACAUGUUAGUCUUAAGUUGGUACAUAUAAACAUAUAAAACGCAAUAAUUAAAAUAAACAAAUUUAUUCUACCAAAACCCGGAAAAAUGUAUCUCUCUCUUUGUUUACAUAUUGAGAAAAAUAUUUAAGAGAGUGUUUGAUCCACUGGACUUCGUAAAAUCAAUAUUAAAAUUUCAUAAUAUUGAAAAAGUCUAAACAACUUGAAAUGCUAAAUUUACAAUUUUCGAACUCUGGGCGAAAGAAUUCUAACUCGGCUCGACAAACAGCUUCAUUUUCUUUUCUAUUACUAUUAUUAUUUAUUUUUGCCCUCGUGAUUGGAAGGUAAGUCCAUGACUCUAUUAGAGUAGGUAGCAUUUAUUAUUGACUUCAUAUAUCACGUCUAUAAUUUAUAUUUAUAUUUUUCUUAUUUUUUUUUUCAAAAAGGAAAUUAUUUAUGUAUUUUUCACUUCGAAAACGACAUUUUUCAAAAACUAAAUCUGUUGCAAUCUCAAAUUAUAUAUAUAUUUUUGAAAAUUUGAAAAUAAAAAUAAUUAUAAAAUUUUGAAUAAUUUUCUACAGAUAAUGCCAACUAGGGAGCAGUGCCUUUGCCCCCAACCCCAAACCAAACUCAACCAUCUUCUUCCCCAUUAAUAAAAACUUCACUUCCUUUUUAAAUCCCCAACUCUCCAACUCCACUUUCUCACUGCAACUUUUUCUCCCUAACAAUGGCGUUAGCGACUUCAAAUCUCCUUUUCCUCUUCCUCUUUUUUCUCUCUCUCUUCCCCUUCACUCUCUCCCGCUCCUCCUCACACCUUUCUCCUCACUCCUCUGCUUCUCUCGACGUUUCAGCUUCUCUCCAACAAGCCAACCAGGUUCUCAAAUUCGACCCCACGGCUUCCAUUUCCUUCCAACAGCAGGUUCAUCUUGUUCCUUCCAACUCUUCCUUCUCCUUUUCUCUUCAACUCCACCCUCGCGAUUCUCUUCAUAAUGCUGGGCAUAAGGACUACAAGAGCCUCGUUCUUUCCCGCCUCUCCCGAGAUUCGUCUAGAGUUAAAUCGAUCUACGAUAGGCUUGAAUUUGCUCUCAGUGAAUUGAAGAGGUCGGAUCUUGAGCCGUUGAAAACAGAGAUUCUGCCGGAGGAUCUGAGUACUCCGAUUAUCUCUGGUACCAGUCAAGGAAGUGGUGAGUAUUUCUCCCGUGUUGGUGUUGGACAACCGGCUAAGCCAUUUUAUAUGGUUCUUGAUACUGGUAGUGAUAUCAAUUGGCUUCAAUGUCAGCCUUGUACGGAUUGUUAUCAGCAAACUGACCCGAUUUUUGACCCCAGAAGUUCGUCUUCUUUUGCUUCACUUCCUUGUGAAUCUCAGCAAUGUCAAGCUCUUGAAACGUCUGGUUGCCGUGCUUCUAAGUGUCUUUACCAGGUCUCGUAUGGCGAUGGUUCAUUCACCGUCGGUGAAUUCGUUAUUGAAACGCUGACGUUUGGUAACUCCGGGAUGAUUAACAAUGUUGCUGUCGGUUGCGGCCAUGACAACGAAGGAUUGUUCGUUGGAUCGGCUGGAUUGCUCGGACUCGGCGGUGGAUCAUUAUCCCUAACUUCUCAGAUGAAAGCGUCGUCGUUUUCAUACUGUCUCGUCGACCGUGACUCCAGUUCGUCUUCAGAUCUCGAGUUCAAUUCCGCUGCACCUAGUGAUUCAGUGAAUGCUCCUUUACUCAAAAGCGGAAAAGUCGAUACAUUCUAUUACGUCGGACUCACCGGAAUGAGCGUCGGCGGUCAGUUACUCUCAAUUCCUCCUAAUCUCUUCCAAAUGGACGAUUCCGGUUAUGGCGGCAUCAUCGUCGACUCAGGAACUGCGAUAACUCGGCUACAGACUCAAGCCUACAACACUCUCCGUGACGCCUUCGUGAGUCGCACACCGUACUUGAAGAAGACAAACGGAUUCGCAUUAUUCGACACAUGUUACGAUCUGUCGUCACAGUCUCGAGUCACCAUUCCAACGGUGUCUUUUGAAUUCGCCGGCGGGAAGUCUCUGCAGCUGCCGCCGAAGAACUACCUCAUCCCGGUGGAUUCUGUUGGAACAUUCUGCUUCGCGUUCGCUCCAACGACGUCGUCUUUGUCCAUCAUAGGGAACGUACAGCAACAGGGGACACGUGUCCACUACGAUUUGGCAAACUCGGUCGUUGGGUUUUCACCCCACAAAUGUUAGGAAAUUGGAAAAUUAUAAAUUAGGUUUUCUUUUCUCUCUCUUUUUUGGGGGUGUGUGGGAAAUUACGAAGUUAGGGUUGUGAUGAAUUGAAAUUAUAAAUUAAUUUGGGUUUGUUUAAGGUGGGGCAGAUGGAUAUGGAUAAGUAAAUGGGGCCAUGGAAAUCAAUUGGAGAAAGGUUUGUCAUGUGCUCUUCAUAAAUCAAUCAUAAUUGUACUCUCAAGGUUCUGUUGAGUGGCGUGUAUAGUGAAUAGAGUACAAAACUAUUAGCAACUUUGAAUUUCUAAUUACUAGUUAAAGGUAUCCAUUACCAUCUCAUAUAUAUAAAUCUGUCUUAAUUACUCUUGUUUAUAAGAUAAACGAGUUACUUCGAUUAAUUUUUAUAUAGAAUCAUAGAUUUAAUUGAAGAGUUGUUGUCUAGAAAGAAAUGUUGUUUUGUUUAUUUAAUAGAUUAUAAGUUUUAAGUUGUUUUGUGGUAUUUUGACGCUCAUGUACCAAAGUUUCAUGUGAUUGACUAAUGAUUUUUAAAUAAGUUGUCGUACUCCGUGUUUGACUUUUUUUUUUUUUUGAAACAAAUCUUUGUUGUUUCAAACUAGGGAUGUUUGAGCUAGGUUGUGGGUAAAGUUUUAAGAUGAUGUUAUUAUUUUAUAUUUGUUACUAAUAGUAUCAUACAUGAAACAUUGUAUAUUUAAUAAAACUUUGUUGGGUCAUUGUGGUAGGUCAAACAGGAGACAUUCUUUCAAUACUCUAAGAGUAGCAGCCAGCAGGUACUCUCUCUAAACUUACACUAUAAAUUUUCCUUUAUAAAUAAUUUUGCAAUACAAGUGAAUCUUCACUAAUAAUUAAUAAAAGUAGUAUUCAUAGUUUUUUAAAAAAGGGACAAAAAUAUAGAAAAACAACAUAUCAAGAUGAGUUAAUGACUAAGUUUGUAAUGUGAUCAAUAUACUAAAUUUAAACUGUGAAACAAAAAUUUUUAGUAAAAGUAUCUUUCUGGGUUUAGUAAAUUGAAAUUAAUUGAGUUGGAAGAAGAGAGAUAUACUUAUGGAUUGAAACAAAAACAAAAGAAGAAUUAAAAUGAAGAACAAAAGAUGAAAACAAAGAACAAAAACCAAGGGGGAGCUUAGGGGAAAGGAACUUUUACUUUGAAUUGGAGUGGAAGACAGCCAUAAUAAAUGAAUAAUUAAAUGCUAAAAUGUAGGGAUGCCUUAGAAAGGUAAAAAAAGUGAUAGGGUGCAACAAGGACCACGAUAGUGUUUUCUUGUGGACGAAUUACUGGCCACCGAUUUUCAAAUUGGGUGUGGAGCCACGUGGCGUGAUUGUCGGUGCGGUCUAACUGAACCCGGCAUAAUGGUUGGGUUUAUUUAUUGACUUUCAUUUUCUUUAAUAUAUGGUUAGUAAUUAACUUAGUAAUGUAAAUUCAUUAACUUUCACUAUUCCUACUCAAGUUCAAUUAUUUAAACUUUGUUUUUAUGCAAAAUUCACAACCAAAUUAUAUAUGUGUGGUCUUUCUUUUUAAAUACAAAUUAAAGAUAAAGAAAUACAUAAAUGUAUCAAUUAAUUAGCUAACCUCUUAUCAGAAAGAAAAAAAGUUAUUGUACACAUAUAUAUGGAGAAUUGUUGUAAAUAUGUAUAAAAAAAAGGCUUACUUGACCAAAGAAAAUGGAAAUUAUGUAGAAAAAUGAUCGUAAAUGAUAUAAUUGGUGAAAAUAUUUACAAAACGUUGUAAAAUUUAGACUCUAUCACUAACAAACACCCGUAGAAUUCGAACACCCAUUAAUGAUUAUCAUAUCUACUAAUAAUAAAAUAUAAAAUUUUGGUACGUUUUGUAAAUAUUUUGGUUCAUUUUGUUAUAUUUAAAAAUACUUUUAAAUAAGUAACAUUUGAAAUAGUGGUGGAGUAGUGGAGGAAAUUUUUGGAAGAAGUGUGAAUAUAAAUAAUAGUGAUUUCGGGUUCAAAUUCCUCUACCUUCACGUGGUACUAAAAAAAGUUUAGUAUUAUAUAAAAUUAUAAAUAUAUUUUCAUAAUUUAUAAAGAAGAUCAUGCUCUUCUUUAAAGAAAAAAACUUAAAAGGAUCGAAUAUUAAAAUUUAUUAGAAAAAUACUUAAAGUGAUUGAAGGAUUGGAAGUAUGUAAACUAAAACGAAGGAAACAUCGAGAAAGACUAUAAUAUAAUCUAAGAAUUGCUAUUGAAUAAAUUAAAGGGAAGUUUUUAACUUUUUGGAAGACAUUUUACACAUAACACGUUUACAACAUAUAGAAAACAAGUUCUAAAAUAAGCAUGUGGAUGUCAAUUCUUCAAUUUAAUUCUAAAAAAGAAAAGAAAGUGAGAGAGGCUAUGAUUGAUUUAUUCCAGAAAACAAAACAAAAUUGCAUGAGAUGUUAUCAUGUGGGGGAGAGAACCAAAUAUUCUUUGCAAAACAAGAAAUUAGAUAAUAAAUGGUAAAGUUAAUAAACUAGAUUGGAUUGAUUUUAUUAAAAUUAUAGGGCACAUGCCAAAUAUUAUUAUGAAUAAGAACAAAUACAAGUUGUAGUUUGCAAAAGGACAAGAAUGGAGGCGGUGGUUCAUGUGAAUGUUUCAAAAGAAAACGAUAUUACCUGUUUUUUCUUUUCUCAUUUUCAAAUUUUAUAUUUAUUAAUGUCUAUCACGGGUAGAAUAUGAAAUUUUGAUAUAUUUUAUAAAUAUUUGUAGAAGUUUUUGUCAUUUAUAAUAACUCUUCUUUUUUUCUUAACCCUUCUUGGUGUAAUUAUGUAAUAUUACUCUUCCAUAUUAUUUUUUGAAAUAUAAGACAUAAAAGGGCAUCGUUGUAAGUCUCCACACUAUCUAUAUUUAUUGUUUUUUCAUAAUAUAACCUAAGAGCCAAUAGUAAUUAUACAUGUGAAAAUGUUGUAGGUCUCAAUUAUAUGCCGAUAAACUUUAGAGUAAAAUGAGUCAUUCCCUAUGUAAUUAUACAAGACCCGGUUGAAACUUAUAUUUCUACCUAACGUUCUAUCCCUCUACUUCAUAUCGAUAGAAAAAUCAAUGAAAUAGUUGUUUAAAAAGUCAAUUUAAAGUUUGGGAAUAAAGAUAAAGUUUUUGAAAGGUCAAAAGCGAAAAAUUAAAACCUACCACGCUCUAAACUUCAAACACAUUUGGUAUAGUUUAAACAAAAAGACUACGAACAAUUUAUAUAUUGCUCAUUUUAAGAUGGAGAAAUUAUACUUUUAAUUUGAAGAUUGAAAGUAAGAAUACUAUGUAACGUAGAUGAAUUGUACUCAUUUUAAUUCGAUUAUUUUAAACCGUCAUAUUAUUUUUUUGAAAUUCACACACUUCUUAACUUUACAAGAUGAUAGAGAAAGAAGGUCAAAUCAUAAAUAAGAACGUAGGAAAGGAUUAAACAAAAGAGUGGAGCAUUGAAGAUGGAAAUCAAUUUUGCAUUUAUUGAAAAGAUAUUUUAUAUGAAAGAAGGAGAAGGAAGGAAGGCAUGCAAACUAAGAGCUUCCCAAAUGUCUAAUAUUUGGGGAUGGAGAGGUUCGUACUGAUUUUACAUUCAAUCCUCCCUCCUUCUUCUUCUUCUUCUUCUUCUUCUUCUUCUUCUUCUUCUUCUUCUUCUUCUUCUUUAAUCACAUUCCACAAGAACAAAAGUAUUAUGAGAGUAUAUUAUUAUACUUUAUUAAAAUUUCAUCCAUUAAUAUCAGUAGACUCAAAUUGACAUCGUAGACUUUACAUUAUGUACUUUUAGAAGUCGUGACAAAAAUAAAUGAAGUUUAGAGUGAAAUAUUAAAUUAAAGUUUCAUAAAGGUUAGUUUUUCAAGGUUGCAUAUGUCAUAUAAUAGCCAUCUGAUUUAAUCUAUAAUGUCAAAUUGAUAACCAUCUGCCCCAUUUGAUAUUGAUACGUCUUGUCAGUUCUAAAGUAAUUUGAUUUCUUUAUUGUAGGCUUUGUCAGCUUUGGUCAAUUUUGUUCAUGUGUCAAAAUAUCUAUUUGGAACCUUUUUUCUUACUUAAGAAAAUGGUAUCAAAUUCAUCACGGAUUGAGGGUUAAAGUCAAACAUAAUAUGAACCUACUCACACUCACAUUUCCCAACAUACAUGCAUAAUUAAACAUCUCUUACUAUUCUAUCUCUCCACCUUUGAAAUAAUAAUCAAUUACAAGUUAGACCACAAUUUAUUGGAAAUAACUUUUUGACACUGAUUUUUACUCAAAAUGAUUGGUUUAGUCAUCCAAUAAUGAUCUUGAGAUAGAAUCUCUCAAACAUACUGGAAAAAUAUUAUUGUUUACAAUUUUAGAACCUAUUUAUUUAGGUUAAUUAGAGAAAAGAAAAAUAAUUGUUUUUGAAGAAAAUAGUUUCUAUUUAAACCGUUAAAAACCAUUUCAAAAAUUAUUUUGACUUGUUUGAGACAAGAAUUGUCUAAAAUUAUUAUAAUCCAAAUUAAAACAAUCAUUAUUACCCGACUAUAACAACUAAUGAUUUGUAUAACAACUUCUUGCUUUUUUUUUUCUCUCAAAAGAAUGUAUUUUUUAAAAUUAAACAGUAUCUCGAAAAACAUACAAAGGCAAUUCUUUUAAACAAAGGUUUGAACUAAAAAGUAUUUAGCAAGAACAAAUGCUGCACAUGCCAUAGAAGAUCUACCUCUAGCCAAAAUAAGACACAAAAUAGUGAAAACCAACUAAAGACAACUAACAUAAAACAUAUGUUUAUAUCAUAUGAAUGCCAAAAAAGCUAUAAAUUUAAAUCAUCUGACUCCAAAUCCUAAACCCCACGUACUAUUGAAUUGGAGAAAAUGGUUAGUAAGAAGUAAUUAGGUUUUAAAACCCAUCACCAACAUUUUAAAAUUUUGUGGGAUCUACCUACUUAGAACUUGGAAGCACUCCAUAGGAGGCAAGUAAGUCCAUAGGGAAGCUAUUCAACAGAAACCUGAAAAACACAGGCAUACAUGAAGAAGAGAAUGUGAAUGAGAUCAAUUAUUGUUAAACUGGAGAAGAUAAUUACAUGGUCAGGCAACCGAGGAAAUGCAUAUAGAAGAAGAUGACAAGACGGGCAAAGAAAGAGACACCAUUGGUCCAUUGGUCCAUUGGUGAUUGCUAAGAUGAGAUAUUUAAAGCAAUAAAAGUUAGGUAGAGGUAGCUGCCUUUUAUCAAUUCACGUCCUUACUCAACUUUUAUCGGUUGGUUUUCUGCAUGGUGGGGGAGGUUUUUAGCUUUAUUGAUCUCUUCAAAGAUCACAACUUUAUGUCUAAGAGAUUUCAAUCCAAAAGGAAGAAAACAAAGAAAAACAAUGUGAGUACCAUAGAUAGGGUUCAAAAUCCUACGUACACUGAUUGUUUGUUGCUGCAAUACGCUUUUCACCACACGGAAGUUGGUAGUUGAAACUGUAGCAAAGACAGCCAGAGUAUAAAGCAGUUUGAUACAUACAAUAAAUAGAAUGGAGUUCUUUAAGAGUCUAUAAAAAUGUUUAAAUAUUGAACAUUUUCAACUUAUUUGUUCCAGAGCCAUGUUGGUGUUGACAAAUGUUGCGCUUUUGUUGAACCCCUCGAGCAAAAGAAUCCGUAUUGCGUCUUCGCCAACUUGCAAUGUAAAGUUCAACUGAAAAGAAAUGAUUCCAUUUCGAUGGUCAAAAACUAAACUCAGUUAAAUUAUCAACAAGCUUCAUUUAGUGGAAAUAUGAUGCCAUUUUACACACCACUUUCUCGUUCUUCUUCGUUGAAGGGGCGAAGAACAAAAUUUGCUGCAUCCAUUUUCCCUGGAGGUCUCCCUAUGCCUAGAAUAUUUUCACCCAUUUAACAGCUGAUAAUAUAUAGAGGCAGUGUGGAGGUGUUAAGAGAGCCCUAAGACACGUACCAAUUCUUAAUCGAGGGAAAUAAUCACGACUGCCUUUGAAAUGACCAAGAAUACUCCUCAUUCUGGCACAGACAAAAAAGUAAUAAAAGUUUAUACUUCUGAUGUCUAUUGCUCUUCGUAAUGAUUAUUUUAUUUACAAACUUCAUCAUACAAUCAAAACCAGUAAUCCUAGAUCCUUGAACUGAGUUUUCUUGGAUCAGGCGCACACAUGACACCUUUUAAUCUUUUGGCAACUUUCACAUUUACUUGUCAAGUCAACUCAAUUAAAUUCUAUUUCUUCCUCUAAAAAGCUGCAAAGAUUCAAAAGCAAAAGUCUAUCUUCAGAUUUGAAGAAAGUGUGUGAUUAGUUCUUUAUAGCACAAAAACUUUUGCGGCCAAAACUUUUCGAGUAAAUAUUUUAUUUGAAGAAAGUAUACUUUUCCUUGUAUGGAAAAAAAUCAUAACCUUUCAACCAAAAAUCCAUUAAAAUGGAAUAUGCUUAUUUUUUUCCGGAAUGGAAAAACACAUGCAUUACCUCUACUGCCUCACAGAAUAAAAAAUGAAAAAUAAAGAAUACAAGUCAGCAUUACUCAGACACAGAGCAUGGACUUAGAUUGGCCAAAACGCCCACUGAAAGCUACUAUCAUCAUGCAGUAAAUCAAGCUUUCUCCACUUUCACACUUUAUGUAGAAGCUCACUCGUUAAACUAAAUGAAAGAAAUUUCUGUUGAUAUAUACAACAACAAGGCAGAGAAUAUUGAACAUGACUCUGAAGAAAUUAUAUGAAAAUCCACCGCUGUACCUUCUACCUAGUGUGUUAUUAAGGAUAUUGAAAAAUAGAUGCCACAAAACUCAGAAGACUGAGACACCAAAACUGUAGAUUAAAAUGAAUCAUAUUUUCUGUAGAGAGAUAGAAAGAGAAUUUGUCAAUAGCUUAUUUUUUACAUUAUUUUCUAAAUUUAUAUUACUUUUAAAAAAAGUUCGUUCAUCCUUAAGAGGAGGAUAACAUAGCGUGUUCGUGUUUGUGUGUUUUCAGAUGGUAAAAGAGACAUUUACAUAUGGUAAGAAGGUUAGUGCAAGAGAUAUAAACCCUAAAAUUUUGGAUUUUACUAUUUCAAGUGAGCUUCAACUUUUUCUAAAUAAAACAUUGGAGGCUCGUUUUGAAGAUGAAACGGGGUAAGUUCCAAAAAUGAAAAAUGGGAAGGCAGAAAAGUGCCUAGAGGUGAGUCCCGGAAAUGAAACUUGCAAAUAUGAUUUUGGUCUUUAUUAUGGGCUUGUUGGAAGCUUAUGGCUCUUUGUAAGGAGGGUAAUGGUGUGCUGGCCCAAUUUAACUGGCAUUCGGUACAACAAUUUGAUUAUGGGCCUAGCCCAAUAGAAAAUAAGAGUUUGAAACUUGCAAAUAUGAUUUUGGUCUUUGUUAUGGGCUUGUUGGAAGCUUAUGGCUGUUUGUAAGGAGGGUAAUGGUGUGCUGGCCCAAUAUACCUGGCAUUCGGCACAAUAAUUUGAUUAUAGGCCUAGCCCAAUAGAGAAGAAAAGUUUGAAACUCGCAAAUAUGAUUUUGGUCUUUAUUAUGGGCUUGUUGGAAGCUUAUGGCUGUUUGUAAGGAGGGUAAUGGUGUGCUGGCCCAAUAUAACUGGCAUUCGGCACAACAAUUUGACUAUGGGCCUAGCCCAAACACAAGAAGAGUUUGAUAUGCAAAGGGCUAUGACAACCUGUUUAGGAAAAGGAUGAUGAAAGAAAGUUGGGCUGCUUUGUGGGCUGAAGAAAGACGAUUAGCCCAAAGUCAAUAAACCUUAUUGGAGUCCAGAGAUAUAACCCAAAGUAUAUGGAGUUUUAAUUAGUAUAGCCUAAAUACACUUAAUUGUGUAAGUUUAAAAUUAUCAUUGUUUACAUAAAAUACACAUUGAACUUCAAAUUUACAUGGAAAUAAGACCAAAAUGACUAACACUACUUAUAAUUACGAUUAAUAUUAUUAAGAAAAGGUAAGAAAUUAAAGAAAUUCAUAAUUAAAAAUAGUUUUCUCAUUUAGUUAAUUUCACAGUUGUGUAACUAUUAUUGUUUUUUUAGUUUGAAGCAUGUGAGAUAAUUCAUAUAUAUAUAUUUUUUAAAUUUUUUGUGUUUGAUAAAGUGAAAAUAUACAUAUCAUAUACUAUUUGGUAUAUAAGAUGAUUAUUAUAUAUAAAGAAAAAAUAAAUGGUGUAGGAUCCAUACGGCCAACUCACUAAAGUCGUGUCCAUGACUUUGGUUGUCAACUGUUACGACUUCACUAACCUAUUUUUGUCAAUACUUUUUGACAUAUUUUAUUUUUUAUAUAAUUUUUUUAAAUAACAUUAUUUAGAAAAAAGGGGUAAUUUGAAUAGUUUUAUGUUUUGCUGAUGAAUUAUUAUAAAAAUUAUCGAUUUUGCAACUUCAACACAGUCUAAUUGCUUUGGUCACAAAUAGUUUAAUUUUCUAUUAGUUAAUUAAUUAAAUUAGAGUAUAAAUUAUAAACUUUUCCGUUAGAUUUUAAAACACUUCCCAUGAAGAAUAAAAAUUCAUGGAAUGAUUUUAUAGUUUUUACUAGUGUUAAAUUUAUUGAUGAAGACUUAAUUUAAAAUGGUUAAAUGGACUAAUUUUUUUUUUUCAUUUAUAUCCUUUUAUAUAUAUACUAUAGAUGUAUUGCAUUUAUUGUUGUAAUUGCUAUCUUAUAUCCCAAACAUUAUUCUUAUAGCAGAAAGAUUUCAAAAGGUGUAUGAAAAAGAUAAAAAUAAAAGAUUAAUCAAAUAUGAACGUGUUGGUGUAUGAAACUAUGUUACUCCUAGAUAUGUUAUAUCACUCAUAACUUCUACAAGUACAAAUGAUUUGGUCACUAAUAGUGAAAGAAUUUGAAAAACUUGAAAUUUUUUGUCUAUACAUGCAAAUACAAAUGAUUUGGUCACUAAUAGUGAAGAAUUUGAAAAACUUGGUCUAUACAUGCAAUUAUAGGUCUAAUUACUAUAUUUUUAUGUCAAAAUAAGCUCAGAUCAAUUUUAGAAGUGGAAGAUUCGAUCCUACCCAAAAUUAAUUAAAUUUGUAAUAUAGCUGGAUGGACUGAUAUGGUCUUAGGCACGAAAAGUGAGUACAACCGCAAAUCUUUACUUCAACUCAGAGAAUUCAAUUUGGGAUCAAACAAUAACUCAAUUGGAGACAGACCCUCAAGUGUAGGUGUGGGCAUUUCAUUUAAUAAAAUAACAACUAUUAACGAGGCAUCCCACCAAUAAUUCAAUGUUAUGUUGGCUUGCGGAAGGAGAGUAAGCCCACUCUAAAUACAACAUUAAUAUUACCAAGAUUUGUUCCUCUUGACAAAAGUUGACGUACCUUAUUUUUGUGCAUGAAUUGUUGCCAAAACACUAGAAAUUCUUUUAAACUAAAAAGAAUUUCAGAAAAAGAAAAAGAAAAAAAAGUGCUGACAUGUCAUAGAAGAUCUACCUCUGGGCAAAUAAAGACACAAAAUAACAAAAACCAACUAAAGACACCUAACAUAAAACAUAUGUUUAAAUCAUAUGCCAAAAAACUAGAAAUUAAAAUCAUCGACUCCAAAUACUACAGAAUUGUAGAAAAUGGUUAGUAGGAAAUCAUCAGUACGUUUUAAAACCCAUCACCAACAUUUUUAAAAUUUUGUGAGAUCUACCUACUUGGAAGCACUCCAUAUGAGGCAAAUAAGUCCAUAGGGAAGCUAUUCAACAGAAACCUGAAAAACACAGGCGAACAUGAAGAAGAGAAUGUGAAUGAAAUCAAUUGUUAAACUGGACAAGAUAACAUGGCCUAACCAAGGAAAUGCAUAUAGAAGAUGACCAGACGAACAAAGAAAGAAACACCAUUGAUCCAUUGGUCCAUUAGUGAUUGCUAAGAUGAGAUAAUUAAAGCGAUAAAACUUUGGUAGAGGUAGCUGCCUUUUAUCAAUUCAUGUCCAUACUCAACUUUUAUCGGUUGGUUUUCUGCAUGGUGGGGGACGUUUUUAGUUUUAUUGAUCUCUUCAAAGAUCACAACUUUAUGUCUAAGAAAUUUCAAUCCAAAAGGAAGAAAACAGAGAAAAACAAUGUGAUUACCAUAGAUAGGUGUCAAAAUCUUACACUGAUUGUUUGUUCCUGCAAUACGCUUUUCACCCCACAGAAGUUGGUAGUUGAUACUGUGGCGAAGUCAGCCAGUGUAUAAUGCAGUUUGAUACAUACAAUAAACAGAAUGGAGUCCUUUUAGAGUCUAUAAAAAUGUUUAAAUAUUGAACGUUUUCAACUUAUUUGUUCCAGAGACUUGUUGGUAUUGACAAAUGUUGCGCUUUUGUUGAACCCCUCAAGCAAAAGAAUCCGUAUUGCGUCUUCGCCAACUUGCAAUGUAAAGUUCAACUGAAAAGAGAUGAUUCCACUUUGAUGGUUAAAAAACUUUAAAAAACCAAACUCAGUUCGAUUAUCAACAGGCUUCACUUAGCGGAAAUAAGAAGCUAUUUUACACACCUCUUCUCUUUCUUGUUUGUUGAAGGGGCGAAGAACAAAAUUUGCUGCAUCCAUUUUCCCGGGAGGUCUCCCUAUGCCUAGAAUAUUUUCAUCCAUUUAACAGCUGAUAGUAUAUAAAAGCAGUGUGGAGGUGUUAACAGAGCCCUAAGACACAUACCAAUUCUUAAUCGAGGGAAAUCACGACUGCCUUUGAAAUGAUCAAUAAUACUCCUCAUUCUGGCACAGACAAAAAAGUAAUUAAAGUUUAUACCUCUGAUGUCUAUUGCUCUUCUUAAUGAUUCUUUUAUUUCAAACUUCAUCAUACAAUCAAAAUCAGUAAUCCCAGAUCCUUGAACUGAGUUUUCUUGGAUCAGGCGCACACAUGACACCGUUAAAUCUUUUGGCAACUUUCACAUUUACUUGUCAACUGAAUUAAAUUCUAUUUCUUCCGCUAAAAAGCUGCAAAGAUUCAAAAGCAAAAGUCUAUCUUCAGAUUUGAAGAAAGUGUGAUUAAUUCUUUAUAGCACAAAAGCUUUUGCGGUCAAAACUUUUUGAGUAAAUAUUUUAUUUGAAGAAAGUGUACUUUUCCUUGUAUGGAAAAAAUUCUGUAAAAAGAUAAACUUUCAACCAAAAAUCCAUUAAAAUGGAAUAUGCUUAUUUUUUUCCGGAAUGGAAAACACAUGCACUGCCUCUACUGCCUCACAGAAUAAAAAAUAAAAAAUACGAGUCAGAAUUAUUCAGAUACAGAGCAUAGACUUAGAUUGGCCAAAAGCCCCAUAGAAAGCUACUACCAUCAUGUAGUAAAUCAAGCUUCCUCCACUUUCACACUUUAUGUAGAAGCUCACUCGUUAACUAAAUGAAUGUAUGGUAAUAUAUAUACAACAAGGCUGAGGAUAUGGAACAUGGCUCUGAAGAAAUUAAAUGAAAAUCCACCGCUGUAUCUUCUACCAAGUAUUAUUAAGGAUAUUGAAAAAUAGAUGCCACAAAACUCAGAAGACUGAGACACCAAAACUGUAGAUUAAAAUGAAUUAUAUUUUCUGUAGAGAGAUAGAGAGGGAAUACCCAUUAUGCCCUCCAUGGCCACCCUUCGGCAGCAUUCGCAAUUUGGCAAAAGGCAAAUCCAAGUCAUCAAAAAUCUGUUAUAUGGAUCGCAAUUUAUGGAUUAGAUGUGGUAGGGGAAAAAUUGAAUCACACAGAUCCCAACCUCCUCUCUUGUCUUCCCCAAAAGUAGAUAUCACUCGUCAAGAACACUGAUAGUCUUACGUGGGGAAUAAAAUAUUUACCACAAGUACUUGCUUCAAUGGAAUCUUAUAGUAGGAAACAAUAGCACCGACCUGCAAUCAAAGGUUAAACGCAUAGCAUAAUAAAUCAAUCAUUGAGACCGAAGGAUAAACCUAAUAACUAAAAUGGAUGAGAUCCUAGAGAAAGCUUACUUACUGACUCACCACUUGCAUUCAUGAAAGUUUGUGGCUUAGCUAGCAUUACAGGAACAUCCCCGAUGAAACCUGAAAUAAAAGUGAACAUAAAAUCUCUUCACUAUUUUAAUAAUCAACAACUGGGAAAUAAUAAUAUCCCCAAUACUAUGUCCUGGACAAUAACUCAUUUUUUGGGGGAAAGAAACAUUUGAUUAUUCUGGUAAAACAAACUCCAACAAAUGAAUCGUGCUUUAUCUUUCUUAACAAGAAACAAACUUAACGGAUAGAUGCAAAAAGAAGAUAUAUAUUUGAGAAUACAAACCCCCAAAUAAAGAGAAAAGAAACAAGGCACCCAAUGAAAAAAUAAGACGACAAAAGUUCCAAGAGCCUGAAAAGAAAAUGAGUAUCCGAAAGAACAAAAGAACAUCAGCUUGAAAGAACAAAGACAACAACAGAGACAGAAACUUUUAGGCUUCUUGAAGACCAAAGCACUGAGGACUCCAAGAGAUCUUCAAUCAACAAAAGCUAAAAGCAAAGCAUUGAUUGGAAACACCACAAACCACGGAGCCUUCAAACAGAAAAGGAAAAACCAGCUGGAUCUUAGUGAAACAUGCUCAUUAAGGAUUGAGAAUGCAGCAAUCGAAUUAAAAUUUCAACAAAAGUCUGAUUACAGACAAUCUAAUUGUUAUUUUAUCAAAUUAUAGUUCAUGAUCAGACUACCUUGUCCCAAAGAUAAUCUUCAAAGAGGAAAGGUUGGAGUCAAUAAUCUACCAGCAAAUUAGUUCAAGUCUAACAAACUGACUUUCUGGUAGAUGUGCUUCUAAGUCCUAACCAAAUAUUCUAAUUUCAUCAACUGUCAAGAAUUGUUAAAAAAUGCAUACCCUUCCCUAUCAGAGCUUUGAAGGAAACAUUACUGAUGGAUAUCCCUUCAGCUUCAGCUACAGCAUCCACCAUCUCAAAACCUACCUGUAAAUUCAGUCAUAGCAUUAGCUACUGAUAGAGUUUCAAUUCAUCUUCAUAAAGAACAUCCAGAUAACACUCAUAAUCAACAUUAAACCCUAAUUUCCUCCAAAAUAAUAAUAAGUUCAUGCUCGGGAAACUUCCCUAUGUGGUAUCCCCACACUUAAAUCAAACAGAAAACAACGCAUAAUCUUCUAUAGCGAGAUCGAGGCUAAUUUCUGGAAAAGCAAUCACGCUCAAAGAAAAAAUGAACUAAAACAUAAACGAUAGGAGAAACUUGGAAUUCAUAUAGCAGAGAUAAGGACCAUACGGACAUUAUGGCGCGUACGAUCGUACUUCUUCCCGGGAUUUCCGAGGCCGACGAUGAGCCAUGGCUUCGGCGGCGGCGCGGGCUUCUUGUCAUCUAAAGCCGGCUGCUCUGUGGUCGGAGACGAGGAAGUGGACAUCGAGGCAGUAAUGGAAGAAGUGAUUGAAGAAAAGAUAUGGAAAGUUGGAGAAUGAAGGAGGGAUAGAGAAGGGAAAGAAAUGAGGGUUUUGGAGGUUGGAAAGCAAUGGAAGGAAAAAGGAAGGCGGAGGGCGGCGACUGAAGAUAUAGAAGCACCGAUAAUCAUAGUGUUUCGUGUGGUGUUUCUUCAAUGGAAUGGAGAGAUUUCAAAAUGGGAAAAGGAUUGAAGUGGAAGAGACAACAAUGGCGGGAGGAGAAAGGAAUGGAUAGAGGAUUAUGCUUUACAAAUGGCGGGAGAAAAGUAGAGUUGAUUUAACCUAAUUUUUAUAUGCCGUUAGGGUUUACUUCUCCGCUUAAUUUUACAAAAUUUGGUAGAAAAAUUGACAGAAUGUUGAAACAAUUUUUUCUUUAAAAUAAUAAUAAUUAGUUAACACGAUUAUUGUUUAUAUUAUUAAUCUAUAAAAAAACACUAAUAAACUUGUAUCAAUACAUAAUAAAAAAAUAUCAGAUGAAUGUUAGAAUUUUAAAAAUAGACUUUUAAAAAUAUAAAACUAUUGAUUAAAAUUUAAUCAUAUGAUUGCUUUUAAAACUUUUGAUAAAGGUUAGAAUUUUAAAAAUAGACUUUUAAAAAUAUAAAACUAUUGAUUAAAACUUAAUCAUAUGAUAUAAUUGAUAUUAUUUAAUCAUAUGAUAUAAUUGAUAUUAUUUAAUCAUAUGAUAUAAUUGAUAUUAUUUAAUCAUAUGAUAUAAUUGAAACGUCAAUUCAUACUAUUGAAAGUGUGGAAGUAUCGAUUAUUAGACUAUUGAAAGCGUGGAAGUAUCGAUUAAAGUUUAAUAAGUACUUCUACAGUAGAAAACUUUCGAACUUAGAAACUUAGUAUAAGAUAUGGACAAAUAUGUUUUUGAACAUUUAAGUGAAUAGUUAAUAGAAAAAACAAAGUGUGGAGGAAGUGGCAAAGGUGAAGAUAGGUUUUGGGAUUUAUUUUGCUCAUAGAUGAUGCCAUUCUUCAACACCAUUGUAAAUCUUUUAUUACUCAGUAAAAACUCCGAAUGACCUCCCAGUGUCGAGUUAUGAAAAGUAUACAAUAUCUUUAGGGGUAAGAGGGGGAAGAAUGUGCUAUGCCAAUGUAUGUAGAUUUUUAUGAAUUAGAGGUCUUAACACUUUUCUACAACAAACACACUAAUUUGACAUCAAUAGCUACAAAAAUUUGAUUGAAACCUCACACUUGCACCUUCAAACACACCUAUCUCUUAUAUACUUAUGCUAUAUUCCAAUAUAUGUAAGAAUGAAAACAAAUAAAAUUUUGAACAAACAGACAAAGUAAAUCUAAAAUCCUUGAUUUAAUCAAGUUAGCCGUUAAUUGCAAAAAUCCACAUCUGGCUACCCCAAAGAGAAAAUCAAUUAAUAUUGGGGCAUUGAUUCACUUUCCUCUGCAUUCCACGAGGGUAGCUUCACCUUCUUGUAAUGAGUACUCACUUUUCUGUACAUUGCACCGCUGAAAUAUUACAUCAACCAAGUAUACCUUUUAGGUGAAACUAGCCAACUCUUUGAAUCAUAUUUCCUCAUGAAUUGAUGAUGAUGCUGCGGACGACAAAUGGCAUAGACCACUAAGGUUUUUGGAAACAUUUUAAGAACGGAAAAUUAUAGCAUAGGAUUUGAACUCACAAUGAUAAUGUUGCCUCAGAUGUUGAUUGUUGCUUCCCAGAGCCUUAGAAGGCCAUUACGACCACCAGUGCAUAUUCGUUUCCUUUCGAGGUCUGAAGCUGCACAUCGUACCUGGAUCCAUGCAAUAGGUGCAUUCAGAUGAAAAACUUUUUUAUAAAAAAAACAUGGAAAACAAAAUUGAAACAAGAGAGAACUAAAAAAGCAAGAUCUCUGUGGACAAGAAAGAUUGUUGAAUAACGGUGAAAAGAAUUUAACAUUUGAAUAUUGCAUGUAGUAGCUCUUUAGCUUUGUCUUCAUUGGCCCAAGUAAAGAGAAUCACUAGGCCAACUACUAAUUUCGUUCUGUCUUCUCAAUUUAAGUAAAGAGAAGAUAAAAAACCGUCUCCCAGGAUUGAAUUAAAAUGAUACAUUAUAAAAAGAAAUAUAUAUAUAACAAAAAGGCUGUCAAAAGAGUCCAAACCGCCUAAGAAUUAAAAAAAAAAAGAACUUUAUACCAUGGCUGCAGUCUUUUGUGGGGUUCUGUAUAGUUGCCACCCAGCCAUUUUUGCACCCGUGUUAGGGAAGCCUCCGAGUCUCUCUUGUGGCCGAUGGAAGAGAGACAUAGAGUUAUCUGCCGCUCCAAUUCCUAACCAAUGUUCCCCAGCACUGAUUGACAGUAUGGCAGCACUGUGAAUGGUGACAUUCUUCACACAUCUAAUACCCCCUACAUAUAUAGCAAGAAAAGUUUGCAUCACACUUUCACGCGAUCAAGAAAAUGAAAAAGCUCCAUUGCAAGGAACGAAAGUUUAUAGUUGACACUUGAUGAUGUGGGAGGAAAGUUAAAUGAGUGAAAGACAUCAUAUUAUCAAUAAAUUUCAACAUUUUAUAUAGAUAAUUUACCAUCCUCGUUUUCCCAAAAACGGAGAAGUCCAUCAGUUGAACCUGAAAGGAAACACGUAGCCAUUAUUUUAAUUUUAAACUUCCAUAUACUUUAACUGCAUUAGAAACGUGAAGAAGCCAAGUUAAAUACCAGUUAUUAUUCCCUUAUCCAGUGCAGAAUACUCGACAGCCAAGAUUGGGCCAGCAUGGCAUGCUAGAACAGCAUCACAUGUUCCUCGAGAAACAGACCACAAUCUAGCGGUCCAAUCGUCACUACCGGUAACUAUGGUGUCUCCUACCAUUCUUAUUGAGCUGCAUGGAUGCCAUAUGUGUAUUAGACUGACCGGCACAUUAAAAUAUCCAAGGAUGUGAAAAUAGGAAGCCAAGAAAAAUAAAAAUUGUGAUUUAUACACUAGUGUGGCUGAAGACACUUGCCCUCUGUGUCUGGAGUGUUCUACUUGCUUAUAAACUUAGAUUCAGACAAUUACUUAUUCUUUAAUUAUUUUUAUUUUCUAGCCUGCAAGUUAGUAUUCGGGCCUUGGAUUCCCUACAUCUUGAUCCUAUAAAUAUUGGUUCCUUAAGGUUGUAUGGAUAUUUUUUUCCAAAUAAACUAAAACUACUGUCCAUUUUACACCACUUACCGUAUCCAUUUUGUAUGACCUAAAAGCUUGUGCAUUUGCCGGCCAGCACGGAUGUCCCAGAUAUUUGCUACUCUGAAAUGCGAGUAUCCAGUACAUAGAUAACAAGUCAGUGACCAUGCAAUCUCAAAAUAUUUUUAUAGAACAUAUAUCAUUUUAGACAGUUUAACAGGAUAUCUCGGCCACCCUCUAUAUCAACAUACACAAAAGAAACAUAAUUUCAGUAAAUUGACAUACGUAUCUCUACCACCAGCAGCCAGUAUUCCCGUAGAGUCGUCAUAUUCCAUGCAUAGAACUGCACUAGAGCAACGACCAACAGUUGCCACACAAGUAUCAGUUCUGACAUCCCACAUUUUCACAGUUCCAUCAUGUGCAGCCGUAAGGACACGUUCACCUGAUAGCAUACGAACACAACUGACCUGCCAAAAUCAACACAUGACACAUUCAGGCAUUGCAGACUCCACUUAGUUAAUAAUAUUGUUCUUCACAAGUUUAUUCCUCCAAAUAUUUCAAUGUUCCAGCCUAAAAAAAGACUGAAACAAGUUAUUUUCUAAAUCAACAUACUACGACAUAUUUCAUUCUAGCGUUUUAGUAAUCUCUUGUAUUAGAAUUUUUUUAAAACUAAAAGUAAAAUAGAAAUAGAAAAACACCUGUGCAUCGUGGCCUUUCAGCUCUUCUAGAAGCUGGGUUGUUUGCUUAUCCCAUACAAUCACUGACUGAUCAUCAGACCCAGAAACUACUUUUACUCGAUCAGAGUUAAUCGCACGAACAGGUCUGUAGGCUUGCAAAAAAUGGGUAAAGAGAGGGAAUAUAGUUAAAACUGAAUAGUGAAAAGACUAAGCAAAUCAAACUGAUCCCUGAGAAUGAAAAUGUAAGAAGUUAGACAAAGUACCCUGUGUGACCCUUUAAAGUUGCUCGCAACUCAGAACCACGAAGACUUGGAUCCCAUAUCUUGACCUGAGCAAUUUUGAACAAUAUGAUUCAACACUUCAUAAUUCAUAUGCCAUACAAACUCUCUAGUACAAAUGGUUUUCCCAAAGAUGAGAAAAAUGAGAUAUCAAGAUUUUACCAAGCAGUCCGUGCUUCCACUAAUGAAGAAACCUGCAUCCUCACGGUCUCCCACCAAGUCCCACACCUCCCUUUUCGUAACACAAUGAAGUGCCGUCACAGCUCCACUAUGACCCCUAAGGACGCGAAUAUUGCUUUGAACCUUUUUCUGCCCGGCUGAGGAUAAAUCUUGUCGUGGAGGAGUACCGCUCUCACUUGUGGCUAAAAGCAAAAGGAAAAAACAAACAACACAAAAUCUUUGAUUGCACGAUAAUAUUAAUCCACAAAAUCUUGAUGAAAGCUACAUAUGAGACAUCCCACCAUCGGAAGACCAACGACCACUACGACCUAAGUUAAUCCUUGCAGAUGUAUCCCUGCUGAACAUGCUCUGAACCCAACUUCUUCCAACAACAGAAGCCUCAGCAGGUUGCUGAUUCUGAUCAGAUCCAUCUUUGGGGCGUGGAGAUGGCAAUGCAUGAGCAGAUAUGGACUGAGACUUAACAGAAGAGAGCCCCCAAUAACUAAUGCGCAGCUGCUGGAUAUGGGAUAAGAAACCUCGGAGCUUUAUCUGAAAAUCAUUAAGUAGGAUUGUAAAUGAGAAAAAAUGCGGUAAUGCAAAACCAACCAUCUUUAGAACUUUUCUUAAUUGCAGUUGAUGCAAACACUGAAUGCAUGUUGUGGCUGAUGUGAACAGUUCUGGAAUGCAUUUGCACAUUAUGAUGAAUCAGAUAAAAUGAUAUUUGACUUACGAGUUGCUUGUAUCCAAUGCUGUUUUUCUCCGCAAUUGUCUCAAUCAUGUACCAAGCAUCAGUGUCAGGAAGCCCAAGCCCAGCCUUCCAAGUAGGCAAUAAACUGAAUUAAGUUUUUUUAUUGUUUUCUGCGUGUGUGUGUGGUGGGAUGGUAUUCAUUUCAAAAUGAGUGAUAAAUCGCGUGAAGUGGCGUUUUGUUCACUCUCACACAAAAUGUCAAGGUGAGGAGUACCAUAUGUGAUGCCAUAACAAUUAGCUGUGCAGAAACCUGAGAUGCAUAAUUGGCGCUUCUGCAUUCAAAAUAAAAUUGAAAAAGAACAAGUUAGAGAACAUCUGGGAGAUGGUAUGGAGAUACAAAUAACCAGUGCCCGUAGAUGGUCUAGUAUCAAGGAGCGCUUUUGAGAUGAUAGUUGGUUCUUUGAGAAGUUCGAUGGAAUAAGAACGAAGAGUAUGAGCAUGUUCAGAAAGUACAAUGCCGAGUUGGAACUAUGCAGAAAUUCUAUGAUUAAUGGUAACUUUACUAGGUCCAACCGAAGGGAAUCCCUACAUUGGACCUAGUAAAUGGGUGGUGAAGUUCAUGGGCUCCAGACUAUCGAAGAAAUCAAGAGCUGCAUAAGACCAUGUUCCUAUCCUCUAAGAAAUGGGAUUUCAUCUUGAGGACUCCAUCCUUUUAUGUUAAUAUUUGUGGACCCUGGAACAAGACUUUGUGAAUUUCAUGGAGUUCUGGUGAAAAACAAAGAACUCCUGGGUGGGUCUAAACUGCCUCAUCAAAAUUUGGGAAAAAAUUGAAAGAUCAUUUGAAGGAAUGAAUUUUAAAGGAGGAGCCAGAAACAUCACUAAAAAUCAAUACCAAAGAAGAAUCUGACAGAUUGGCACGAAAACAUGGAAAACUUUGAUGUGGCAAGUUAGCAACCAUAUGAUGUCAUCCCAAAAGAUAAAGUCCUUAUAAAAGUUUUUGAGAAACUUCAGGGAAUGAAACCAUUAAUCGAAUCAGAGGUUUAAAGUUCACCUAGCCGAAAAUAUUGUAUAAAGCAGCAACAUAUACAAAAUAAUAAGAGAACAGCGAAGUAAUAAUUAAUUCAGCACUUCCUUGCAUAAACCAUGUAAAUCCUUACUUAUUUGAAGACCGUUCCAUCAAGUAAUCAAAAUAACCUUCCCAAAACCUGCAGAAAACCAAAUAUCAAGAUUGAACCCACAGAAGUCCUGAUAACAAAUAAAAUAUUUCAAGGUAGGAUGUACUCCGUGAAUAAACCAGCUGAAUACUGGUAUGCUACUGAAAAAAUCAAAGGAAAAUUACAGAUCUACAAUGUCAAAUAUUGGUGCUUCAGAAAAAAAAUCCAAUGAAAUUAAGCAAUUUUCUUCAACUCAACAUAUGAAAUAGGAAUAUUGUUACUGAUAAAUAAAAAAAAAUUAGGAGAAAUGUUAGAAAACUAGAAAUCUGACUUAAUGAGCAAAAAAUACCACCAAAACUGGCAAGUAAAUCUCACCUUAACUCCUCCCAUAUAGAUAGAGAAAUAAGAUGGCGUUGGAUGUAAUCAGGAACAUUAUUGGGGUCUUUCUUGAACAUUUCACCAGACACCUCAAGGGCAUCCCUAAUUGUCAAUAUAUCAUUUCGUGAAGUUGCACGACUGAUUGCUGUUUUUAGCUGAUCAGAAAAACAAUUUUUAUUUUUAUUUUAAACAAUAAAUGUGAGGUAAUUGAAAAGAGAUAACUUCCAAACUCUUAUUCAGCUGUACAAUGCAAAAAGAAAAUACAAAUUCUAUAUGUUUUCUAAAACCAUUUGCAACUGCAAGUUCAGGAAUAGUUGGAAUGGUUUUUGUAAACACUUGAAAAUUUUAUGUUUUAUAUACGUGCAUACACUCUUCUUUAAAAAAAUGCCCCAAAAUUGACAACAAAUAGCAACCAAAAAUUGCUAAUAGUUUUAUGAUACGGCUGCUUACCAUCACCACAAUUAGAGUGUUUUCGUUUAGCUUUUCUAUAAUUAUUCUCUGUUGGGGUCAUCGUUAUGUAACCUCAACUUGUUAGCAGAUUUUCCCCUCUGCUUUCUUUUGUAUCUUUUCAUGACGCCUAAUGAAAAGUUCCUACCACUUUCUCAAGAGAAUAAAAUAAAAUCAACCAAAUUUCUGAGUCAAUGAAUCAUUUUGCUUUUAGGAAAAGAAAAAAAGUUUAACUCAUUAAAACAACCUUAAUUCCCUUUCUUUUAUUUAGAAACAGUGAUAAAAACAGGCAAUGUAAACAAACGAAAUUGUUGAAAUCAAUUUUUACUCGUUUUUAAUAAUGAAGAAAAAAUUGACAUGACAAAAACAAAUACAUGUGCAAGAAGUUAGUUACUAUAAAUAUGUCAAGUUGCAUGACAUACCAGUUCUUUCACAGCAAUAAAUUGUUCAUCGGUUAACUGACAAAGCCAUCCCUGAAAACACAAAACCAGUCAAAAGUUAACCCAAUGCCAUCUUGAGAUGAACCUGUCAAUGUCUCACACCAACUGCUACAAUCUUAGGAAAGUAAAGGCCACACAGUUUUAUUUAUGAUUUUAACUUCCUUAACCAUUUUCUGUAGGUUUUGGAUUGGAAUUGGAAGUGUCACAUUCUCAUUGUUUUGUUUUAUUCUUUUCCUAAAAUUGUUAAUUUUCUCAAACUAUGCAUUAAAAACCUGAUGUGGAUCAGAGAUCUGAAUUUGAGGGAAAGAGAAACAGAAAAGGUAAUGAAAAUGAUACUGAGAGAAACGAUCGUAAAAUGGGAGUUUGAGCAUGAAUGACCAACUCUUAUUAAUCCCACGAGCUACUUACUGUAUUUAUAUGCUCACUAAUGCACUCAACAAACCCACUACCACCAAUUCCCUCUGCAUCAGACUCAAUCAAAGCUGCAAAAAGAAAAUCAUAAAUUUUUUUAAUUAAAAAAUUAAACGUAUUUUACAACAAACAGAGACAAAUACCUUCUCUAAUCAAUAAACCAGCAAUAAGUCUAUAGAAAAAAGUUACCAAGAAUAGUGCCAUAUUCAAAAGAAGAAAGAGGAUCAUCAGUUGCACCCAGUUUCAGAAGGCGUAGCCAGAGACCCUAACCAAUAGGAAAUACUAAUUAAUACAUAGAAGCCUGAAAUCAAUACUGUCUAUGACUCUAACAGAAGCACAUUUAGAAGAAAAUAUUGCAAUACUCGGUAAAAUAAUGACCUGUAGCUUGACUUUAAUGUCCAAAACCAUGCGAUCUCUUUCGGCCUGUCUCUCCAUUGGACUGAGGCUUUCUGCUUUCAGAUCCUUGCCCGUCGAUAUAGAAGGUGAACUGAUUGCAGAAAGAAAAAUCAAAGAUUAAUGGACAAGUUUGACAGCUAAUUCAUGGCUCUGCAGAGUAAUUACAGGAUUUUGAAAGUAAAUCCAUACUUAGGAUUAUGUUUUCCAGAGUAUUCAAAAGCUCCACUAGCUGCUGCUAGAAUUUGUUUUCUCUUUUCUUCCUGCUCCUCAGUUCUAAUGUUUGAAGGAAAUCUAUCAUAAGUGUACUUGGCACCAGAACCUCCAAAGAAAAUUGGGAAGAAAAACCGACAUCUCAGCACCCAUCGAAGGUUUCAAGAAAUACUGUACGCAUGUUCAGUAAUUAUGCGGACACCAUUCAAUUUGAAAUUGAUAUGUUCUUUACCUGAUGUUCCCAAAUCAGGGUCAGAGAUUGUUAUGAUCUCAGGUUCAACCAAUGGCGGAAGAAUUGAAAGAGGAUUUUGACCCCUCCCAAUUGCAUCUUGUAACUUGUCAAGAAUAUUAUUAUUACUUUCAUCAGAACCUAUGCAUCUCUCUAGAUAGUCUAGAAAUCCUUGGGACUCCAGGAAUUGAGUUAUCUGAAAACACAACAAAAGUAUUGGGGUGUAAUUUGUGAACCCAAACAUUAGGGGAAACAAAGAGAACUUUCUAGGAAAAUACUGUUCCAUUUGCAGAAGCAAUAAGAUAGUAUCACAUAAACUAUCUAUAUGAAGAUAAAUCAGUUUCAUUAAUAAUUCAAAAGUUAAGUACACAGAGGAUGAUGUGCAAGGUAUUAAUUAGAUGGCAUUACCAUGGGAUCUUCUGGUUGAUUAGUCGAUCGUGAACGCUUCUUCAAGAAUGCUUGUGUAUUGAAGACAUCAGUCGCAUUGCUUUCCUGAUUAACAAUUUUCAUUGAAGAAAAAUUGUAGUAAAUUAUGAUGCCAAACCCCUAUUGUAAAUGUUUGUGAGAGAAAGAUAAGAGAGAGAGAACUACAUACUACAAAAUUGCGAUAGCCACUUAAGAGUGAUGCAAAGAAUUUUAAAAAUAUCAACCUGCAUGAAGGAUGGAAAAAAUAUUAUAACAUCUAUUGGAAAAUAUAGACAAAGAAAGAACACAAGAUCUACGUAGAAACCCUAGUACAGAGAGAAAAACCACGGUACAUAUGUCUCUUAUUAUUUUCUGAUAAUCAUAAAGGUACAAAAGGGAGAAAAUUUAUAAGCAACACAAGCCUAGUUAAAAGAAUAAAAAAUUAGGACAAAGUAAAUCUUAACUACUCAUGGCCCUUCGUCAAGGCCUAAGCUCACUAUUUCUAACAAUAUCAACCUGCACAUAUCAUGUUAAAUUUUAGAAAUCACACUUGAGAUAAAAGUCUACUUCAUGUGCUUAUGCCCUGAAAACAUUUCUUGCAUAGAUAUCAUAGAGAUCCAAGACUGACGCCAUCAUCCAAACAUAUCAUUAUCAUAUACAUGGCAGACUGACUACUGCAGAAGCACAUAUGCCAAUAAGUGAUACUAGUUUCUGAAAUGUCACUUCUAUAAAUAAUCUCAGGUCCAUUCAUAAGCACAUUCAUACUUAUGAUGAUAGCCAAAUCAAUGCAGACAGGUGAUAACAAUCAACAAACAUGCCGAAUGAAUUUGAGUGAUGAAAAAGCUUAAACGGUAAACCAUUAUCAUUUCAGAUCUCCAAUUUUGGAUAAUGAAGAAAAGUAGCACAAUUCAUAACUUUACUAAGUGAAACUACUUUUUACUACCGAGAAAAAAACUUUAAAUUAGAAAAGGAACUAUAAGGAUAUACAUGGUGUCCCAAAUUAAAAAACUUAAAACUUGUGAAAAAUGUUCAGAUGGAGCAAGGUGUAUUAAAAAAAAUAUGCCAUACUUGUUACACAGUCUUGAGCUUCAGUUCGAUAUUUAAGAAACAAUAAAAGUAAAACUAAGAUCCAGAGUCCCCAACAAGUAUCCGAAGUUCUACACAACAAUCACAACAGACAAAACCUAAAACUAUAGACCACAAAAAUAAGUAUUACAGAGGAGCAAUAUAAAUAUUAAGAACGAGUACAUGAAAAAUUACAUAGAAGUCGUUCAAAUGCAAGUAAACUUUUAAAAAAAGAAGGGAAAAAAAUCAGUAGGAGAGCUAAAAGUAUAAGCCAUGCACCAAAUUAUCACCUAAGCUGAAGGUCUUGGUUUUCUCCCCAAGGCUUGCUGCUACCUCUAGGGUACUGCUCAGAUGCGCUACGCAAAUCAGAUCUCAUUUGAUCUAUGCUAACAACAUUGGGAUAUAAUAACUUCAUCAGCUCACUACGCAAAGAUCCAAGUUCUGGUUCUGGAAUAGGUGGUAUAUCCUCAGUAGUUGUGAUACAAUUAUACUCAAGAUCCACUACAACAACCUAGGUUUCAAAAUGAGCAAAAACAUUUAGCUUUAUUUCACUACAUAACUCCAUGAUAAAAACAUCAAAUUUUCAUAAAAUAUCCUAUGUUUCAGCUCAAACAAAAAUAUUUGAAGGAAGAAAAAAAAAGGCAAUAAGUAACAGUAUUGCAGGAAGCACAAACCAACAAAUCUAGUUCGCAAUGUCUUGUUAUUGAGUCCCUGUUGUGAUUAAAUACAGUUGGAGUGGAUUCUUGAAAGCUCUAGGGUGAACGCAAGUUGAAGGCAAAACACACUAAAGAAGUAAUUUCUGACUGACCGAGCUAAUCACAAUUUCAAAGUAAAUGAUCUAGGUCUUCCUCUGCCCUCCAACGGGGAACACAUGCCAAAUAUGUGGUUGAGUACAUGCACGGCAAUACAUUCUAAUAUAGCCAUGGCCCAUGAUAAACAUUGUUUCUACUGGAAUUUCAUUUUAUUUUAUAAAUUUUAAAAAGGAAAAAAAAACAUUAAAAUACGUAUUAAAAAAAUCAAAUUACUUACACCAUCCAUUGCCAGAUAAGAUGUAUCAACACCUGAAUGAAGACCCAUCAUAUAUGGUGUGGGAGCAUCAAUAUAGUCUACUCCACUGAAAAAGAGUAACGGAAUGUAGACAUGCUUCAGGACAACAUAGAAAGCUUGGGUUAGAAUCUAUAAUAAAGAAGCAGAAAAAUAUGCACAAAAAACAGACUCACAAAUAUUACACCAAAAAUGUGGAGUUACAAACAUUUUCAAUUAAAAAAAAUUAAUAAUAAUAAUAUGAAAUUUUAAAGAAACUGACUGACCUGCCAUCUAAAUGGAUAUAUUAAAUGACAAAUGGCUUCUGAUACAAGAGUUAGGAGCGAAUACCUGCAAAAAGAAGAACAAAAGCAUGAAGGAAAAUGUGUUAUCACAUACUAAUAAAAUGACAAUUAUCAAUUUGGAAAGUUGGAAUUGUCACUUACAGAAUCGUACAAGACUAUGUAUGACAGAGAGCAAGCAAUCAAGUCAAAAUGACCAAUUAAACCAAAUUGUUGAACAAGAGUCUGACUAGUACUAGGAGAGAAUGGCACAUUAAAGGACGGGGACUAAAAAUAACAAAGACAACUAAAAAAACAUUUGUUCUUUAAGAUUACUAGAAACCCUGAAUUCUGAAGUAUUUGGUUGAAUCGUACAUUGACUCUCCUACACUUUAAACAAUCAGAUGAGAAUUCCAGUAAAUGAAUAAAUAUAUGUGCAUAUAUAAUGGGAAAAAAAUCCAAAUUAAUCAUCAAACAAAUGAAUAAGAUAAUUGUGGUGUGACAAAUAUCAAUUCAAAAAGUCUGUAGUAACCGAGAGAUACUUGUUCGAUCGAAGAAGAAUCCUCCUCUCCAGCAAGACAGCAGUGAAGAGUUUGAUUACGUUUUCCAAAUCUAAGCACUGCGUAAGCGGCUGAAACGAAAUCUGCAUUCCCCAUAAAGAGGAAUGAUCAUUAGAUGAGAAGACAAAUCAACAUUUCACUUUCUGAAUAACAUUGUCGGCAAGGUACAUCAGCGCUUAGUCAGCUUUCAAAAAAGUAUUGUUUACAUAAUUAAAAAAAUGAUAAAUAAAUAAAAACUAACUUACAUCAGCAUAGGGAAGCCCAUCCUUGGACGGAGCCUGAACGGAAAGAAGGCAAUUCUCAAUGCCAAACAAAAUCCGAUCCUUCCCAGGAGUAGACAGUGGUACAUUGGAGACUAUGUGUGCUAUGAUAUCCCACAGAGGCUUGCUGAAAUGUUGAAGAGCUGAGAAUAUAAGCAGCUAAGGAAAAAAUUCCAUUGAAAUUCAAAUUCUAGGCUAAUUGAUUUUUGUAACGUGAUUACUUAUUACUUUAGGCCAGUUGAAUAAACUUUUUCGAUAGCCUUGAAGGUUGAGUUAAUUUCUCAUCGCCCUUCUACUAUAUCUUUCUUCCUUCUAGAUACAAAUUUGUUAAAUAAAUCUACUCGUGUCUAUGAAAUCAGAUUUAUAUUUCACGAUGUGGUACCAAAAUCAGCUGCCACACACAUAAAUAUGAAGUAAGGAAGAGAGCAUCUAAUUAUGUACUGACCUACUUCCACUGCUGGAGAAGCACAAUGCAAACAGUUCCUCCAAUGCAUCUUUAAGUACACGGAAGCUGGGUGAACGCGAAACAAUACAGAUACAUUUAUCAGCAUAAGAAUUCGGUGGAAUGCGAUAAGCUUCGGCAAUGUCCUCACUAACAGGGUCUCUAAAAGCAAUGCAACUGACAUAAAUUUUUGACCCAUCGCCCUCUGCAUUAUAAUUUCCACAAUAUCAGUGAGUGAAGAUACACAGAUGCCACACCUAAUAACUACAUUCCAUUCAAAUAUAACAUACAUCCACAUAGCCAAUCCCAAUCAUCUUCGAAUCACGAAUGCUGAAAGAAAUUCAAAGUUAAGCACCAAUCAUACCCGUCAAAACAAUCGGAUAACUCCGCGGAAAAGUGCUGGCGUCGCUGGAAUCAUAUCCCGAUGAAAAAAACUCAACCCCAGCUGGUAAAACACACUGCAGGCAAAAUGCGAUCCACAAGCAGGCAACUCCGGUUAAUCAAUCGGUAGAGAAAUUCGACACCUCUAAACUAGAAAAACAGAAAAAAUAUGGUUGAAAGUGGAUAGAGUUUCUGUAUUGGAAGUCACCGUUGGGAGCUGAGGUGGUGGAGGAGGACAACGAGAAUUGUUGGAAGGAGGAUACUGGUCGAGAAGAGAUGGUAAAUACAAGUAACCAAAUCCAUGAAAUCCCUUGUUUCCAUCUAGAGUACGAAUCUCGGGCCCGAUCCCACAAACCACGAAAUACUCAAAGAUCCGAGCCAUUCAACACCGAUGGCCGAUUAAAUCGUGUCCGUGAUUGAUUCUAGAGAGGGAAUCGAGGAGUUGCAGCUGAUCUUGAAGGUGGAAUCCAACUCAGAAUGUGGAAUUGAUGGAAGGAGAGAUGAGUAGAAUCAUACGGAGUAGAAAUGGAGGGGAAGACGAAGAACUACUCUGUAGUCCGUCCUGGAAUGACGCGCGAUUAGAUUUUCCAAACCGGAAAAUGUAUAUACGUGGCCGGUUGCCGGUUAUCCCGUUUAACAUUAACCAUCGCAGAAUUAUUGAUGAUUACUUUUCUCUUUUCUUUGAAAGAGGAAAAAUGGAAACUGUUUUCUUCAACUCCUACUGUCCUACAAUUAAUUUUGGUUUUUAGAUAGUUAUUACACGUAGGAAAUUGCUCAAAUAGUCUCUCAAAUUGUUCUAAAAUAUGUUUUCUAAUCUUCAAUUUUAAUAUUUUAUUUUACAUUUUAAAACAUGUUGUGUUUAAAAAAAUAUUAAUCCCGCUGAAAUGUUUGACAUACAUCCACAUGGUGGAUCUUAAUGGUUUCGAAAUUGACUCAAGAGAGGCUUUGUGCUAAAUGCAGCACACCCCUCGUCCUCAUCACUCUGUGGUAUCCUCCAACUUUAGGUUGUUGGAAGCUCAACAUGAAUACAAUUUGGUCAGGUGCAAUAGAUUAGUAUUGAUUUUGAUACAUUAUUUGAAACCAUUAACGGAAACGGAAGGGUACACAAAAGGAUUGAGUUUUAAAUUUGCUAAAAGUGGAAGCAUAGUUAGAAGGUCAGUGACUUGUGUUGAGCAAUAUCGCAUAUGAGACUAACUCUGAUUGUGAAGUUGAAACAAAUGCACCUGAUGCAAUCAAUCUAUUUAAAAACAAUAAGUUAUCACUAGUGAAAAUUCGGGUUUCCAUUGAAUAUAUAUUUUUUAAUGUAACGUAUGUUAUGAAACAAUAACAAAAUUGAGCAUGUUACCACACAUUUUUCUUUAUCUCAAAGUUGUUAGUUGAUAUAUUUUAUUUUCCUAACAAUAUCACCCAUGAUAAAGAUGUAAUUAAUAAGUUGGAGGUGGGCGUUUGCUCGGCUACAAAGAAAAACACAUUAAACUAUAGUCGCUUACUUUAAACUUUACGAAAUAAAUAAUUUGUAAUUACAUUUCAUUAUUUGAAAUUUGUAAACUCCAAGAAACUGAACCAAGUAAAACAUUACCCACAAAAUCAAUUAAUCCAUUACCGUAUUAAAAUUAUUUUAUGUUUAGAAUAUCUCUCAAAACAAUUCAAUUCCACGUCAACAGACCUAUUCUUACAAUCAUACCCUAUUUAACUUUUAAUCUUGCUAUAAAAAUGCUAAAGCAAACAUAGAUCAUGUAAUACUCAAUCAAAUUUUCAUUACAAGAAACAAUUUAAUUUCUCAAUAAAAGUAAAAAUAAAAGAAAGGAGGGAAAAGUUGUAAUGAUUCAAACUCAUCAAAAAGUGAUAAAAGAAAAUGACCCCUUUUUUCCUUUGGUGCUUUCCCUCGCGUUUUCUACAUGAAGAUCGUAGAAAGGGCCCGCAGUGACCCUGAUCUUGACUCUGUUCAACCUACAAGCUUUGGAAUAUCCUUCCAGUUCCCACUGUGGACUUUCCCCAAUCCCAAUCCAUUGAUUUGUUCCUAAUUUGACUUUGAGAACUUAAAAAAUGGAGACUCCAUCCAAGUAACAAGCAGAUUCCACAAUCGCACCUCUCUCAUCUUCAACUUCUGUACAUCCUCGGUGGUUGAAGAUGGACUCUGAUAAGAUUAAAGGGGUCGUCGUAAUCACUCUUCCGCCGCCGGACAAUCCCUCAUUAGGUAAAUCCGUUACUGCUUUUACUCUCACCGAUGACUUCCCCGAACCUCCUGGUGAGUCCGUUGCAGUUGAUCAAGAAGUACAACAACCCAACAAUGACCAUUUGACUCUCCCACCGAAUCUCCCGAUUCAAGCCCCUUUGAGUCAGCGAAGUAUCCCUUUGUCGAGGGAGCUUUUUGCUGGUACUCCUAGGAAGCUUGUUUUCGUAUUAGGCAUUGCUCUCGCUGCUGUUUAUCUUUAUGCUUCUAAUUUUCCGGAGACCAUUCGGGAGCUUCGUCGUUCUGAGAGGAACGAUGAUGAUCGCCCUUCAUCCUUUUUGUUUCCCCUUUAUUUCCAAUCGGAGUUGGGUGAUAGUAGUGAUUUCCAGCUUAAGUUGGGAAGGACUGUUCGUGUAAAUAAGGAUGAUCUGGGUGUAAGAUUUAAUGAUGUACUUGGAGUUCCGAAGCCUAGCAAAUUGAUUUCUGCCUCUUUAAAAUCUGAUUCAUCAGCCGUAUUUCCUGUGCGGGGAGAUAUCUAUCCAGAUGGGUAUGUUUUUUCUUGUCUUCUUCACUUAUUUACUUUAUGUUCGGUGAUGAGUACGUCAGUCGUCACCCAUUCCAAGAUAUUGCUGUGAACUUUUUAGCUUAAAGUAGUUGAACACAAAUACUUUUUGAAAGCUUCUUUUUAUCGGAAGAUCAAGAAGAAUGAAGGUACUUUAGCAGGGGAAGAAUAGACGGCUAGAAAAAUAAAUAUUCGUAGUCCUUGCAGCAAAGCUGAUGUUUCAUCGUUAAAGACCUCGGCUCAUACCAAAAGUCAAACUUUUAAAUUGACUUGAAAAUGAUGAUGUGGGUUACUUAAUGCCACUUUUGAAUGACCAAGAAAUCAUGUAGCACAACUGAACAAGCCACAUACAGAUAUGAUUAUACCAUUUCUGACUGUAAAUUAGGAUUCUCAAGUUUACGCAUCUGAAUUCUGGUCAUUUUGUGUCGAUAGCAUACAGUGUUUGUCAUGAUCUUGGAGAUGCCUUUAUUUACACUAACAUGGAUUUUCACCAACAUAUAGAUUGUAUUAUACAUACAUAAUGGUUGGAGAGCCACCAAGACCUUACUUCCUCGACAUUGAUACUGGGAGUGACCUGACAUGGGUUCAAUGUGACGCUCCUUGCAGCAGUUGUGGCAAGGUAAUCUUCCAAUGUUAUUGAGGAAUUUAUGCUCUUGUACAACUUAAUUAAUUUGCUAUUAUUUUGGUUGCGUUUUUAUUUCUUUUAAAGCCAUUUGGUCGGGUGUUUUUCUUCAACUUGUAUAUUAUCUAAAAUUCAAUUUAUCAAGUCACUGUUGCUGCCUUUUCUUACAACAUUCUUCUUUCAAAUGGAAUGUUACCUAGUUCUUGAAUGGGGAUUAUUUCGUGUGUGAACAAUCCAACUUUUUUACCAUACUUUCUUGGUAGUGCCGUACAUUUCGUGACAGUGAUGACAAGUGUUUUUCAAGUGAGAUCUAUUGAGGACAUUCACAUAAUUACAGUUGCACCUGCUUUGGGUAUAUCAUUGUAAUCUGACAGGUUGAAAGAACUUCCUGGUUUAAGGUUACUUUUUUUGAUUCAAAUGAAUAAUGGAACCAUGUUUGCUGGUCUUCAAUGGAAAUAUCUUGGCGUCGUAGUUUGAUCAUAUUUCAGAAUGUUAGGGAAGGCGAAGCUAAAGGAAGGAGAAGACAAAUAAUCUCACAUUAGGAAAUUAAAAACUUUUAGUAGGUUGACACCAGCUGAAGCAACUUGAAUGGAUAGUCUUUAUUUAUUUAUUUAUAUUUUUUAUUUCCAUUUAGAAGAUUCGAAGAGACUGGACAAUGUAAUACGUAUGGAGUUAUAAACAAACAUACUAUCGUUGACAAAUGAAUUAUAUACAUACCUGGUCCCACCUUUGAUUUUCUUUUCUUACGAGCACAAUGCACUUUGCAGUAAAUUUUUAUUGCAACGUUUUAUUGAGUAAUCAACCACUGUAGAUUACACGACAUUUUUGUUGUCAAACAAAACAUUAAUCUAAUGAUAUAGUUUAUGUAGGGAAGAAGUCCAUUAUACAAGCCAAGAAGAGAGAACGUUGUAUCUUUCAAGGACUCUUUGUGCAUGGAAGUUCAAAGAAAUUAUGAUGGCGAUCAGUGUGCAGCCUGCCAACAGUGUAACUACGAGGUUCAAUAUGCCGACCAGAGCUCCUCUCUGGGGGUUCUUGUUAAAGAUGAGUUUACUUUAAGGUUUUCCAAUGGAUCAUUGACUAAGUUAAAUGCCAUUUUCGGGUAUAAUAUUUUCUCCUUAUACCUCUGUUGUAUAGAUUAUCCAAGUUCUAGUUUUAGUGUCAAUAUUAUAAAAUUCUCUUAUUUAUUUGAUUACAAGGUGUGCUUAUGAUCAGCAAGGCUUGCUAUUGAACACUUUGUCGAAGACUGAUGGCAUUCUAGGACUAAGCAGGGCUAAAGUUAGCUUACCUUCCCAGUUGGCCAGUCGAGGAAUCAUAAACAAUGUGGUAGGUCACUGUCUUACCGGUGAUCCAGCAGGUGGUGGAUAUUUGUUUUUAGGUGAUGAUUUUGUGCCACAGUGGGGGAUGGCAUGGGUUGCCAUGCUUGACAGCCCUUCCAUGUGAGUAUGAAUUACACCUGUUAUGGGUGUAAAUUUGUCUUACACAAGAAGAUUCUUCUUCCAACUAGUUUUUUAAAGAUGAAAUAAAAAAUGAAGAGCAGAACCUAUAAUCGAAUUUGGAUCUCAACAUAGAUGCUCAUAAGCUUCCUAAUUUUAGUACCAUAAAUAUAUCUAUACUUACCUUUCUGCGGAAAAAAAUAAAAGAAAUAAAGAAAAAAGAAAAAGAAGCAAAUGGAGUACCAAUAAUUUGUUGGUUGUCUUGUAUCAAAUCAACUCUGCAGUGUACAUUUUCUAACGAGAGACUGAGCUUUGAAAACAAACGAAAGAAUAUAAAAGAGCAUUGAAAAAGAUACUCUAUUAAAAGGAACCCAGACCAAAAAAAAAAAAAAAAACUAACCGGACAAAAAGGGCCUUUAGUCCAAACAAUGACAACCUACCUUGUAGUUAUAGUUAUGAAAGAGCCUUAACAAUUAAAAUCCACAGAUGGACAUUAAACUCAAUGAUAGUUCAGUUCUGUCGACUCCUCUUAAAGUUCUCAUACUUCUCUCUAGCCAAAUGCCCCAUAAAACAGUGGAAAGGUAAGCAUACCAUAGAGUAAUACGCUCUUCUCACGAAUGCUGCCAAUCAAACAUGACAUAGUUCUCUGCUAAAGAGUUCUGCUGUGUGCAUUAAUUCAAUGUACUGUGUGGCAUUUACUUGUGCUCCAUUGUCAUAGGUCUUUAACUGCUUCAAUUUUAUAAUUCCAGAGAUUUUUAUCAAACAAAGGUCGUGAGAAUAGAUUAUGGAAGCAUCCCACUGAGUCUUGAUACUUGGGGAAGCAGCCGGGAACAAGUAGUUUUUGAUAGUGGCAGCUCAUACACUUACUUCACAAAAGAAGCAUAUUACCAAUUGGUUGCAAAUGUAAGUUUCAAGAUAUAGUAGCCUAUUGUAACCUGAAGGCCGAAGGGAUCUUCUUUCUUGUUUCUUCAUUUUUUUUUCUUUUUUUCUUUUUUUUUUGUUUUAAUAUGCUGAUUAUGUAUUUCGAUUCCUCUGUAGCUUGAAGAAGUGUCAGCGUUUGGGCUUAUUCUUCAAGAUUCAUCAGAUACCAUUUGUUGGAAAACUGAACAAUCUAUCAGGUAUAAGAAAGAUAGAAUUCUUAAGAACCCUCUGAGUCAUCAGAAGAUAUUCUUGAACCAUCUGCAUCCUCAAUAUGAAUAACAUUUACUUAUUGAAAGUAGAGACGAAGAAUGAACACAAUUUAAACAUAAUUUUAUGUGGAAACCUUAGUAUAGGGAGAAAAAUUGCGGUGCAGACAAUUUGAUUAUUUCUAAUAUUCAUAAAGGUACAAAGGGGAAGUAUUUAUAGGCAACACGAGCCUAAUUAACAAAAUAAAAAAUAGGGCAAAGACAAUUACGUAACUACCCUUGGGCUUUCAACAUGACCCAAGUCCAUUACUUCUAACACUUCUUACAAAUUUCUCUUACAGAUCUACUCACAAGUGAUUAAUUAUUUAAUCAAAAUGGAAUACUUGUUGUGACUAGAAAACUUUGCUUAUUUUCUUCUGUUUUUAAAACACCUUGAUGAAUAAUGAUGAUGGGGGAGAAAUAAAGGAAAACCUGGCUAAAAGUUUCUAGCUUAAAAAAGAUUAUAGAAAUUCUUGGUAGUACGAAACAUUUCCUUAACCACGUAAAAAUUUGCUCUACUUCAAUAGUUCCAGUCUCAAUGGCAACUCUCCAUUAUUGCUAGAUCCUAAGUUUCACAUGAACUCCUGCAGAUCUGUUAAAGACGUCAAGCAUUUCUUCAAACCUCUAACGCUUCAGUUCGGGAGCAGAUUUUGGCUUGUGUCCACGAAACUUGUGAUUCUUCCAGAGAAUUAUUUAUUGAUCAAUGUAGGUCUUAAUUUAUUUCCUUUAGAAAAAGUAUAGAUAUUUCUCCUGCUGUCGUUUCCAUGUUUUUUGAUUUUAUUUGCGUUUAUAAAUAUUGUGGAAUAAAUAAGUACUCCAUGUUCUGCAGAAAGAAGGAAAUGUAUGCUUGGGAAUUCUCGAUGGAAGCCAGGUACAUGAUGGGUCCACAAUCAUUCUUGGAGGUAAAAACUAUUUAUAGAGUUCGUGUUUUAUGCUACCUCAUGGACUUGCAUUAUAACCUUAUGCUUCGUGAUAAUGAGAAUUUUUAUAUAUUUCUAUCUUUCGUUUUACAAUAAGGAAUUUUCAUGUAUUUUUAUGCUCUGGCCUCUGGUUAAGCUCUAUCACGUCAACAUACUUUUAAUAUCCCUCAUGGUUAACAGAAACAUUAAUCUUAAAUGGCAUUGGAGGAUUCCUUUGAGUUUUUCAGCAUUGUAAGAGCCUGUUUGGAAUGACUUGGUUAAGUUUAAAGAAAAAAAGUGUUUCUAAGUGCAAAUAAGUUUUUAAGCAUUUAGAAAAUCAAUCGAAAUAGGUUCUAGGUGUGAUUGUGGUGCAAAUUUUCCUGGUUCGAAAUUACUGAUGUUUGCAACUCAAACAUCAUUUUAAACUUUCUUCAAACUCAUUAUUUUUCAUUGUUUUAUCUUUCAGACAAUGCAUUGCGUGGGAAAUUGGUCGUGUAUGACAACGUGAAUCAGAGAAUUGGAUGGACUUCAUCCGACUGUCACAAUCCAAGAAAAAUUAAACACCUCCCACUAUUUUGAUACACUGUCAGUCUACAGAUAAACUACUUAGUAAUUACUACGUGAUAUGCCUUGAUUGUUCUGUCUAUAAAUAUAAAUAGCUUAUUUGUGAAUAAAAUAAUAGAAGUGUAAGCACUGGACUUCAAAAUUCCAACAUGAUCAACUGUAGGUUCUCUUUUGGUCUCUAAGUAAACAACUAAAUCCAUACAACUUUAUGAAGUAAUUUGCAUGUAUGACAGAAAAAUGGUAAAAUAGUUUGAAAGAUGAAGAAGAAUUUAUGUUAUAGGAGAAGCUAAGUCUUCCUGUUCUUUUGUGUCACCUUCAUGCUUACAACAAGUUUCAACUUGGUCAUAGUUUGAUUGGCAUUUCCAGGCAUUGAUGAUCAAGGGCCCUUGGAUACCAUUGUUUUCAUUGAAGGUAUCACACUCUUGAAUCUCCAAUAUCUCUACUCUGCGGUUGGUUUUCUUUCUUAUUUUGAUUGCUAUAUCUUGAGGGCUAAACUUCCCACAAACGCUUACCCUGCACUGCUUUUGUUCUAUCAAAUGGGUCUCCAACUCUAUCAAGGUGACAAGAAGUUACAUGUCACAGGUUACCAAGUAGAAUCAAUUGAAGAGAGCAAGUCUAACUCAAAACUAAAGGAUUGAGAGAGACAGAGAUGCGAAAUUAUUUAUUCUGACUUCCUCAAUAUGACUGUCUUUUUCUAAACUCUAACCAUUAGUUUCAUGGUAAAAAAAUAGAAUUUAAUUACUCUCUGAUUUUGAAUGGUUUGAAAUAGUCAGCCAUAUUGUUUUAGCAGCCCCCUUAAAUAAUUUCUCUAUAGAGAAUGAAACAGAGAAAGAAAGAGAUUUCACCUUUUAUACUGAGAAUAGCCCUUCUUACUUUCCUGUAACAUCCAUUGCAGUCCAUGUGAAUUCUCAAAACCAUGCAGAAAAACUGCCAUAGUUGUCAAGGGAAAACAGUUCAUUAAUACCAAUGAAGCUUCGAAGGAGAAGAAGAAUGGAGAGUUGGUGAGGUUGAACUUGCCUUUCCUGUCAUUAAAACACUGUCCAAAACAAAACCUUUCUCCCUGAAUGAUGCUUAAACACGUAAACAGAGAGAAAACUGAUGUGGUUUUUCACAGAACUUGAAAGGGAUGGACUUGAAAAUCUAGGUUUAACGACGGUAUUGAUUGGUGAGAGAAUAAAAAUAAAAAUAAUAAUAAUAUUGUUAUUAUUAAUAUUUGGAACCUGAUUCUGCACUGUGGUUUGUAGGUUGUUCAUUAUAUUCUUGGCUUCUUCACUUUGUUUCUCCUUUUCAUUCUCUUUUUCGUAUAGAGAAAAAGAAGGCAUCCUUUCUUAAACCAGAUAGUCAUUCUUCUUCUCAUCAUAAGGCCAUAAUUCUUCAUCAAAAUUUUAGCAGAGCAAGCAAUGACAAGGCAACAACCAUAUAGAAAACCUUUUUUUUUCCCUUUUAUAUUAAGGAAUAUUCCAAACUACUCUCAGGUUUAAUUAUUAGUGCAUUUGGUUCCAGGGUUAGCCUUGUCUAAUUUAUAAUUAAAAACGUGAACUUAGGUAUGAUUUGUUCUAAGUUACGGAUUCGUGAAUCCACUAGAGACACUAAUGUAAUCGUAUAAACUAAAUAUAUACCAUAAAAUUAAGUCUAAUAAGUUAAUAAAGGCAUCAAUUAUAGUAAGGUCGAUGAUUGGAUUCUCUUCUCACGAGUCAUAUACUCAACUUUAACGUUAUUGUAUCUUUUUACUUCAACCUCUAAAAAUUCAAACUAAAUAAAGUAGAUGAAGUCGAGAGAUAAACUAUAUCCAAAAGUCUAAAUUGUAAACUCCUUAUGCCUAACUUCAUUAAACAAAACUAAAGAUAAUUUGAUGUGAUAUGCUAAAUAUUCACUUCUCUAAGUUCAACAAUGUUGAGGUAGCAUUUUGUGCAUCGACUUGAUUUUUAAGAUAAACCAACAUUUUAAUCCGUUGAGUUAUAUUUAAGUUGACAUAUUAGAUAAGACUUAGUUUUCGUAUUUAAAUAAAAUACGUGGUUAUUAACGACGAUAACGUGACUUUUGUAUGUUGUAUCAUCUUCCUCAAUUUUCUCUAAUUAUAAAAGGCAUACAAUUCAAGUAUUUUCAAGGUACAAGAUUAAUUACAUUAAAUGUCUUAGACACCCAUUACUGACUUUUUAAAAGCAAAAUACGUCCUAAAUGUCAACUUUAUAAUACUGCUUGCUAAGAAAAAUAAAUAUUGAAAAGAACUAAUAAGUUAGAGGGCAUUAUUGAAAUUUUAAUUUUUUUAAAAAUUUUAGUUCUUAGGAAAUUAAAUUGCAAUUAAACUAAAAUUGAUACAAUAAUUUAGAGUAAUUUUCUUGUUAAAGGGAUUGAUUCCAAAGAAAAAGAAAAGUCAAGUCUUUUGUUUUCCUUAACAUCAAAACUUUGUUGUUCAGAUUCUGAGUGUACUUUAUUCUUUAUUGCACUACAAUUGAAGAGCCACUUUUUUUUUAUGUCACAAACAACUAUUUGAGAUAUGAUAAUAUCUCUUGAGAAAAAAAUUGAUUCCUAUAAAAUAAUAUUAAAUAAAAAAUGGAAAAGAAAAUAGAAUUAGUUACCAUUUAAGUUGAAAAUUGGAAAGGAUUAGAGUUCUUUUGUGGGCUAAAUUGAGUAAACUCAUACCAAAAAUUUAAUGCAAAAAAAAAGGUUACAUUUAAAUGAAAAUAAGAAUAUUUUCCAUUUCAUCAGAUAAUCUUAAGCAUAGUUCUAUUUUAUAUAGUACUUUCUCAUGUAAAAAAUGGUAAAUUUAUCGAUCAACUUACAUUUUUUGUUGAGCUAAAUUUUAGUUCAAUGAUUUGAGAGUUUCAUUGUAGUAAUAUUUAAAAGUUUAAUCGUAAAAUUUCAAAUUUUGAAUAAAACAAUUUGAGGAUAUAAACUUUACAAUGGCUAAUUCUCAAUUUUGUUACAUAUACUAAUAAUUUGUACUCUGGAGGGUAAGUAUAUAUUGUCAUCUAUAUAUAAGAACAUAUAAAAAGUAUUCUCACGUUUCCUAACAUAAAGAUGUGAAGCUUGUGCCAGCUUGAGAGAAAUUUAUUAAUAGAAGUAUAUAUGUUUGGGCAUUACAAUUGAAAUCAUGGAAAUGAUCAAGAUUUGCAAAUAUUGUUAUUAUUAGUUACAUCAUUUCCAAGGGUACUUCAAUUCAUACCUUUUGUUGGUAUGGUUAUGGAAGGAAAUACCAGAGUUUCCAGCACUCCAAUUGCAAAUAUUAUGGUCACAAUAAUUAGUGAGAUCUGACUCAUAAUUUUCUGGCCGAAAAACAUCACCACUUACCGUUCCAUGUUUGCUUUCAAAAUUGCACCAAAAUAAUGUGCUUAGCUGAAGAUUUUCAUAAAACCCCCAGUUGUAUUUUUUCCUAUAGUCGAGUAUGUGCUUGCCCAGAUCGUCAUCUUUCGACUUACAGUGAACUGUUAGACUUGAUUCAUACACAUGAUUCCAAAUCGUCACUUCCCACCAAUCAAAUGGAUUUAGUACUUUGGAUUGGGCGAAACACGACUUGAUCAUCGUGUUUGAUUCCAAAACAAUAAAUAAGAAUAUGAAACCUAAAAUGUUUACCAAUUUCAUGAUUUUGAUAACUUCUUUUUUCUUAUAAUAAUAUAAACUGUUUUAGUUUUUGUUUCGUAUAUAUAUAUAUAGCCAACUUGAAUUAUAUUUCUGAUAUGGAAGAUUAAUCUUUAAUUUCCUUACCUUAUUUAUUAAACAUAUACCAUGAAUGUAUGUAAUCAUGUCUAACAUAAGGAAAGCUAUUAGUUAGGUGAGAUGAAUUUUGAAUUGAUAUUGACUUUAAUUAAAUAACUAGCAAUGCAUAAUACCAAUUAAAGUAAAAAAAAAAAAAAUCAUACCAUUACAUUGAAUCGGUGAUAAAAUUUAAAGUUUGUUCACGAUCAAUAUAUUUUGACAAUGAAUAUAUUUUGUUCUAUUUAAUCAUGAUCAACAAUAUAAAAGAGUGACUAGAUUCAUGUUUAAUAUCAAUGUAAUUUUUGUACGGGAAGAUUUCAAUAUUUUUAAUUCGAAGAAAAUGAGUUUGGAUAUGGAAUUUGAAUAAUAUAAUUAUAUUUUAAAUACUAUAUUUAGAAAGAUAGAAAAAGUACAAUAUAUAUAUAUAAACUCUAUAAGGCAGAUACUCAUAUCAUAUUAUAAAAGUUUUUCUGAAGACAUAAGUUAAGAAAUACCAAUGUACAUUUGUAUAUGAUAAUACUUCAUAUUAUGGAUUUUUUUUUCUUGUUUAGAUAAUGCAAAUUGAUUUCUUUUGGCUUCAAUUUGGGUCAAUUUACAUUUUUAUAUUGAAUAGAAAUUUUAGGAAAUAUUAGUUAACAUAUGAUAAUAUUAUUAAAUAUAUUAUUAUUUAAUUUAAUAUUAAAGAAAAUACAUAGAUAAUAGGACUUUUAGGUAAUAUUUUUCUCCCUCAAAAGAAAUCAUUUUCGAGGACGAAAAAUAAUGUAAGGAUUUAAGUUAGACAUGUACACAUAAUCACUUGGACAGUGUACACAUAUGAAGGUCCAUCGGAGAAGUCAUUACAUAUAUUAUUUCCAUCGAUAAGCUAUAAUAUAUUCAUUGAUAGAAGCAAAAUACAAGUAAACCCCAAAUCUUCGAGCAGACCAAAUGCAGUUAUGAUCUUUACAUUGAUCACUAAGCCGAUUUUUUCUUUCUGGCCAGAAAACAUCACCAGAAGCCUGUCCAUCAUUGCUUCUAAAAUUGCACCAAAACAGUGUAGUUUGCCAAAUAUUUUCUUUAAAAUUCCAAUACCAUUUAUCUCCGGAGACGAUCACAUGCUCUCCUAAAUCAUUGUCUUUUGACUUGCAAUGAACCACCAAAGUUGAAUUCAAAUCAUUCAAAAUGGUCACUUGCCAUUUGGAAAAUGGAAGUUGUACUUUCGAUUCUUCAUUUGAUGGAUUUAAACAUGAUGACCUAAUCAUCAUGUUUAAUUCCAAAGCUACCAAUAAGACAAAACACAAACUGUUUAGAGGUUUCAUCUUCUUUUUCUUUGGAAGUUUGAUCUUAAUUUUCGGAUGCGAACCCUAAUUUUGGUUUUGUUUAUAUAGUACUCAAGUUUAGUUCCUAUCCUAGACAAUUAAUUUCCCCCUAAUACAAUAUAUUUAGUUUUUGUCGUUUCAUAUAUAUAUAUAUAGCCCAAAUUGAAUUAUAUUCCUUAUAUGGAAGAUUAUUCAUUAAUUUCCUUACCUUAAAAAACAUAUAGAAUAUAUGAAGGAAAGCUAUUAAGAUGAAAUUUGAAUUGAUAUCAAAUUUAAUUCAAUAAGUACUCGAUGUUGUUAGUAAUGCAUAAUGCCAACUAAACCCUAAACAUACAAAUAAAAACUAUUGUAUCAUUUUUUCGAAUUGGUAAUAAAAUUUAAAAUUUGUUCACGAUGAAUAUAUUUUAUUCUAUUUAAUCAGGUUGAACAAUAAUAUAAAAGCGGGUGACUUUGAGUUCUACUAUUCAUCUUUAUGAUUUAAUGUAAUUAUUGUGUAAGAUAUUUUAAUAUUCUUUAAUUGAAAGAAAAAUGAGUUCGAAUAUAGGAUUUGAAUAAUACUAUAUAUGAAAAACUACAAAAAUAUAAACUCUAUAGAGUAGAUACCAUAUCAUAUUAUAAAAGUUUUUUUUUUUAAGAUAUAAGUUAAGAAAUACCAACGUACAUUUGUAUAUGAUAAUACUUUAUAUUGUGGAUUUUUUUUUCCUUGUUUAGAUAAUGCCGAUUGAUUUCUUUUGGCUUCAAAUUGGGUCAAUUUAUAUUUUUAUAUUGAAUAGGAAUCUUAGGGAAUAUUAGUUAAUAUAAGACAAUAUUAUUAAACAUAUUAUUAUUUAAUUUAAUAUUAAAGAGAAUACACAGAUGAUAGGACUUUUAGGUAAUAUUUUUCACCCUCUAAAAAAAUUAUUUUAAAAGAUGAAAAAUAAUGUAAGGAUUUAAGUUAGACAUGUACACAUAAUCAUUUGGAGAGUGUACACAUGUGAAGGUCGAUCGAAGGAGUCAUUACAUGCAUCAUUUCCAUCGAUAGGCUAUAAGAUAUUCAUUGAUAGAAGCAAAAUACAAGUAAACCCCAAAUCUUCGAGCAGACCAAAUGCAGUUAUGAUCUUUACAUUGAUCACUAAGUCGAUUUUUUCUUUCUGGCCAGAAAACAUCACCAGAAGUCUGCCCAUCAUUACUUCUAAAAUUGCACCAAAACAAUGUAGUUUGCCAAAUAUUUUCUUUAAAAUUCCAAAACCAUUUAUCUCCCGAGACGAUCACAUGCUCUCCUAAAUCAUUGUCUUUUGACUUACAAUGAACCACCAAAGUUGAAUUCAAAUCAUUCAAAAUGGUCACUUGCCAUUUGGAAAAUGGAAGUUGUACUUUCGAUUCUUCAUUUGAUGGAUUUAAACAUGAUGACCUAAUUAUCAUGUUUAAUUCCAAAGCUACGAAUAAGAGAAAACACAAAUUGUUUAGAGACUUCAUCUUUAUUUUCUUUUGGAGUUCGAUCUUAAUUUUUCGAUACCCAACCCUAUUUUGAUUUUGUUUAUGUAGUCAAGUUUAGUUUCUAUUAUAAACAAUUUCUCCCUAAUUUUCUUGUCUCUAUUAUUAAAAGAUUUGUUGUUGUUGUUAUAAUUACUAAAUCUUUGUUAGAUCAUUUCAAUUGUUAUUGUACAUAACUAUUGUAUUCAUGAACGUAUCUAUGAAUAGGAUUUGAUUUAAUUAUUUCAUUCAAUUUACUUUAAUGAGAAAGAUAUAAGAUUGUCAAGAAUUUCUUGUUACUUUUUUGUUUUCUAUUCAAGCAUAAUACAGUAUAUGGAUGGUAGGUAUGUGGUAAUUAUAUACUACUACAUCAAAAAAAGACCCGCUCUGACGUCAUUUUUUAGGGUAGGUUUUUAAAUGUCAUGAAUGUUUGUUACUUUUGAUGGUUUUUACCUGUCAUAAACAUUAGUAAUUAUAACAACCACAACAAAUUUUUUAAUAAUAGAGACAAGAAAAUUAGGGGAAAAUUGUUUAUUAUAGAAACUAAACUUGACUACAUAAACGAAAUCAAAGUAGGGUUGAGGAUCGAAAAAUUAAGAUCAAACUCCAAAAGAAAAUAAAGAUGAAGUCUCUAAACAAUUUGUGUUUUCUCUUAUUCGUAGCUUUGGAAUUAAACAUGAUAAUUAGGUCAUCAUGUUUAAAUCCAUCAAAUGAAGAAUCGAAAGUACAACUUCCAUUUUCCAAAUGGCAAGUGACCAUUUUGAAUGAUUUGAAUUCGACUUUGGUGGUUCAUUGUAAGUCAAAAGACAAUGAUUUAGGAGAGCAUGUGAUCGUCUCGGGAGAUAAAUGGUUUUGGAAUUUUAAAGAAAAUAUUUGGCAAACUACAUUGUUUUGGUGCAAUUUUAGAAGCAAUGAUGGGCAGACUUCUGGUGAUGUUUUCUGGCCAGAAAGAAAAAAUCGACUUAGUGAUCAAUGUAAAGAUCAUAAUUGCAUUUGGUCUGCUCGAAGAUUUGGAGUUUACUUGUAUUUUGCUUCUAUCAAUGAAUAUCUUAUAGCCUAUCGAUGGAAAUGAUGCAUGUAAUGACUCCUCCGAUGGACCUUCACAUGUGUACACUCUCCAAGUGAUUAUGUGUACAUGUCUAACUUAAAUCCUUACAUUAUUUUUCAUCCUCGAAAAUAAUUUCUUUUGAGGGUGAAAAAUAUUACCUAAAAGUCCUAUCAUCUCUGUGUAUUCUCUUUAAUAUUAAAUCAAAUAACAAUAUGUUUAAUAAUAUUGUCAUAUAUUAACUAAUAUUCCCUAAAACUUCUAUUCAAUAUAAAAAUAUAAAUUGACCCAAUUUCAAGCCAAAAGAAAUCAAUUGGCAUUAUCUAAGCAUCCAUAGUAUAAAGUAUUAUCAUGUACAACUUACAUCGGUAUUUCUUUAACUUUCACAGUUUUUCCUAUAUUUUUAGAUAUAGUAUUUAAAAAAUUACUAUAUUAUUCAAACCUCAUAUUUCUUCGAAUUAAAAAAUGUUGGAAUCUUCUACUACAUUAAUCUUAAAGAUGAAUAGCAGAAUUGAAAGUCACCAUUUUAUAUCAUUAAUUGUUCAUCAUGAUUAAAUAGAACAAAAUAUAUUUAUCGUGAACAAAUUUUAAAUUCUAUCAUCGAUUCAACGUAAUGGUACGAUAUCUUUUUUUUUGUGUAAGGCUUUAAUUGGCAUUAUGCAUUACUAACAAAUUUCAUCUUACCUAUCUAAGCAAUAACUUUCCUUCAUAUAUUUGUAUUUGUUUAAGGUAAGGAAAUUAAGGAUUAAUCUUCCUUAUAAGGAAUAUAAUUCAAUUUCGCUAUAUAUUACUACUACAAAUUUGAUCUUUCUUGAUGCACAUAAAUUAAAUUUGAUCUUUCUUGAUGCACAUAAAUUUUGGUCUUUUUUAUGGUCGUGGCAAAGGACCAUCAAGAAAAAUAUUUUCUUGAUACAAUGUUAAAAAGAAAUGUGGACUUUUUAUUUCAUUGUUGGACAAAGUUCCCUAGUUUUGUUGAUGGUUCAUAAACGUCAAGAAAACCAUUUCUCGAUGGACAAUAAACAUAAAAAAUAAUGCAUUAGUUGACUGACAAUGUCCAUCAAGUUAUAUAGGUUUUCUUGAUGGAUAAGAUCUAUAAAGGAAUGAAUUUUCUUGAUUUUCAAUUGCCGUCAUCGAAAAAAUUAAUAUAUUUGUUUUGAAUUUCUUGAUGGACUUAGAAUUUUUUUAAUAUGUCUAGGGGUUCUUGAUGGACAAUAAUAUAUAUAUAUAUCAUGGCCAAGGUCCAUCAACAAAAAUGAUAUCUUGAUGGGCAUUGUCCAUCAAGAAAAAAAAUUAUAAUUCUCGAUUUAAGAUAAGAUUAUGGACAAGAUCCAUAAAAAAUAAUAUCGUCUAUCAAAAAAAUUAUUUCCUCUAAAACAUGAAAUUCGGACCCUUGUUAACAGGCUUAGAAAACAUGAUAUUCAUCAAUAUUAUUCUUUAAGCUUAAAGGCUUUACUAUUUUUUUUCCACUGUCUAUACAUCAAUAAUACAAUAUUAAUUUUUUAAAAGUUAACUGUUGUAAUUAUAAUUAUAUUGAAAUAAGUGACUUUAUCAAAAUUAAAUUACUUAUUUUGUUCAACUUUAAUGAGUUGAAUUUAAAGUUUGUAAUAUAGGGAUUUAAAAAUUUGUGAUAGUUAUAGAACAUAAACUUAGCUCAACUGGCACUUGUAUAUAUCUAUCGACAAAAGGUCUCGCAUUAAAAAUUUAUAAAAAUUAUUUAUAAAUUUACGUUCGCUAGUACACAAAACCUAAGGUGGGUGUGAGAAUAUAAAAUACCUUGGAAAGGAGGCUUUGAUGUGUAGACAUUUUUUUAUGUGAUUUGGAUAUGAUGCUCACUUUCUUUUUGUUAUAACAACACAAAUUAUUUUAGUUUUUGUUUCAUAUAUAUAUAUAACCCAAAUUGAAUUAUAUUCUUUAUAUGGAAGAUUAUCUUUAAUUUCCUUGCCUUAAACAUAUACAAUAUAGGAAAUAUAGGAAGGAAAACUAUAGCUUAGAUAGGUGAGAUGAAAUUUGUAAGGAUAUUGAAUUUAAUUCAAUAACCACUCAUGGUGUUAUUGUUAGUAAUGCAUAAUGCUAAUUAAAGCAUAAAUAAAUAAAAAUUAUCCUACUAUUAUGUUGAAUCCGUGAUAAAAUUUAAAAUUUGUUUACGAUGAAUAUAUUUUGUUUUAUUUAAUCAUGAUGAACAAGGAUAUAAAAGCGGGUGACUUAAGUUCUACCAUUCUCAUUUAAUAUUAAUGUAAUUUUUGUGGAAGAUUCUAAUAUUCUUUACAAUUUUGAAAAAAAAUGAGUUGGAAUAUGGAGUUUUGAAUAAUAUAAACAUUCUUUUAUAUACCAUAUUUAGAAAUCGAAAAAUUAGGAAAAUAUAAAUAUAUCCAUACCAUAUUUUUUAAAAAUAUAUAAGUUAAUAAAUACGAUAUACAUCAAUUAAUUAUAUGAUAAUACUUUAUAUUAUGGAUUUUCUUUUCUUGUUUAGAUUAUGCCAAAUGAUUUUUUUUUUGGCUUCAAAUUGGGUCCAUUGUUAUUUUUAUAUUAAAUAGGAAUUUUAGGGAAUAUUAGUUAAUAAUUGAUAAUAAUAUUAAAUAUAUUAUUUUUGAUUUAAUAUUAAAGAGAAUACAUCGAGAAUAUAAGACUUUCAAGUAAUAUUUUUCUUCCUCAAAAGGAAUAAUUUUCGAGGAUGAAAAAUAAUGUGAGGAUUUAAGUUAGACAUGUACAUAUAUUCACUUGAACAGUGUACACAAAUGAGUUAAGGUCCAUCGUAGGAGUCAUUACAUGUAUUAUUUCCAUCGAUAGGCUAUAUGAUAUUCGUUGAUAGAAGCAAAAUACAAGUAAAUCCCAGCAUUUCGAGCAGACCAAAUGCAGUCAUGACCUUUGCAUUGAUCACUAAGCCGACUUCCUCUUUCUGGCCAGAAAACAUCACCAGAAGUUUGCCCAUAUUUGCUUCUAAAAUUGCACCAAAAUAAUGUAGUUUGCCAAAUAUUCUCUUUAAACAUCCAAUACCAUUUAUCUCCCGAGACAAUCACAUGUUCUCCUAAAUCAUUGUCUUUUGACUUACAAUGAACCAUCAAAGUUGAAUCCAUCAAAUCAUUCAAAAUGGUCACUUGCCAUGGAGAUAAUGGAAGUUGUACUUUCGAUUCUUCGUAUAAUGGGUUUAAACACGAUGACCUAAUAAUCAUGUUUAAUUCCAAAGCUACCAAAAAGAAAAAACACAAACUGUUUUGAAGUUUCAUGAUCAUUUUCUUUUGGAGUUGGAUCUUAAUUUUCUGAUCUCCAAACCUAUUUUGAUUUUGUUUAUGUAGUCAAGUUUAGUUCUUAUUAUAGUCAAUUUCUCCCUAGUUUUCUUAUCUAUUAAAAGGAUUUUGUUGUUGUUGUUAUAAUAUUACUAAUAUUGUUCUUUGUUAGAUCAUUUCAGUUGUUUUACAUUCCAUUUAAUUAUUGUAUUCAUCAACAUAUCUAUAAAUAGGGUUUGAUUUAAUUAUAUCAUUCAACUUUACUUUAACAAGAAAGAUAAGACCAUAUGUUCAGUUUCAAUUUUAUUUGUUAAUUUUUUUGUCAAGAAUCUCUUAUUACUUUUUUGUUUUCUAUAUUCCAACAGAAUACAAUAUAUGGAUGAUAGGUAUGUGGUAAUUAUAGGGUGAAAAGAACUAUUCUUGGAUCAAUCUUUGUAGUCAGUCUGAGACAAUUUUAGAAUUCGUUUUAUAACAUGUUUUGAUUUUCAUUCUAUUCCAUAGUGAUGAACUGAUCAUAUGGAUCAUUCAAGUGGUUCCAAAUUGUAGCUUGAGUUAUGUGAUCCAAAUUCUAAGAUCAAUUAGGUUCUCGCAGUACAUACAAUACUGAAUGGUAUAAUAAUUUUUUUUUUCUUUUUUGUAAAUAAGCCAAACUUCAAUUUUCAUACAAUAACCCAUAAAAACAAAAAAAAAUAUCUUUUCAAAAGUAAAAAAAGAUUGACACAAAUAUCUUUAUAAUAUUUUAGUUAGAUUGAGUAAUAUUUUGAGUGUUUGGCAUCAAUGAAAUGAGGGUUGUUGUUUUUAAAUUAAAUACAAGUUUGAACAUUACUAUACACGAAAAAAUGAAAUUAACAUAUUGAUAUUGUAGCAUCAAAUGUAAAAUUAGUAAUGAUAGUCAAGAUGCAUGUAAGUUUCAACAUUAUCAAAUACAACCACAAUUUUAAAAAUAAACAACUAAUAUUUUUCAAUUUUAAAUCUAAAAUAUUAUUGUUGUCAACUUUGAUAUAUAUUUUCUUAAUUCCAACAAAAUUGAACGAGAGAAUAAUAAUAUGAAUCUAGAGAAGUUGAACCACAAUUUUUAUUGUUCAAACCUAAUGGUUACUAUUGAUUAAAGAUUUGAGUUUUAUGGAAAAAAGUAGAAAAUGACGAGGACGAUGUAAUUUUAACCUCAAAGCUAAUAACUUUAUACGCUAAUAAAAAUUUACUAUUACAAAAAGAAAUUAACGUUUCUUUCUUUUCAAAGUUGUUUAAAAAAGUUUGUGAUAUUAAUCUUGUUCAAUAUAUAGUUUAGCAUAUUAUUUUUCAAUAACAAGGAGCGUAUGUAUUCAUCAAAUUAUAUGUUUGAAUUUUACAUUUGUGUACAAUAAUCAAGUUGAGUAGACAUAUAGAGGAAGGUGUUUAGGGGUUACACAAAUUACUUCCAAGUGUACUUUGUAUGAAAGACCUUGGAAGGAUGAUUAGAAUACAAGAAAACCCCACCAACUUGAACAAACCAAAUACAAUUAUUAUUUACACAUUGGUCAGUAAGUCGACUUCCAUUUUCUGGCCAGAAAACCUCACCAGAAACUUCCCCAAAGUUGCUCCUAAAAUUGCACCAAAACAAAGUGGUUGACCAAAUGUUUUCUUUAAACUUCCAGAAGUACUUCCCUCCUUGCUUUAUCACUUGUUUCCCCAGAUCGUUGUCUUUCGAUUUGCAGUGAACCACUACGUUUGAAUCUAUAUUAUUCGUAAUCGUCACUUUCCACGCAGAGAAUGGAAGUUGUACCCUUGUUGAUUGUGCUAAACAUGACUUGUUUGAUUCCAAACCAACCAAUAACACAAUGCAUAAAAGUAUGUUUACAGACUUCUUCAUCAUCUUCUUCUUUGGACACAAAUUAUCACAUGAACACAACCCUUUUUUAUUUUAUGUUUCAUAUAUAACCCAGCUUGAGAGUUCCUAACAGAGCUCAUUUACUUGCUUUUGUUAAAACAAUUUUGUUUUCCUUUUUAGUUCCUUUUCAGCUGAAACGUUCUACAUUCUGUUCGAUCUUCUUAUAUUCAUAGUAUACCUAUUAAUAGCUAUUUUUGUAUCACUUGUAAUAUUGAAGAAAAGAAACAAACCCUUUUGUUAAUGAUCAUAUCCAAUGUUUUUCUUUUUUCCUUGAAUUUAUGUUUAUCAUCUGGUUUAUUUUCACUAGUUAGAGAACGUGUGUAUGAUCCACGCUAGGACGUGAGUUUAAAACUCUUUGUAUUGAUUUUUGAAAACAUCUAAAACCCCAAGGAUUACUACACAAUGUUGUAUUUGUUAGAAAAAAAUUAAUGUUGAUAAGAUCUUAUCUAAUUUGUUUAUCUAUUAUUCUAUGUAUUUGUUUCAUCCAUCAUCAGUUGGUGUUAAAUAUCAAUAAUGUAAACCAAGAAUUUAUAGUUUUAUUUUAGUACAUAGAGUAAUAAAAUAAAUCUAAAUUAUAAAUUAUUAGUUUCAUUAUUAUUUCUUAUAAUUAUAAAUAUUAGAAUUAUGUUGACAAUUUUCCAAACCAACCCCUCCCAAAUGAAUGAAUAUAAUAUCAUUGAUAUUGAAAGUUCAACAUGAAUGCCAUUUUUAUCAUUUUAUUUAUACCCAAUAGCACAUAAAAUUUAUUGAAUUGAAAAAAGAAAAGAAAAAAGCUCAUAAAAUUUAGAGUUUUACGUUAAUUUCAUAACACGUUAUUUUAAUUUUGACCCAAUAAAUUUUUGUUUAACUUUGAGAAUUGACUCAUAAAUCUACAUAAAUUUAAAAUUUAAUCCACACAUCAUUUUAAGAAUAAACAUUAAUUCUUAUAAUUUGAUAAUACUCUCAUUUUUCAAAUAACUUUCUCUCUCAUUGGUAAGAAAAAAAGGUAUUAUAUGUUAUUAAAUUCUAAUAUAUUUGUAGAUAUUUUCCACCUAUUUUUAAAAAAUAUUUAUCAUUUAAAACAAAUUUCCUUUUAUUUAUAAAAUAUAUAAAAAAUCAAUUCUAGAUAUUUUAAUAAAAUAAGACACAAUUAAUUUAAUAUAACCUUUUACCUAACACUAACUUUAUAAUUUCAAACGUCUAGCCUUACACUCUCAAUGGUUGCUAAAAUAGAGAUUAAAUAAAAAUCUUCACCAAUUAAAUUCAUUUCAAGAAUGUGCUAAAGAUAAAUUUGAAAUUUCAACGGAGCCAUACAUUAUAUUAUCUUAACUUCUAAUGUGGACUAAACCAAAUUACUUCUUAUAAAUAUAAAUAUUAAAAUGAUCUUUCUUGUCAACUUUCCAAAGCAACCAAUAAUAAACACAUAAAAAAAUCUAUUUUUUGAAAAAGAAAAAGAAAAAACAUUGUUUUUCUUUUAAUUCUGCAUUUUCUAUUCUGAAAUUUGUGUGCUUUUUUUUUUUUUUGGAUUAAAAUUUACAACCUACAUGCAUGAAACGGCGUCGUUUCCCACGUAGCAACACGUGAAAAAAAACCAACCCUAAAAGAAAAAAAACCCAAAAACCACCAUCCCUAUUCCAUUCGAAAACCGUUUCUACAAAGCCGGUAAAGACUCCGGCCGAAACAGCACGUCGGAAUAAUCAAACAAACCACCCAAUGCAACAAACUCUCCACCGCCCAACCCAUUGUCCUCCGCCACCGCCGCACCGGAACCAAUCCCCAUUCCCAACUCGAACGAGUCGUAACACGGAAUGUCAUCAUCAAACCCCAACUUUCCUUCCAACUCGAACACAUCAGGAGAACAAGAAGAAGCAGGAGGCAUAAAAUCAAUGGCCUCCAUCUUCUUCCCUUCCGUAGUACUACUCAAACCUCCACUCGGCGGUAACCCUAACUCAUCAUCCGACGCCCCAAAUAAAUACCCGAGUUCCGCUUGAGGGGUUUCAUUAUUAUUAUUCUGAUCAUCCACCGACGAGGGGACGCCUUGAAUCUCUUCCUCAAAGCUUUUAAUAAACGAAUCAAGUUCAAGACCUUCAAUAGCACUCUCAUCUCGCUCCGCUACCACGUCUGAAUCUUCAAGAAUAUUGAGUAACAACUCAUCCUGAAUCUCCUCAGAUUCCACCAAAUCAUCAAUAUUCAAAUCACCAGCAAUAGCAGAUGAACCUUGGACAACAUUGAAAUCCUCCUUAGUGCAUGGCUUCCCAAUUCUCAAAUCCGAUGAGUUGAGUCUUCUAAGCUUGGACUCGGCAGAAUCGGCCAACGAGUCAUCGUCUAACUCGUCGUGAACUCGCUUUCUAUCCUCGGAGAAAUUAUCCAUGGAAGUAACUUAGAAAGAGAGAAUAAAGAAGAAGAAGAAGAAGAAGAAGAAAUAGGUUGGUUCGGUUCUAAGUUGAAGCCGCCAUUAGAGAGAAGAAAAAAGGAGAGGAAGAAAAAUGUGAAGUGGUGAGUGAGAAAUGGAAGGAGGGAGGUUUUAAAAAGAGGGGGAAUUGAAGGGAAGAAAGAGACAAAUACAGGUGGCGAAUAAAGAGAGGGUUUAGAAAAACAAUUUCUCGGUCGUUUUGUUCCACUUUUUCUUCCUUUUUUUUUCUUCUCCCAAUUUUAUCCAUUUUUGUUUCUUUUAAAUUUCUCUCCUCCGCUUUUUUUUCCUUUUUUCUUUUUCAAUAAUAUAAACAAAUACAUAUUUGGGUCUUCGUUUUUUUCCUUCUUUAUUUAACUAAAUUUGAAUCAAAACUUUGAAGUCCGUUGCGGGACCCACUGACUUGGCAUUGAAUUUCGCCUCUUUUUCUUUAAAAUAAAAAUUACAUUUUUGGGAUAUUAAUUUAUUUAUUUAUUUACAUUCGUUGGGGUCGGCGUUGAAUCGGUCUCUACGCAUUGGCUCUUGACCGCUCCACCUGAGUUUUGCAUCACUGUCCUUUUCCUUUCUUUUUCCCUUCACCAUUCUUCUAUUUUUCCUUCUCCCUAUAUUUUCAAUUAACUAAUCUCCACAUUUUUCCUUUUUUAUACAAAUGCCAUUUUUACCAUCCAUUUUCUUAAAUAAAAUUAUGCAAAUACUGAUUGAAAACAUUACUAUUCAACUCUUUCUGUUUUCUUUUCAAAAGUUAUUCCUAUAAUUAGAAUCUUCUACACUCUCUAUAUAAACAAAUCCCAGAGUUUACAGCAUAAAUAAACAAUUGAAACCCAAGUUCAUUACUAUUUUUUUGUGAUUUUCUAACCUCUCGAUUUAGUCCGAAUGACUAUGUUGUUACGUAACUUAAGAUUAUGAAUUUGUUGAGCUUUGAUUCUUUUCCCAGUUCCAACUAAACACUUCAAACUUUAAUAAUAAAUAACGUAUAAUCAUAUUUAUUCUAAGAUUAACUAUUAAUUAAACCAAACUAAAUUUUGUUGACUCAACGUUAUUCAAUGUGACUUAAGGAUAUAAAAGUUUAAAUUUUCGUAUAUUAAAAUUUAGGUUAAAUUACAAAUAGGUGUUUGAUUCUUUAGGGUUCUGUAUUUUUGUUUUUAGUGUUCAAACUUUCAAAAUGAUGAAAAUGGGGGCUUUAAACAGAAUACUAACAAAGGGAUGAAAAUGAGGUAUAAAAAAACAAAAGGAAGAGAAGGAAGGUUGUUUCGAAAGUAAUUUAAAGUAAAUAAUUAAUUGUAGUCUUGUUUAAAGAAGCUUCAUGAAUAAUGGGUUUCUUUCGUCACCCUUUGUUUUUUUAUUUUUUAGGGCUAAUUCUAAAUAACGAAAUAAAAAACGAAAUGAUUAUCAUGAGAGGUUUAGAUGAUUUUUAUAUUAAUAUUAGACUACGAAUAUAAAACUUUAAUAUAUAUAAAUUAAAAAUAAGUGCUAAUUUUUUAAAUUUUAAGCAAAAUUUUAGAAAUAAAUAACUAAAAACUAAAUUGUUAUCGGGUCUAAUUAGUUAAAUUGCAAGUUUAGACUAAUUGUAUUUAUUUGAUAGUUUGCUUUUCAAGAGUGUUUAAUAAAUUUAUUUUGAAUUUUUUAUAAUUUAGUUUCUAAAUUUAAGGUUCGUUUUAAAUUUUGUUUGUUUAAAUUUAUUUGUGUGAAAAUUGCAUUCAUACAAAUAAUUUUAUAUAGCAUCCAAACAUUUAAUUUUUUCUUCGAAACAAUCCAUCUUUUAAAUUAAAUACUUGAAAAUGCAAUUUAAAUAUGUAAUAGUUCACUAGUUUAAGAUUUAUAAUAAUUUUGAUUUUAUUGUACAAAUUAAUGUGAAAAUUUAAUAAUAUUUAUUACAUAAACAAAUUAAUAAAAUAAUUAAAAACUCAAUAAUUUUAUGAACUACAAAAGUCUCCAUCCUAAAAAAGAUAAAAUUUGACAUAAAAUUAUAUGAUAAUUUGUGACUAAAAACGGUUAGAAAGUAAAAAAGAUUAAUUGUUUCGUACUAAAAUAUAAAAACUAAAUUAGAAAAAUACACAAUUAAACAAAAUAAUUAGUUAGGUUAGAGUUGAUGUGUAAAUUAGUGUUAAAUGUGUUUAGGUUUGUGCGUAAUAAGUGUUGAAAAUACAAAAAGAGUUCAUAAUAAAAGGCAAUUUAGAGUAAUUAAUUAAAGUUAAAGGGAAUGGGGGUGGGGGUGGGGGUGGUGUUCACGUGAACCAUUUAACGCCGCCUGAAAAGAAUGAGCAAAAAUGGUAACUAACGAUGGCAAUGUUGCCGUUAUGACUGCCGUGUCGCCGCAGUUUCCCAGUCGUAAACGCCAACCUUCUCUCCAUCUAAUUGCUCAGUGGGUCCCCAUCCCAAAUUAUAACAAUUAAUUACAAUCCAACGCCUCAUAUUUACUCUUUUUCAAGUCAACUUCAUUUCUAUCAAUUUCCAUUGUUUUACACUUUCCUUUCUCUCAAAAAACAUUCAUAUUACAUAAAUAAAUACCAUCGUGUAACUCUUAAUAUAUAUCUCUCCCUCCAUACAGUCUAAGAUAGAAUAUUGGUUCCUACAUCCAAUUUGAUUUUGUUUUAAUCCACCUAAUCAUAAAUAUCUAAAUUCUAUCUCCCCUCUUUUCUUUUUCUUGAAUAGGUGCAAUGAAUAAUAAAAUAUAUAUAUAUAUAUAUAUAUAUAUUGAUAAUUAACUCAACCGAAAUGUUGAUGUUUUCAGUUGUUGUAUUAAAAAUGGUUAAAUAUUGUAUCAAAAAGUGAAAAGAUAAGUUUGAAAUACAAAAUGCUAAAUACUAUUCAUGCACUAAUUUGUGCAUGAUAAGACUUUUUGAAACGUCCGUUUUAUGAAAUGAAUAACCACAACAAAUGCAUGUUAGAUUUUCAAUACAUUUGUUUUUUUCUCUAAAAAUGUUUUUAAAUCACCGAUUAAACCAAAAAUAAUAAGUAGAAACAGAUUUUAAUUGAAGUAAAAUAUAUUUUGAACCCACAUACUCUGAUACAAUUUAAAUCAUCACUCGAUUAAAAAGUUUACAUUAAGGUAUGUGUAACGAUAAUGUGAUAAAAGAAAAAUGAUAAGAAGACGAAAAAAAAAGAAAGAAAAAUGGGAAAAGAGCAGUGAAUUUAAAAUUGGUAGAAAGAGGAAGGGGAGUUGUUUUGGUGGAUCCCAAAGAGGUCUGACGUGGAGAUGGAGGUGGAACAAUUGAGGUGCAGCUACAGUGCAUGCAGGAUGCCACAUCAUAGAGAAGGGGCCACGUGGGUGAGAGACGGGCGUGACAGGCUUCCACACGGCACCGCUAGUGGAGGGUUAUUAGCAAGAAACCGCCUUACAAACUCCCAUGCCGGAUCUUCCGGCGGGUGAUUUUAAAACCGUGGGCCCUGAAAAGAAUAAAAAAAAAAGAAAGAAAGUUUUGAAGUAGAGAGAGAGUCACGUGGAAGAGGUUGGGGCGAGGGCGCCGUCACGUGACGCGUGUGGAUGUUGCGUUGUGCGUAACCCCACGCUCAGAUAUUUUCGAUUCAUUCUAUGCGUCCUUUCCUUUCCUUUCCUUUUUCCAUUCCCCAUUUUCGUAUCCUCCAAUUUGUCGCUUUGGUAAUUAAACGUUGCAUCUACUCUUUUUCUUUUCUUUACCUUAUAAAUUUUAUGUAAAAGGGGUAUUAGGAGUGGAUUUGAAACGGAGACGGAUUUAUUAAGGAAUCAGAAACACGUGUUUCCACCUUCUCAACUUUUAUAUUUUAAUAUUAAUUUUGAAGUAAUCAAAUUACCUAAAUUAUGAUUUUAGUGUAGUACAUUCUUCCAAAAAACACAAGCUUUUAGAUUUGAUUAUGUCUUAUAACAAUUAUUUUUAUAAAAUAGUUUUUUCUUUGUAAAGUGAUUUUUUAAAAUAAAAUUUAUUUGAUUUCUGAAAAGAAAUAUAAUCUUUUAAAAAGAAGAAAAAAAAUCUGAGUAAUAUAAAAACCCCACCUUAUUUCCUCAUUUGUUACCUAACAAUUAUGUAUAAAAAAGGUGUAACAAAGUUGAUAGUUCGAUGGUAUAACCUUUUACUUUAAAUAAUAUUUUAUAAAAUAUAUAUUUUUAAAUCUACAUAUUUAUAUUACAAAAAAAAUCAUGUGAAAAUUAUCGCUGUUUUUUAUUGUGAACGAAGUAUUGAUGAAAAGUAAAGAUAUUUUUUUAAUAUUGUAUUUAUUAUAUAGUAUAUAGUGUUUUUUUGUCUCACUGUAUAAAAUCUAUUUAUGAAUCCACAGCUAAUUUGAAAUUGAAUUGAAUUUAAUUACUUUUAUGAUUUUUCUUUUCUUACUCAGAACGACAUUUCCAUCCUGUGGUAAAUUUAAGUUUAUAUUAUUAUGGUUUAGUAAUUAAAAUUGGGUUUUGUUUGGUGUGUGUCAAAUCAAUAUUUUGAUUAAAUAAAACGUGAAAAAGAAGAAAAUAACUUAUGUUAAAUUUUGUAGUCCUAAUUAAUUUUUAAAUUGUUAUGUACAAAAGAACUCAUGCAUGUAAUUAUUCUUUUAAUAAUACAACUUCAAUUAUUUAUAUUGUUUUUUCUUUUUCUUUUACUCUUUGCAUGUAACCUGCUCUUUACAUUUUGCACUUAUUUUUUUGAUUUAUUAAGUAAACUAAAAAUUGAAAAAAAAAAACACUUUUAGUGUCCAUCAUGCAGACACUUACAUUACAAAAGUCACGAGCAUACCAAAAAAGGCAAUAUGAGAAUUUAUGAAAAAAGACAAAAUGGACAUGCAAAGGUUCUCUUUACAUAGCCUAUCUUCAUAUAUAGUAGAGGUUAUUAAAAAAGUAUUUUGUGUACGUAAGAAUAUAUAUUUAUUUAUCACAACAAAUAAAUAAAAAAUUGUGUGUCAACAAAAAGCUCAACCCAACUAGAACCAUUGUAUAUAUUGAGAAUAAAGAGGGUAUAGAUUCAAUUUUUCUGUUUCAUACAUUUGUACUAAAAGAUAAGAAAGGAAGAAAAUAACGGUGAGGCUAAAUGAUAAUGGGUUUUGUGUGCAACGUAUCUAGAGAAAACUAUAUACAAAAUAUAAAAUUAGUUAGACUAUGGUUCGUCUUUUGUUUUUCAUUUUUGAAAAUGAAGAAGAAUAAAAAAUGAAAACAAAAUGGUUAUCUAUUGAGAAUUUAAAUUGUAACAUUUCAAAUUAAUAUUUAUUUUAUGUAUAUGUUUCAAACAAAUAUUUAAUAAUGAUAUAGUAAAAUAUCAUGUUCUAAACAGUAAAAAAAGUGUAUCAAUAUCUAUUAUUGAUUGUUCAAAAUUUUAUUAAUAUUAUUUUACUAUUUUUAAAAAUAUCCAUACAUUAGUAUAUUAGAUCCAUUUUACUUAUUAUGCAUGUUGCCCAAUCAUUUAAUAUAUAUGAGAAUUCCAAACAAAGCCUUCGUAAAUUUAAAUGGAGUUUUUACAAAAGUAACAAAAAAAGUUUAUGAUAAUAAAGUUCAUAUGAUCAUAAUAUUUUUCAAAUUUGCAAAAGUAUCAAAUUUAAAAGUGAUGACCUUGUGAUGACCUUAUAAUUACCAUUUGAUAGUCUUCGUUUGAAAAAAAUUGGUGUCAUAUACUGUUUUUUUGAUUUGAUGUAAUUUUUAAAUUUAAAUUCUAUCCCAAAACAUUAUUUGUUUUGUUCUCUCCAACUAAUGACAUUUGGUGCAAUAAAAUAUAUUAUAACGAAUUAAUUACUAAUAAUAAUUGUAAUUAAUUAUUAAAUAUGAAUAUAUUGUUUAGACCUAAUAAAGUAUGACAAAUUCAUUUACCAAACCUUUUAAUAUAAAUCAAAUUUAUUUUCAAUAUCUCCCCCUCUAUCAUAUCAUAUCAUAUGUCAAUUAUGUAAGAAGUUGAUUUAUUCCAUUAACCUAUGAAGUUGAUGUGUAAAUUGACCUUAUUUUUUCUCUUUGGGUCUAUUGAAGUAUGGUGGAAAACGAGAGGCCCAAAGUGAGAUUUGUCACAAAGUAAAUAAUAGUAAUGACCCACCACCCAAAUAGAUAUAAUUGUACACAUUAUUCACAACAGAAUUAAAGAUAAGUGAUCUUCUUCUUCUUCUUCUCUCUCUCUCUUCCUUUUCCUUUUCCUUUUUCCAUUAAAAAGAAAUGUCGUAUUCAAUCUAAUAUAUAUACACAUGUAUGCUUUCUCCAUCAUUCAUUGAAUGAUGAAAAAAAAAAAUGACAUUCUUUCUUUGCUAUCCAACUUUUUCUUUUUGUUUAUUGUUCUUUUUUCAUUAAUAAAUAAGUGUUUUAUAAGUCUACUCUUAAAGAAAAAUAGUUAGUAACUAGAGAUUAAGUUUAAUUCAUGAACUUUUAAGAUAAAUAUAUAGGGAGAUAGUUAGAAAUGUAAAAUAAAUAGAGAAAUGAAUAUAAUAGUUGGAUGAGGACAACUAUGAUUUUUAUCUAUUAAUCUAUCUACCCUUCCAUUAGUCAAAUUACGUAAAACAUGGUUGAUAUAAAUGAAAUACAAUGUUAUAUCAUUUUAACGUAAAGUCUAAUGAGUUCAGACUUUUAGUUUUAAUAAAUUAAUUAUUAAAAUUUCAACGUUAAAAUUAUAAUUUCAAUGUUAAAAUUACAAUUAAAGUCUCGUUCGAUAACUAUUUAGGUUUGGUAUUUUAGUUUUUUUUUUCUUUUUUAAAUUAAAGUCAUUAAUACUCAUUCUAAUGAUAAAUCAAUUUGGAGAAUAAAACUACCACUUUUCGUUUCUUAUUUUUCUUCUUUUUAAACGUAGAAUAAAGGCAAUAAUUGAGUAUAUGUAUUCCCAAUGAAUUAUCAAGAUCACAAAAUCAUCUUUCUCAAUGGGUGCAUUCACAACUCGCUAUCACCCUAUUUUUGAUUGCGUUCGACUUUAUUGCUUAUUCUUGACUUCAAUUUUAUGUUGUCUCGAUUGAUAUACGUAAAAGAUUAUUGUAAAUAGUUUUAAAACAAACGCUUUUGAAAAGUUACCCUAUUAACUUUUUUUUUUCUUCCAAAUACUUUGAAAAUUAAAAUAAAUGUUAGGAAGAAAAGUUUAAUUGAGGUUAUGUGUAUAGCUCAAUUAAUAUAAAGAAUUCAUUCUUCUUCCCUCCUAUUGUCAUUAAAUAGAUAAAUAAUGAUAAAGGAAAUUUACCAAUAAUUUAACAAUAUAUAUAUAUAUAUAAACAGCUCCCAAAUUAAUACAUGAAUUUGACCAAUUUUUUGCUCUUGCAUAGAAACAAAGGUGAUUCAAACAAUUUUGGCCAAAUUCAUAUUUUCUUCUUCAAUGAGUAAUUGGGUGAGGUCAAUUUAUUAAUUUUCAGACUUUAUAAUUCAUAAAAUAGUGACAUAAUAAUAAUAAUAAUUAUGGUUGGUUUUGUUAAUUGACAUGUUAUAUUAGACGUGAGACUUUUUCUUUCAUUGAAUAAGAAUAUUUUUAUCUUAGUUUUGUUAGGGAAUUUAAUUAUUUCCUCCCACUUCUAUAUUUGAAAUGAAAACUUGAAAGACUUACUUAACCCUCUACCAACCAUUUAUAUAACAAAUCAAAUUCAUUACUUUUAUGUUAUUUCUUUCUUAUUUUAGAAAAAUAUUGAUAAAAUAAAUAUUCCUUUUUUCACAAUUAAAAUAUGAUAAUGCUUAAUUUAAAUAUAUCUCAUAAUUUAAGAUACUCAUAAGAAAAUUUAUUUUGGAAUAAUUUUUCUUUUUCAAAAUGUACAAAAAUGUUGGGUAGAGAAGCAAAGAUUGAAUUCCAUUUCUUUGCGAUUUAUUCCUCAACCACUACUUUUGAUUUUUUUUUUCUUCUUCUUGUUAUCUAUACUUUUCUUAGUAUGAAUUAAACACGUUGCAUUGUCACCAAAAAUAUAAUAAAUAAAUAAGUAAAAGUGAUUAUAAGUAUGUCUCUUUAGUUUUGUUAAUAUUUUUUUAGAAGUUGAAUUAUAAAAUUGUUACAUUUAAUCAUGGAUUAGUUCCUUUUUAAACUAGUGGGAGGUAGGGGAUUUGUACCUUAGCUUUAAUCAUUUUGAAAUUAAGUUCUUCCCAACUUUGAAAUUGGUAGAUAAUAAUAAAUAACAUGACAUAGAAAAUAAGUAUUGAUGUAAAAGUUGUAUGAAUUAAUUUCUCACAAAUUUGGAGGAAUGAUUGGAAAGAUUUUGUGUUUUGAAAGUUAGAAGACUAAACUUUUGGCUUCUCUCAAAUUUUCUACUAAUUCACUAAUAAUAUAAUUUCAUAAUUUAAUCAAAACGUUAACAAAAGAAAAAGAUUUUUUUUUCUUUCUAGGAAGAGAUUAAUUAUUUAGUUAUGGUCAAUAAAACCAAACCAUUUGAAAAUAAAGGAAAAGAGACAAACAAUAAUCCAACACUUAAUAAAUUCAAUAAAAUUGGGAAAACAUGAGACAAAGAAAUUCCCAAAAACUCCAAGUUUCAAAUAUUCCAAUCUUUGAAUUUUGAUAUCAUAUACCACUUGUGAAUUAAUAAGCUUUCAAACAAAACAAUACAAAAUUUUGGACCAUUUUUAAUAAAAAAAUUCUUUUGCAUAGAAUGUUAUGAGCCGACUGAGAAUUUUUUCAAAUCGACCAAUAUGAAUUUGAAAAAUUUUCAAAUGCACAAACUUAAAAAAGUUAAAAGAAAUUAAAUCGAUCAAACAACUAAAUUACUAAUUAACCAACUUUUACUCAUGUUUACUAAACAAACAAACUCCACUCGACUAAUGUUCAUCCUAAGUUAAAACUGAUUAGUGAUCAAUUAGUUCAUCCCAAGUUAAAACUCAUUAGUGAUCAAUUAUUAAUUUGGGUGUACCCAAAUAUUUUCCAAGAGGCUGACCCUUCCAAUAAUCCAAGGUUUUGUUUCAAAGUCUUCAUUAUUAAAUGCUUUAAAGUCUUCCUCUUUCUCUAUAUUGUAUUAUGAACAUGAAAAAUGAAAGUGUGAGAAAUAAAUAUUUUAUUUUGACCCAAUUGUUUCUUUUCUUAGGGACAUGUGUGUGUGUGUGUAUAUAUAUAUAUAAACAUUUUCAAGUAAUUAAAACAAAAGGUUGGUGUAGGUAAUUAAAAUAAGUUUUUGUUUGCUAAGUUAAAAUCAAGAAUAGAAUAGAAGAUUUAAAAAUUAAGAAACUAAAAUGAAAAAAGAAAAAAAAAAAAAGAAUAAACUUAAUAGCCUAAUUAAAGAUCGAAAAUAUUCUUGAUGACUAUGACAUACAUAUAUACAUCUAAAGAUAUGGUUAAAAUAAAUGUUAGGUAGAAGAUUGGAAUAAUAUGGAAAUAAAUAAAGUGACAUAAUUUCAUCCAUCUAUUAUUUUAGUACUAAACUAUACUCGUAAACUAAUUUUUUUUAACCUAACACCUCAAGACUUUAGCUCUCUCUGUUUCAAUUUUUUAAUGAGUGCACAAGACUUUAGGUUAUCAAAUUAAAAUACAACAUUUGCUAAUAUAGUUAGAAGGCAAACUUUGGUAAAUAAACUAAUCAAAUUGAAUGAUAGGCAACAAAGAUAAUUUAAAAUAUAGACCAAUUAACAAAAUAUAAACACUUUACUUAUUAGAAAAAACACACUAAUAAACCAUCUCAACCAUAGCUUAAUUAACAAAGAAUAUUAUUUUAAAUUCUAAUCAUUUUAAGUUUUAUAUGACUAAGUUGCUCAUUUUAUUUAAAUUUAAAUUGUGGAAAUUUUCUUGACUGCAACCGUCCGAUUUGAAGUCUUUUUUUAAUAUAUGAUCACAAUAGAAGUCUUUUUUUUAAUACAUUGAUUUGGAUUUUACAAUAGAAAAAUAAUUAGUACUAAUGCCUAAGUUUCAAUUAAAAAUAAUUUGACUUGUAGAUAAAGUGCUAGUUUUUUUUUUUUUUUUUUUUAAGCUAGGGGAGAAGGAAUAAUGUUCUAGCAUUCUCAAUCUCUCUAAUUUUGGUCUCCAACAUCAUUUAACAAAAUAAAACACUAAUAAAACACUAGUAAAACACAUAUACGUAAAACACAUAUACGGCCUGAGAUUCGCUUAUGAGUAUAAGUGAACGAAGUGUUCUAGUAAAUGUAUGAACGUUAAGCUUAUGAAUAUGAGUGAAGAAAGUGUUCUAGUAAAUGUAUGAAUGUUAAGCUUAUGAGUAUAAGUGAAGGAAGUGUUAAUAUGGAACGUAGCUUUUUGGUUCAUACCGACUUACAUCGUUUUCUUUUUUUCAAUUUGUGCAGUCAAAUGCCCUUUUUGUUUGCCUUUGGUGAAGAUUUUCGUGGAUAUCAUAAAACAAUAGGUCCUAUCUGAGUUCUCAGUUUGGGACGUUCAUAUUAUCCCAUUGCCCUAAUUGUCGUUUUCUUUGCUUUAUUUUAUGCACGUUGUUGUGAGCAUAUGUUUCUCGUCUCUUCUCUUUGAGUUUUCCUUUUCUUUCUUUCUUUUAACAUGACUUUGCCUCUCUAAGUCUCCCCCUUUUGUUGUAGUAUACACUUUCAAGAAAGAAAAUAAAAACCCUACAAAAUGUGAGUCUAAAUUGAUAAUAGCAUACAGUUUGACAGUUCAAACAACAUCUUAUCUACUUCAAAUCUUUGUCCCAUAUUCAUAAUUGUUCUAAAACAAAGUUCUAACAUUUCUAAAAAUUCAAACAGUGAGAAAAUUCAAACCUUCUGUACAAUAAAAAAUUGUACCAAUCUCCAUUGAACUAUAUAACAGCAUGCAUUAAUUACAAUUAAAUAAAUGAAUGAAUGAGUGAAUGAAGUGUGUGUGUGUAUACAUAUGUGUGUGUGUUCUUUUGAGUUUUAACAAUAAGAAAAUCAUGAAGGAGAAUAUGGUAAUUAAGAAGUAUGGAAACAAAUUAAGGCAAUUAAUUAAAAUGAUUAUUUUACGAUUAAUAUUUACAAAGGAUUAGGAAGUUAAUUAAGCGUAAAUCACGAUGAACAAACAAAACAACUCCGAGAGUACAGCUUCUUCGUCUUCCUCUCGUCUCAUUGUUCAAAUUAGUUACUAGAAUCUGAAGGCACUUCAUUCAAAUUCAGUUCCUUAUUUUCCACAGCCACCGCCGUCUCACCCAUCGUCGUUCUUCUCUCCGGCACUCUCUUCCCUUUCAAGUACCGCAAAGCCUCGUCCAUUCUCCUCAAAAUGGCAUAAAAUUCCUCCACCUCCUCUGUCGAUGGCUCCUCCACCUCCGCCGCUGCUACCGCCUCUUUCUUCUCCUCCUCCUUCUUUAUCUUCUUCUUCUUCCUCCUCUUCAUCUCUUCAACCACUCCCCCUUUCUCCCCCUCUGACAUUUCCUUCCUCUUUUCCCUCUCCAUUCCCAGAUCCCAGACACAAACCCUUCCUCUCCUCCAAUCAAUCUUGAAAUCGGAGCGUCAAUCCAAAAGAUCAGAGCAUUUCUUGAUGAAAAUCGUCGAAAUCAGAGAUUUGUAAGAGCUAGCGGCCCCAUCUUCUUUGUUUUUCUUUAUUGUGCGGUGAAUCAUAAGGAUGAUCACCGCUUCUUAAAUGAGUUAUUUUUAUUGUGUGGCCGAUAGUUUUCCACCGUUGGAUUCACCGGACGUCAUUGUGCUUCAUCCAUCAUACGUCAUGAUAUUGAAAACUUUUGUGAGCUUUAUUAUUUGAAUACCACGCGCGUGAUGGUAAAGGAGGAUGCACGUGGGGUGAUGGGUGUGUUUUGUAGGGUUGGAUUUGGGUGGUGGAGAGGACGUAGAGAGGAUGGAGAGUGUGUGAUGUGAUUCUUUGAUUAUUCUUUUGUGGACUUAAAGCAGGGCAUCUCCCCUAGGUCGCUUUUUUUAAAUGACUAAAAUUUCGGUGUCUUUUAUGCAAUUUCGUGGGAAAGUUCCAUUACACAUUGCAUUUGUGAAUUUUCAUUUUAGCCCUUCUAAUUUCUACUUAUUUUCCUCCACACUAUUAUUCUUAUUUGCCCUCCUUUCUAUUUACAAUUAUGCUCUUACACUUUUAAAUUUUAAAAUAUAUAUAUAAAUUCUUAAAUUUAUCUAAACUUUAAAAUUUCAGGGGUAUAAAGCGAUAAAUCAAUAAUUCUAUGAAUAUGGUUGUUUGAUAAUACUAAUUUUGCCUUUUUUUUUUUUUUGUAAAUGUAUUAAAACCAUAUCAUUUUUUUUUUUUUAUGGUUGAAGUAAUUUCAAGAAAUCAAAUUUGUAUUAACUUGAUCCAUGAAAUCUAAUCUAAUGAUGAAAGAAAAAGUAAAUAAACUUUCAAGAAAAGAACUUUAUAGGUUUAAUUCAUACUACUCAUCUAUGAUUUUUUAAAAGAUGUUUUUUCUUAAUUAUAAAAAUUAAAUUUGAAUAUCUAAAUUUAAAAUUUAUUUAAAAUAUAGAGAAUAUGAAAUAGAUUUUUUUAAAAAAUUUAGGUGUUGUUUGUUUAUAGUUGAGGAUGCAAUAUUUGGUUUGGUAAUUAAAAUAAAUUGAGCAUUAAUAUCAUCUAUUUAUGUGAUCCCACACCAACAAUAUACAUGGCCCCAUAGCAUAAAAUUAUGUGGUAGGUGCAAAAGCUUAAUCAAUUCUUUUGCUUUUUCAUUUUAAAAUCACCAGUUUUUGUCGUUCAUUUAAAAUUUAAUAUCUCAAAGUUUUCUUUUAACACCUGAAUAUCGUUAAUAUUGAGAAAAAACUUUUACUAUUAUCACAUAACAAAGCAAUUAAACGAAACCAUACAAGGAAUUAUAAAUACAAAAUAAUUUACGGUUUAGACCCACGAGAAAAUGCAUUGCAAUUACAUAACAUAAUAACUCUUUCUUUUAAUUAAAAAAAAAAAAUUCAAGCACGAUAAAAAAAGAUAUUGGUAUUUCUAUUGACUUUCAGUCAUGAUCUGAUCAAAAUAGACAAGAUCUAAGAUGUCUUUAUCUUGGAAAUGCUAUGACAGUUUUUUAUCUGCUUACACGUACAUCAAACAAGAAGGGUGUGGAAUGCUUCAAGAGCCUGAGAGUCUGAUUCAUGCCUCAACUUUCAUACAAGAAGCUAAGUUUCUGUUUUGCAAGUUUUGUUGAUCGUUACUAUUUCAGAGAUGAUGUAGUAGUUGUUGUGGGUACUUUUUCUUUUUCUGUUUAAGCAUAAAUUUCUAUAUAUUAUGAAAGAUAGGAUAUGGGUAUGGGUAUAACCACUUCACUAACAAGUUGGUGGAGAGGAAACAUUUAUUUUUUGUACAAUAAAGUCAAGUAGAUAGGUAGUGUGUAGAAAAUGUAAUCCACUCAAAUGGAGCUGUCCCAUCCUUAUUAACACCUUUCUGCUUUUUACAAAUAGUGCUUCUUCUUCUUCCUCUUUUCUAAACAAUAAAUAUUCUCAUAGUUUCUAACGAAAUAUUCCAAUUAUUCUCAAAUUUCUCUAUAUAAAAAAACAACAUUCUUGGGGCAUACAUGAACUCAAAGUUAAACGUACACCCAAAAACUUUGUGUUUGAAAAAAUGACAAUUUCAAUCCAACCCACCAGAUUCGACGCUUUUAAGUAUUUAAUAGCUACACUAACAAGAAGCGAGUUAUUAUAGUAAAUCAUGAACGAGACAAGAUUAGCAAAAAUGGGCCUUUACAUUGCAUUGAUAGUCCUUCAAAGGCUUGGUAAAAGUAGCAAUAGAAGUGGGUCCAACCCAAUCAUUAUUAAAUCCAAAAUCAAUACCCUUAUUGAAAACAAUUUUGUGUCUCCAUACAACCAAAAAACCUGAUUACUAUACUUAAGGCUGCUUUAAACCAAAUGAUAACCCAUGGAUAUGCAUGUAAUUUCCUAUUUGAUAAUUUGAGUGUAAAUAAAAUGAACGUUGGAUUGAUUUUCAAUACAUACUAAAUCACCAAUGAAAUAAAAAACAAAAAUUAAGUUUCUAUUGUUGAUAUAUUGAUACGAUUUAUUUGAUAUAUCAAUAAAACCAUCUAUCUUCUUGAUGGUUAUUACGACAUACUAUUUAAUAUUCGUGAAAUUUAUCAUGGUAUGUGCAAUAUACUUAAAACGAGACUAAAAUAUGAUAAAUUUAUUGUUUGAUAUAUUUAUUUUAACCAUUAAAUUUAGGUUGAAAGUAAGGUAUUAUUUUGAAAAGAAAAAAAAAAACUAUUCUAUUGUUUCUUAUUUGGGCCCAUCUAUCAUUCAAAGGGCUUGGGCAUAUAUUGGGCCAAUAUUUAAUUCAAAUUUGGGCCAGAGGCCCACACCCCACUUGUGAGCCCAUUUUUUUUUCUUUUUUUGGAACUUAUGUGAUUAAGAUAAUGAAAGUCCCAUUCUUUCUAUAUAAAAUGUGAACUUAUACCCCAAACCAUUUACAAAUUGAUAUCUUUCUUAACAUUAUUUGGAUAAUGGAUUGAGAUCUUACAUGAAGAAGAAAAUACAUUUUUUAGCUUUAGAAAAGUGAAAGAGGAAAGAAAAGAAUGAAAUCAUUGUGGGGGGCAAUUAAGAUAAAUAGAAGACUAUUUUUUCAAAUAAUAAUAACAAUAAAGAAAAGAAAAAAAAGAAAAAAAGAAGAUUUUUUUUUUUUUUUAAUUUUUAAAAAAGUAGAAUCUUUUAUUGGGAGACUUGAAAGCCCUUACCAAACUUAAUACAAAAACACCUCACCUUGCCCAUAGCUUUUGACCACUAUAGUGUUUUCCCUAAUGUUUUUAGGACCCAAUUUUGGUCUUUACAAAUUUAAAAACCAAAAAAUAAAAAAUAAAAUAAAAUAAAAAUCAAGGACUUUUAUCUUAUAUUAUCAUAUCAUCCUAAUUCAAAUUAAUUGAUCGUCACACGUUAUUGAGUCCUUUUCAUGACUUGGAAUUGACGUCACAUAUUAGUUGGUACAAAAACUCUAUGCAAAAUUUAAAUUCUUGAUUGUCGUUUAUCGAAAAUGGUAAUUAAACUACGUACAUAACUCCCUUGUCGUUUAUAUGUCGUUUCAAUCAUACGUUCUUAGAUACGUUAUACUUUAACCGUACAACAACAACGAAUCUAACCUUUUAUAGCAUGACGUAACGUAACGUAACACAACGUAGAUCUCGUGUAUCUAAUGGGGUUAUGAGAAAACUACGUCAUUUAAACCGUUAUUAACGAAUAACGAAUAAGGACAGUGAAAUCAAUCGUGACGAUAUACAAAUGAUCGAUCGAGUUCGUUAUUGUUACUAAUACGAGACACUUUAACUAAAACGAGUCAUGAGAAUUUACAUUACGAAUAAAGAAUAUCAUAGAAUUAUAAAGACAUGUAUAGAGUUGAAUUUGCUGUACUCCUUGACAGGGUGGUACUCGUAACCUGAAUUUGAGCAAUAAUAAUGGAAGGUAGUACGAAAUAAUUUUAUUUUUAUAUCAUAUGUAUGAAAAAGAAGGAAAAAAAAAGGAUUUAUGAGAAGGGCUAACUAAUUUGAAAAUUGCAUUAAAUGUGAAGUAAAUUGGUUACCUUACUUGACAUAACAAAAAAGAGAGCCAUAUAUGAGAACUAUUCCACCUUUUCAUGCCAUUGUAGGGAAGCAUUUGUUCUUAUAUGGUGCAAUGUAAGGCAAUUUCGCUGUAAAUUUUGUGCCUAUUCUACACCUUCUUCUGGAUGCCUAUCAUCAAUAUUCUUUUUUAUAUAUACUUCCAUGCAUUCACAUUUUAACGUUCAAUUCUAUUCGGUUCUAUCUUAAACUAAACGUUACUUAAUAUUUUCAAAUUUGAAUUAGUUUCCUAAAUAUUCUCAUAUUUAUCGAGAUAAAAAUCUCAAAUUUAUGUUUAAUAUUAUAUUUUUUUUGGUAUAAAUUUUUUAAUAAUACAUAUAAUAUAGCUUUGCUUUACUCUCUCUCUCUUCUUUUUUUUUUUUUUUUUUGCUUUUCAAUUUGAACAUUUUUUUAAAAAUAAAAUAGUGUAAAAGUUUAAUAUUAAAAGGAAAAUAGUUUAAUAGAGGACAUAAUUAUAAAACAAAUCUUUUGUUCUUUUGUUUUACAAAUUAACAAAUAGCUUUAAAUUUUAAACAAUAUACCUUAAGAAAUUUCCUUUCUAAAACAAAAGGAAGAAGUGCUUUACAGCUAAGCAUUUUCAUGUACUUUCUUUUCUACAUUAUUUUUUAAAAAUCAAUACUCACAUUUUUAAUAAUAAAAAUGAUAAUAAUUUAAAAAAAUCCUCCUAGUAAUGAAUUUAUUUUCAAAAAGAAAAGAAGAAGAAGAAGAAGAAGAUAAUAGAUGAAAUUAUUCAACCAAUAUAAGCAUUUUAUUGUAUAAUCUGUCACAAUUAUUACUGUUUUGUAUUGAAUUUUAUAGCUUCCUUUCUUCCUUUAUUUAUUUAUUUUCUUUUCAAUUUGGUCAUCAACAUUAAACUUUGAAGCUAAAGAUUGAAUCUUUACUUCUUGAGAUUUUGUAAUAAUGUCAGCAUUUCAUUUAUUUCCCAUAAAUUUAUCAUAAGUGAAUGCAUUUGACUGAGAGGAAAUGUGUUGUUUUUCCUUAACAAAACAAUACAAAUUUACAUUAAAUUAUUGAGUUUUAAAUUUCUUUUCUAAUUUUAUUUGCAUUAUACAACAACAAAUUAAACUUUUCCUUUUCUUUUCUAAUUUUUGAAAAAUAACUUGGAAACAAAAAUUAAGAUGUAUAGAAUUUGAUAUUUGACACUUUAAAACCAUUAAAGUCUUGAGAACUUUGACUUGAAGAUUCUAAAUAAUAAAAGAAUGAAAAAAAAAAAAAGGAACAAUAAACCAAAAAAUGUGACAAAUUGGGCUUCCAAAUAUGCUUAGUGCCAAAAAUCAAGACAAAGACAAAGGAAACAUCAUCCUAUUGAACCUAUUUCCAUUUUAUUCAUUCAUUAAUUUAACUUAUUUUUCUAUUCUUUUUCUAUUACAUUUUUAAUGUAGAAUAUUCUAUAUUUUUAUGAAGAUGUGGAUAUUAUAAGAAAAACAGAAAGAAAUAAUAAUAAUAGUCAUUUAUUAAAAAAAAAAAAAACAAACAAAAGUAUAUCCCAUGUGUCAUAUUUGAAACUAUUAGUUAUAAAUUACCAUGACAAUGAUACUUUUAAUUAUUAUUAUUAUUUUUACCUCAAUUGGAUUUCUUUUCCUUUUCUUUAAUUUAAUUUAAUUUAUCCCAUUUACGCGUAAAAAGAAAUUAUUUUCUCUUAUUUUUUAAAAAAUAUAAGUAAAACCAAUAAAAAAAUUUCAAAAUUCAAAAAAUGAACUUUUAUAUGUGAUUAUUAUUAUUAUUAUUUUAUAAUAAUACAACGAUUAGAGUUAGGAGUUUUCAAUCAAGUAUUUUAAUACAUAACGUAAUAGAAUCAGAUAAGAUUAGAAGUAAUUAUCUUAUACAUUAUUUAAGACAACGAAAGGCUUAAAUAACGUAAAACUUUGAUAAUGUAUUAUUCAACAACCGUGUGACACAAACACCGACAUUAAAACAUACCUAUUGUCUUCUUCGGUAUCAUUCAACGUGCAUGUUGUUUCUCUAACAUCAUGUCUUAAUACUAAACUCAACCACCAAUGUAUUGAAAAAGGCAUGUAUAAAAAAUAUGGUUUGUAGCAUUUUUAAAUUUUAUGAUGGGCAAGUGAGAUUUUUAGUAUUUGAUAUAUAUGAAGUUGGAAAAGUUAGAGUGGGAAGAUAAAUAAAAAUCCAUGGAAAUGAGAAUAAUCAAUAUUUGGAAAGGGCCCACAAUUAAAAGAAAAAUAAUUUCGUAACGUAGGUAUUUGGUGAGAGGUGAGUUUGGUAUAUUUUGUAAAUGGUAUAAUUUGGAUGAAUUAUGGGUUAAUAAAAUUUGAAAUGGUUAUGUAUAAAUACUAUAGAUUUUGAUUGGAAUAAAGAUAAGUGAUAAUAGAAAAAGAGCUUGACUGGAGCCGGAGCUAAGGAUUGGGAUUGGGUGGACAGAUGGCCCAUGAAGGCAGCACGCGGGAGGGAAGAGGAGGCUCUUUUAGCUCACCUUAAAAUGCCUCAUUUCACACUCUCUUUUCGUCUCUCUGUUCACAGAUUUGGGAGAAAAUCAACACACAGAGAAAAGACGGGGGGGAGAGUUUGAGGGUAAGGCUCUGUGUUGUUGGAGAGCCAAGAAUUCACAACUGAAUCCAACUUCACACACCCCUCAAAGAAAAUUACUCUCUCAAGUCUUCAGUGAGUCCUCUAAAACCCCUUCCGCUUUUGCUUACUUUCUUCUAUUAAUUUGUAUGGUUUUAUUUCUUCGUUCCAUCUGUUCUGUUUUUUAAGUGUUUUUCGCCAUUCAUGGUGAAUUUCUUCUGUAUUUCGUGGGAUUUUUUACGUUUCUCUGGUUUUUUUAGUCUAUGCUUCUGACCCAUUUCGGUUUUUUCUUUAUUGUAGAAGAAUUUGUUUUCUCUCUUCCUCUGUCGACGUUGGUAAGAAAACUCACAAAAGGGGGUUUAGCGGAGGGAUUUAUGUCUUCUGAGCCUCAUCUGUUUUCUAGAGCUUUGAAGCAGCUCUGGUUUUCUUCUUCGUCUCUGUUUUUUGUACUUCACAUGCAAUUUGGUUCCUGGCAACAACAAAGUAUUCGACCCUUUUUCAUGCAAUUAAGAUCAAAUCGGUAAGUGGGUUUUGUUUAUUUUGAGAGUUUAAUUCCUGAGGCUCCAUAAUUUUGGACUGAUUAAUGGGUUUAUGAGUGUUUUUUUUUUUUUUUUUUUAAACCCCUUGUUCUGGUCUUUGUUUCAUUUCCUUUUCUUCUUCCUCCUGCAGGUCUUGUUCUGGAGUGAAGGGGUUUCAAGAUUCUAUCAGAUAUCAUAUUCUCUUUUCAAUUUUGGUUCAUUUUUGUUUCAUUGUUUUUGGUUUUCGUUGACAUUAAAGAUCACCUAAAGCUUCCUCUGCCUUCCAUUUCUCUCCCUUUCACCUUCUCAAUUUUUCAUCCUUUUUCGUAAAACAAGUUUUGCCCUCGUUUCUUUAUUCAUUAUAGUUUGAGGAUUUGACCACAAAACGUCCGGAUUCUGAAGUUAGUUUUCAAUUCGAGAUAUGUAUGGUAAAGAAGAGAAGAAAAUGAAGCAACUAAAAGAAGGAAAGUCCAUUUCUAUGAGGAAAGUUCGUGUACUGUUUCAUGAUCCUGAUGCCACUGACUACUCAAGCGAUGAAGAUGAACAUGUCAGUCAAGGGGCUAAGAAGAUUGUUUGGGAGAUAUCGUUUCCAGGCAUUCACCGGAAGCCAACGGAGGUGAGCUCACAGAAAGAAAGGGCUGAUGGAGUCAAAUUCAGAGCCAAGACUGAAGUAAAAGAAAGCAGUAGAAGAACGCAGAGAUCCUCGUCGAUGUAUAAAGGCGUUCGACGAAGGAAAUGGGGGAAAUAUGCAGCAGAGAUUCGCGAUCCCUUUCGCGGUAGAAGAUUAUGGCUCGGUACUUAUAACACCGCAGAAGAAGCUGCUGUUGCUUAUCAGAGAAAGAAGCAUGAGUUUGAAAGUAUGCAAUCCAUGGAGAAUUACAGCAGUGAACUAAGUGGAGGGAAAUUUGAAGAGAAGAAGAUCAAAUCACUUGUUGAUGACACUGCUGAAUCUGAAGAAAUUAUAGCUAUGUUUUCUCAUCCUUCACCAUCUUCUGUACUUGAUCUCUGUACUGGAAGUUUAAGCAGCAAUGGACUCAAGAAUGUAAUUGAAGAAUUCAAAGUGGAUCAAACUAGGGAACAUACAAUCACCAAAAAGAGUAAGCCUGUGCAAGAUGGAGCUGAAAACAUGCUGGAAUACAUCUGUAAAGAUGAGCAGCACAUUUCCAACAUUCUGGAAGAGGCACCGAUGUCGUCGAUGCGGAUGCCAAUACCGCCAUUAGGUGGUCGGGAAAUGGACUUUCAAGUACUUGAAGACAAUGCAAUGAUCUGCAAUGAUUUCGAUCAGUUAUCCAACGAUAUGAACUACAUAGACAAUUGUACUCUAUACAACAUUGAUAACAGUCUCGGGGCAAUCGAUCUUCCUCCAAUGGACAUAGAAUUUGACAAAGAGUUUUCUUGGUUUGACGAGACGUUGAGUAUAUCAUGCAUGUAAGUUUUGCAGUUAGGAGACAGUUAAUAGCAAGUAUUAAGAGCAGUAAAAAUGAAAAAGAGAAAAGAGAUUGUUUUUGGGUGAGUUUGAUCUUCAAAAUAAAACCAUUGUGAGGAUGCAAUCUGUGAUAAUGUUUGGUAGAGAGGGGAGAGUGUUCUUGGGUUUUUCUCUGUGCUUUUAGAGCCGUCCAAGAUAUUUUUUUUGUUCAACUCUCAUUUGUACUGCUAAGUGCUAAGUUAUAUAAUUUUUAUUAUUAUGAAUGCAAGUCUGAUAAGUUUUCCAUGUUGCUCUGCACCAAUUGCAUAUACAGAAACUGUCAUUUUUAUUUUGCUUUCCUCUUCUGUACUGUCAUAGAGAGACAAACUCUGAGUUUUGGUCUUGUCUGUCCUACUUGUUACUUUUUCUUUUGAUUCCCUUUCUAAGAUGACUCCCUGAUUUUGUCUCUUGUUUGAUUUUCUGCUUUUUUUUUUUUUUUAUGGCAAGUGUUUGGCGAAACCUUAUGAGGAUUGAUAGAGCCAAGGAGGCAAGUGUUAGGCAAUGUAGAGUGAGAAACAUAUACAAACACAUAAAACCUGACCAUGAAAGCGCUGGACAACACCGUGACAAACAUGCUCGCCUUGAAGUUAUCAAACAUGUCUUACAAACCUCAUAUUUCGGUUUCUUUUUUUUUACUUUCUUGACUCGGUUUGGUCACUAAACAAACGACUUCGUAGAGGUUUCUCUAGGCAAAGUCUCAAGGUUCAGGAAUAAGGUAAAGUUCGAGGAAGAACAUAGGUUGCAUUGAAGUUUUGCAUGUUGCAAAAGAGAGUGAGACCUUUGGGUUUCGGGUGUUGGGUUGACUAGUCGAGUUUGUUUUUCUCAAUAGAAAAAUAACUUGAGAAUUGCGUGUUUCAAAAGAAAAAGUGAGACCCUUUGGUUUUGGGUUGAAUAGUCGAGUUGGUAGAUUUUCCUCAAAGGGAAAAUAAUUUAAGAAUUUGCAUGUUCCAAAAGGAAAAAUGAGAUCCUCGAGUUAAGGUCAACUAAUCAAGUUGUAGAGUUGUUUAGAAGGAAAAAUAACAUAACCAAGCUUCCUUUCCACUAACACUUCAUAACUUCAAGUCUUAACUCCACUAACGUUACAAGUAACUCCAACCCGUUAUUAUACUUACCUAUUCCCUACUCGGUUCAACACCACACCAACAUGAGCACUUCUCUCAAAUAAAGCCCACAUGCAUGCAAGUUCAACACAAACAGGACCUCAAGCAAAAAAGGUAACUUUUGUAAUCUAAAGUGUUUGAUGUAUUGAUAAAAGAGUAAAUGUUAGAAAUGAGAAAGAGUGAUAUUAGGUUUUGAUAAAGUUAGAGAGAUUAAUUAAGGUUAUCAUAUGAAAAGGGAAGUUGAAAGGGAAGGGUAAGAAAAAUGACACACACUCACACACACACACACACACAUAUAUACAAUUGAGAAUUUAGGGAUUAUUAUUAUUGGUAUUUUUGUUAUUUUGUGGGAUUGGUGGGGAAGUUUUUAAUAUGAUAAUGUGGCGGUGGCACAAAGGCAGAGGAUGGCUUGAUAAGGAAGCAAUAUUUGCAUAAUUUGAGGGUAGUGGUUAUAUGUACUUUUCUUUUAUCAUUAAAAAGAAUAUUUCCUUUUUCAUUCAUUUCAUUUCUUCUUCUUCUUCUUCUUCUUCUUCUUCUUCUUCUUCUUCUUCUUUUUUAAAUUCAUUUUCAUAGCCUAAACCCUCUAACACUACAAUCAAUCAAAGUGGAGCCAUCUUUAUUUAUAUAUAUAUAUAUAUAUAUAUAUAAAACCAAUUAAUUUCUUUGAUGGGUUUAGAGUGAAAUUUACGUUUGACUUGAGUCAUUCAAUAUUCGAAAAAAGUCAAAGAUUUCUUGUCAUUGUCACAUGGCUUUAAAAGUUGAGUUUGAAUUUUCCAAACUCUUCUCUCCCAUUUUCAUUCAAUUAUUAUCAACACAUUAGGAAUUUUUCUGUUUUUUUUUUUAGUACAGCAGACUCCUUUUUAAUAAAAAAUUUCCAUGUAAUAUAUGUUUUUAGAGAAAAGUAAUUUAAUUCAAUAUGUUUUCAGAAAAUCAUUAAUGUAAUUGUGGAAUUUAAAAUAGUAAUUCAUUCUUUUUAUGAAUUCUUAUUUACGGUAAACAUUAAUAUGCAUAAUUGAUGUUUUGACCUAUUCAUUAUGGUAACAAUUGAUUGUCACAUCUUUCUGUCUUCCUCUCUUCUUUUUCUUUUUCUUUUUUUCUGUCAAAUUUUCAUUUGAGAAACUUAUAAUAACUUUGUUAAUUAAUAAGGAUUUAAUUCUUCUUCCAUCAACUUAGUUGAGAGAUGAAUGGAAGAAAAAGGAAAUAGAGAUGUAUAUCUCACAAUAAUAUAAUUCGUUCUGUGAAUUAUUGAGCUAUAAAGUUUAUUUUAUUGACGAAGAUGUUGUUUUUAGAAAUGUAUUAACUUUAUAUUGAUCUUUGGAAUGAUAAUUGAUGAUUGACCUAAGCAUUGAUAUAUAAUAAAGUAUUGUAAGAUAUUCAAUCUAAAAAGACUAAUUAGUGUCAGAAUCUAUUAUAUUUUCGAUUUUUUUUCCACUUUUAGUUAGUUGUAGAUGAAAUCUAAGUAAAGUUAUCAAAAUUAAAGGUUCCUUUAGUGUUUUUUUUCUUUUUGUAGUAUUUUCUUAUUCAAUUUUUGGUAUUAUUAACAGAAGAGGUAAAGUCUCGAAUCAAUAUAUUUAGAUGGAUAACAAUAUAUGGGGCGGAGGAUUCAAAUCUCAAACCACUUAACCAAUGAUACAUAUACUUUACUCCAGUUGAACUGUAUGUUUACGUUCGUCACUCCCAUAUAUUAUGAUUUAUGCAAUAUAAUGUAUUUUUUAUGCUAAAUGUCCAUAUUACCCCUAACAAAUCACAAAAAGUCAAUUCAUGCAUUCUACUCAUUUUAGUAUUGAGACAAUCAUUGAGACAAAUCCUAAACCCUAAACCAAUAUUGUCCUAAUCUAUCGUGUUUGAAUUUACUUUCCAUUGUUAUAAAUAUAUAUGGUAUCAAAUGAUUAAUAUUGUAGAUAGAAUAUGUACGUCUUAACGAGUAAACUAUGUUAUAUGUAUGUAUUAGUAGAUACGAUGAUAUAUUCCUAUACAUAACAUAAAGAAAAUUGGAAGUAUGCCCCAACUUUUAAUUAUCUUCCUCAAAAGAAAAGAAAAGGGGAAAAUGAUUUGAAGUGUUCAUUGGAUGAAUGAUGAGAAUAUGACUCUUAGUUUAUGUGUUGAAGAAAGUUAAUAAAGAAAUGAGGAAGAAAAGGGAAAGCCGCCAUGUCAAUUCAAAGAUCACUUCACAUGAAAACACACAUUUUUAGUUUAUUUUUCCAAAUAACAUUACUUUGUGGGUCCAUUCCUCCAAAUUCUCAGCCGCCUUCUUUUCUCUUUUCUUCAUUUUUUUUUUAAAAUUUUAAAAACGUCCAUCUUUUUUCCUAAAUUGAUAAUCAACACACUUAAUUACUAUCUAAUUUAAUUCUUAUUUUAUGUUCUACUAAAUACACCUAGCCUAUUUCUUUUAAAUUUGAAUUAUAAAGAUUAAAUUGUUAAAAAUUCAAAAGUCAAUUUCAAAAACUAAAAAUAAAAUAUUACUUUUCAAGAAUUUUCAUUUUUGAUUGAAAAAACAAGAGCUUACAUUAAAAAUUAAUAUAAGACUUUCAAAGCUAAGGUUGAUAUCAUCAAAAUUUAUUUGCAUGUGUGUAUAAGAAAUAUAAUUGUAUAUAUCUUCUCAUUGGUUUGUUAUUAUUUUAAUUUGUUCUUGGAAAUUGGAAUGCAAACAAAAGAUAAGGUAUGAAUUUUUCAAAUCCUACUCUCUUCUCUAUCUAUCCCCAACGUAUAAGUUAGGAAUUAUAUCUAACUUUUCUUUACACCAAAAAUAGGGUUGUUGGAAACUUUUGUCUCAUUUUCUCCCACACUUUUUAAUCAAAUCACCUAAUAACAUAUAUCAAAACUUGGUUUUGGGGUUUUAUGAAUCGUACGAUUAUUCACUCAAGAAAGUGUCACAUUUUGAAAUUUUGUGAAUAUUAAUCGUAAAGGUUCGACUAGAUGAGAAUGGUGAUCGAGAAAAGUUCAUUUGAGUGAAGAAAGUGUCAAAGAUCCACCUUAGAAAAAUUAAUAGACCUCAUGUUACUCUUCUUUUAAUCAAUUAGUUUUGAGAUGAAAUUAAUUGUACGUUAUUUAAUAUGAUAGCAAAACCGAUUAAAUCUAAGUGGACAGUUUGUUAAAUGAAAAACAUGAUAAGAUUAAUAAUCGAAAAGAUAUCAUUUUGAGAAAUAGAAUAUGAUAUUAUGGAGAAAUUAUGUGUAUGAUUUUGUAGAUGAAUGAAAAGAGAAGAACAACUUUAAUUCAUGCAUGUUUUAAAUCUUUUUUAAUUGUUGAUAAACACACACACAUAUUAUAUAUAGAUUUUCCUUUUAGGGGACACUGUUACUAAAAGUGAUAUGACACUCUAACAACAAGAUUCUAUUAUUCUUCAUUAAAGCUUACCCAAUCUUAUAUAUAAUUUAAUUAAUACAUGAUAUAAUAAUUAUAAUAAUAAUAAUAAAUAAAUAAAUAAAUAAACAAAGAUUCCAACUACCAAGAUAAUUUUAAAUUUAAUACAUGCUUUGUGUUGUUCAUUCCUUUUUAUCAUAUAGGAAGCUAGAGAUUGACCUUACUACAAUAAUAUGAUACAAAUGUUAUGAUAUUUUGUAUGUGUUAGGCACAAUAAAUUAAGUCAUCAAAUCGAAAUGGAAUAAAUUGAUCAUAUUGCAUCAUAACUUACCAAUAAUGUUGGCAAAAAGGACUUUAUGGGGGAAGUUGGGAGGAAAGAGGAGGGAAAUUAAAGAAGAAUCCUAAGAAGAGAUAUACGCACAACACACACUUGUGUGUAUAUAAUGAGAGGUCUAUUCAUUACUAAUUUCUAAGAAGAUUUCAGGAAUGAUUCAUGAAUUUUAUGAAAGAUUUUAAGCAUAGCUAUAUUUGAAUUGUCUAAAUAAAUUACUAUCCAAAAUUUGCUUUUUGAAGUAUAUAUAUUUGGAAGUUUGUAAAUUGGUUCAAAGUAGUGAUAGAGAUUUUUGAAAGGUUGUUUCAUAUCAAAGUUGGAUAUGGAUUCUAAAUUUGCAUACUCUCUUCAAGUAACAAUUCUAUACAAAUUUGAGAUAUUUAAGACAAUGUACGUCGUUCCAUUUUAAUUACCAACUUAGAAAUGACGAAAAAUCCCAAGUUAAAAAGAACUUCAAUGUUUAAGUGCGUACAAGUAUAAGAUUUUUUCAAAUGAGAUGCAUAUUCUCUCACACAACUUCAUCAAUUUGUUCAAUUUCAGAUUCCAAAAUUUUCUUCCUUUUUUGUUCUUCCCUUUUUGCCUUUAGUUGAAAUAGAAUGAGAAUCAGAAAAAGGCCGUGAUAUUAUAUUCGAAGGGGGAGGGGAAAAAAAAGAGAAGAAAAAAGAGAAGAAACUUACCUACAUUAUUCUAUUUUAUCUACAGGAAUUUAACCCCAUAAAAAAGCAUUGAACAGGAUCAAAUAAAUCACUCCAUCUGUUCCAAUUAUAAAUCACCAAUGAACUCAUAAACCCAAUAGGUUAGGUAGUUUAAUCAAUCAAUUUGAUUAUAAUAAACUGCAAAUUACCCUAUUGAUAUAAAACCUUAUCAGGUUUAUGGAUAACUUUAUGGAAAAAUAUGAUAGAUAAAUUUCAUUGACGAAUUGUUUGAACUUUGAACAAAAUCUAAAAGGAAGAUUCUUUGUUUUUUAUUUUUAUUUUUACUAAGAAGAAAAAUCUGGGUCUGAGGUCUUUGGAUUUAUUAACAAUAUACUAUACAAGAUUUUACUAAUGUACAAAAAGGCACUUAGUGUAGUCUUUUAAGUGAUAUUAAAUGAUAAAAAUAUGCUAUCUUAUCUUAAUCUUAAAAAGCAUUUAAAAGUUGAAUUAAACUUGAGUCCAAAUUUUGAAAAACGUCAAACAUAUGCAGUGAGAAAUUGAACAAAACAUAUUGAUACUUAAUAGAAUCACUUUUGAUUGUAAAAGGAACAAUUUACCUUUUUUAAAUGAAAGAUAUUAAAACAAUUCUAUGAAAAAAUAAGUUCAUGUUUAGAAAGAAAAAAAAUAAUGGAUUUGAUAAAUGACUUAAAUGACCUAGAGAGAAUGAGUUCAAUCCACCCAUUGAUCUAGAAUUUAACGUUUCACGUUAUAGAGUUGUUCCAUGUGAGGUUAGUGAGAUAUGGACAAACUGAUCUUGACGAAAAUCCAAAUACAAAUUAAACUUGCACAGGACACAGCUUAAGCAGAAUCCAAUUACAAAAUUCAUAAUCGAGUUGUUGACUAUGAAGUCUUGUGAUGGGUCUCAGUAUGGCUUGCAAUUUUCUAAAAUAGGCAAUCAGAUGAAGCCAUACUUUAAACGAAAAGUAACACAGAGGUUGAACAGAAGGAUGCAGUGAUAGAGGUUUGAUUAUUUGGGUGUGUUUUCUGACGGCUAUAAGUUAUUGACAAUAACAAAAAACCAAAAGUAAAACAAUUGCCAAUAGCAUUGUUUGUGGUGAUCCAUGCACAUUCCUUUUUUUCUUUUAUAAAGAAAUAAUAAUAAUAAUAAUAAUAAAAACUACAGCUGAUGAGGGUCGUCAAACCAUCCAAACAUUUCCCUGCAAGCCAUUUUGUUUACCUGCAAAAGAUGCGAAAAACCUUCAUCCUUCCAACUCGGAAUAAGAAAUAGUGACCGAAGGCAAAAUAAUUUCUAGUACUCCAAUAGUAUCAUAAAGUAUUUUCAUGUAAGUGAGCUCUACUCUAUUUUUUUAAAGUACGCUGGCGUAAGAUACAGAUACAAUAAAUGGACGAAGCUAAUAGUAGUAUAUGAAAGUUUCCUCCAAACGCAUCACCAACUUGACUUUAAAGUACAGAACUUUGUAAUCCAUAAGUUUCUUCCCUCAUUUCAUCUCUCCAACCUUUCUUCUCCAAGCUUUGGCCAUUGAAGAUCUUGAAGAAAUUUGGCUGUUUUCUUGGAUGAUUUAGGAGGAAUAAUAUCUAACUUUAUCAAAAGAAUUUCUUCUUCUUUUUCUUUGGUCCUAUAGUGUAUUAGGUAAACUUUGGAAGAUUCAAACCAUCUUUUGCGGCUUUGCCAUUGUUGAGAACUAAGGCGUGCAUCACAUUGUAGUUGGAAGACUUUUGGAUUCCUCAGUUAUAAAUUCAGGUCGUGCAAUGAUGAAAUUAUCUUAGGCCCUUCUUUUUAGGAUACAAGCCAUUCGUUAUGGCAGGCUGGCUACUUUAUUAUUAUAUGAACAAUUUGGUACGAAAGAAACAAAAAAAAUGUUUCAAGCCUUCCGAGGCUGGGGCACAUUUGGGCCAAAUUUUCUAUCGCAGUCCCUUUGUUGGCUGGGUUGUGGCCAUUUGAGUUAUAAUAUACACUCAGUACAGAUUAUUAAUGGAAUGGUAGCUGUAUUGCUCUUUCCAGCAAAACCAAACUCCAGCCUAGCUCAAGUUCAUAGUUUUUUUCCCCUUUAUUAUCCAAUUUCUUUUCUUUUUUCUCUCUAAAUGAAGAGUGCUUCUCACUCAGGACAGAGAAAGAACGAGCUACAAAAGACAAGAUGGGCCGACAGGAAAAAUGGGCCCAACAAACAAGAAAAGUUAUAAGAGGCUCCAAUUGUUAGAGAAAUAAAUAUUUAGAGUAUUUUCAGUGUGUUGAGCUUAAUUUUCUCUGCCAAAACGGAAAUACCUUUCCUCACGAAUAAUUUAAAAAAAAAAAAAAAAAAAAACAGAAGCAACCUACCAAAGAGAUAAGCUUCCUUCACGACAACUGGAUAGAUGACAACCUCCUCCAUCAUGAUUCAUAAAGCCCGCUUGAUAUUCAAAUUGACACUAAAGAUCUUCGAGAAUCUAUUCCAAAUCUUUGCACAAAUUGACAUCUCAAUAGGAAAUAUCCAAAUCUUCUAACAAAGAACACAGGAUGAAAACUACAUAGGAUCCUUUGUAGUAGUGAUAAAUCCUCUAAAGCAACCAACCAAAAAAAGAAUGAUCAAGGACUCAGCCAAGGAAAUCAGAAAGAUUAACAAAAGCAUCCACGGGGACACAUCACAUAACAAAAAGCCAAAUACAACUAUCAUUGGAACUUAGGGAAAGAGGGGAAGAAGGAAACGUAAGAACAAUAGAUCAUUGACUUUCCUAUUAGACAGGCUCUCUAGGAGUGAUGUUUUGUUUUUUUUCCCUUCCUUUUCCUUCCCUAUUUUAACAUCUGUGAGUGUCCAAGUCAGUUUGUAUGCACCUCGAGUAAUCACCCACCUACCCUACCUAUGGCCCUUAUUGACUAAUAGGCCCAAUCAAUGAAUGGUUGAAAUGAGUUACCUAAGAACACUUGAUUAGAAAUGGCCAGAGUCUUAUUAAACUCGACACACUAAACCAUAACAGGGCUUAAGCAAAGUGCACGAAUGAUAAUUAAAAGAAACAUUUUUUCAAAAUCGAUAACAAUUUACUUCUUUUUCUAUGUGAAGAAAAGUAGCAUGAUGAAUAAUUAGAUGGUGAAAAAGUUGAAGAUAGUUAAGGUUUUAUUUGAAAUUGUAGAGAAAAAAAAUCUUCUAAAAUUAUUCACACUUUUCUCCUUAAAAGUUGGGUUAAAAAGAGGUAGAAAGUCAAGCCUAGGCAUUGAGACCUGCUUCAUUAAGGGAGCCUUUCUUUGAAGUGACGUACAGAUCCUAAUAAAGAACUUGUUGAAAGCUUGAAUUUUUGGGCUGCGGAUUACAAGCCCAUAAUUUAAGAACUUGUUGAAAUGUAGGAUAAGAGAGUCAAAACAAAUUUAUGCACAUUCUUCAAUUUAGUCCCAGAGGCAUGUAACUCACCUAGCACUUGCAGAGUGAUGCCCAUAAGUGUACUGAACUCUAAAGGGAAUCUUCAAAAAAAAGAAAAAAACGCUAAAGAGAACCGCUGUAAUAACUUUGUGAUAGAACCCAGUUAUAUUGAAUUGUAAAAGAUGGCAAAAAUACAAAAUAAACCAAGUGUUCGAGGUACUUUGACCUUCCCAAUCUUGAGAUCACUCUCUAGCCCUAUUUCACCCACCAAAAUAUGCUUACCCCCCUUUUUCCCUGCUGACUUUAUUUAUAACCAGACUUUCCUAACAGACAACUUAGCUAUUUACUAAUACACCCUUAAUAUCCCUCUAAUACCAUUCCAAUCACUUUGGAAAGCGAAAAAAGUCUUUAUUUGGUAUAUCGUCAUUUACCAAUGCCAAAACAGUCAAAUCACACAGCCUGGUCUCAGGCUCUGAAUAAUAAAAUGAAUCCCACCCUUCCCUCCCUCCCUCCCUCAUCAAGUGUGCAAUGCUCUCACCAUUUUUUCCAACAUAGACCAAAUAGAUGAAGUCCUAAAGAAAGAUACAGAGAAGAGCAAGAUCCCGCCAAUAACUAAUUGAACUAAGUUCACCUCACUUCAAAACUAAUCCUCUCAGUCCUCAAAGUCACUAAACUCACAUCCUGGUUUGUUAGAGCAAAGAUUAAAAAUUACAUAGAGUUCCAUCCCCUCAACGUGCGUCUGGGAGAGGCAAGUCUUUUGAUAAAAUUAUACUCUUCCCACUUACCAAUCACCUGAAAACCCAUAAUAUAUAGAGGAAAAGACUUUUUUUUGGUUAAAAGAAACUAACUGCUUUUAUUGAAAAGGAACGAAAGAAUAAAAAGGCAUUCAUGAAGCCCAGCCUAAAACAUCCAGCUAAAGAAGAGGGCAUCGUAAUAAAAUGUUCUCAAAACUACAUGGCCAAAAGCCCCACUCGGCAACCCUAAUGUUGAAAAGAACAGACCAAUGGUCUACAAAUAGAAAUAUUGUUUGAUGUCCUUGAAACAUAUCCAGCCACCCUAUAGACACAAAAUGCAUCUGCCAAGUGUACAAUGUACCAUUGAAGGACAAAGAUUGGACCAAGAGAAGUUACCACUCACAAGAGCACACCCCAACUCAUCAUGAACUUGAAUAAACCCAUAAAAAUUCUCUAUGGUAGUAGUAAUCCCAUUUACAUCCAACUUCUUCAGGAUGAAUCUAGUAACACUAAAGACUGCAAAAAUACACCAACAUUGCCUGCAAAACCUAAGAUGGCCGGCUCCUUCAAAGAGCACGUCUCUCCCUAUAGUGUUACAGCACAAGCACCAGUGAUCGAUUCCAAUGGAAUAGUAUUUAGAGGUGUGCAUAAGGACCCUAGUGACAUUUCAUGUUUCACUUUGGGCUUUGGUAUUGAAGUUUUUUUUUUGUAAUUAUGUCCAAGAUAACAUCUUAAUUAGUUGGAAACCCUUUCUUUGGAAGGGUUGCUUUUGUGGGUUUGUUUUUUGUAGGCCCUUGUAUUCUUUUUUUUUUUUUCUCAAUGAAAGUUGUUGAUUCUAUCAACAACAACAAAAUGGACAACCAAUUAUGAGAAUGCCACAGUAUGGAACAUUCCCACAAUACCUACAGCUUCGAUGGCCCUCCACUUAAUGUUAACUUCAUGUCUCCUGCAUACACUUGAAAAAACUAUGAUUGUGUAGCCUUUCAGAAAUUUCAGUCAUUCUAAGAAACAAGCUACCAUUCAGAAAAAUGUUAGGAAAGCUUGCAGGCAUUGCCACAAAGUUAUCACACUUACAGAGAGUUAAAAACUAAACGGAAUUAUUAACCACUGAUCUGAGUUAAUAAUUCUUUUCACACCUCGUAGCAGUACAAGAAUAAAGCAAAGAGCUGAUAUACACUGUUAUUUAUUCAAGCUUUGACAAAAAGAAAAGGUUUGAUUUUCAGUACGACGAGGAACUGAAAUUAACCAAAAACUUGCAAACAUUUGAACUCACCGUUGUUCCACCCAGCGGAUCACUCAGAUUCGGCUGGCUCCACUUUAGGACCUAACCAAAGCAAGAAGCAAACAACAUCAGAUGAUUGUAGAGAACGUAUAGUUAAUUCAUUCACUCGGUCAUUGAAAUUACAUAGGAAACCCAAACAAAAAAGGAAAAAAUGGAGAAAAAUCCAGCCAGCGAGUAACAACUUCAAAAAUAAUCAGAUUGAUUUCAAAAAGUAUACGUCCACGGGGAUUCAUAAACCAAAGAUAUUUCAGAAAACAACAACUUCAAUACGGAACAAAUUUCCACUGGUGAGCAUCACUUCCAAUCACAAACUAAUUCCAGUACCUCGGACUAUCUCCAUUUUCUCCCAAAAAGGCAACAAAAAUGCAAAUUUGCUAAAAUUUCUCGAAAGAUUAAACAUAACGAGUACCGUGAAGGGAUGGGUGGCGCCCGUCCUUGCCCCAGCCGAUGCCACGAGUGGAAUCAAGGUAUUGUUGAACGAGGUGACGGCAUUUCUGCAGAUGGUUGACUCCUUCGAUACGGUAGCACCAUCUGAGCUUUUCCCUCAGUAUCUUGGCCUUUUCAAUAUCGAUCCACUUCUCUCUUACAAUGUAUUCCCUCAUCUCUAACAUCGCCACUGGAUCCUUAUACGGAUUCUCCGGAUCGAAAUCGUCCGGCGGAGAUUCAUCGAACUCCACUGUCUUCUUCCUCCCCAUAGCUUUUCCCCUUUCUCUUCUCUUCCUUGUGCUGUUCUUGCUCUCAGUCUAAGAAUCGCUUUCGCGCAACUACACACGAGCACAACGCGCCCAUAUUCAUGUUCUUUGCUAACUAAUGGGCUUCCUGCUGUUGUUGGGCCCAUUCUUGUUCCUCACAGAGCCCAACUGAAUUGGCCCAAUUAUAGCUAAAUUUGUAAAAUUCUAAAUUUUAUUAUAUUUUUUUAAAAAAAUUAUUGUUAUAUACUUAAAUAUUAUUUGUAAGAUUAAUAAUAACCUCCAAAGAACAAUUACAAGGUCGUGAAUGUUAAAAAUAAUAAGAUUAUGAAUCAACCUAAUUCUUAUUUAAAACCUCCUAAACACAAAUACAUAUAAGAUUAUUUACAUCCUAAAUUACGAAAUUACGAGUUUUGUAAAAGGAUAGAAGAAAGUGUUAAAUUUUUGUGUUUGAAGGCUAAUUAUGAUUUAUGAGUUACAUUUGUGUUAACUUUUGGGCAAAGGCUUACAAUUUUGCAAAUGUGUGCUUUGUUGAAAAUCUUACCAUUUCUAAACUGCUCCCAUUAGCAUUAGCAACAUACGAACCAAAUCUCGCGGCGUUGUUGUUGUUGGCGACAAAUUGAGAGGGAACCAAAUCCUCACACCCCAGUUGACGUGGGAACGUGGAACAUGGCCGGAAAGCAAGUUUCCGGCGCUGGUCUACCGGAGAGCAUUGCAGGAAUGUCGAAGAACCAACUAUAUGAUAUCAUGUCUCAAAUGAAGGUACUUCCCUUUUUUCUUUCCUUCUCGCUGUCAGAAUGAAUGUUGGUUCGCCCCCUUUUCGUCAGCUUUCUGAAUUCGGUUUUCGUCUUCGAGUAAUGUCUGGAUGUCGGAGGAAUGAUUAGUGUUGUGUUUAUUACUAUGCAGACACUGAUCGAACAGAAUCAGCAGCAGGCGAAACAAAUCCUCAUCCAAAACCCCUUAUUAACCAAAGCUCUUUUCCAGGUUUCAAUUUUUAGGUUUUUCGUGUUUUGAGAAUUGUUUCUUUUUCAUCUAAGCUUGCGUAGUAAAUCUUGUCUUGGCAGAGUAUAAGUAGGGUUGUAUGUGAAAACGGAUUUUGAAUCAUGGCUGGUAUCUCGAGGAAAUUGAAUGUGUUUUAGUAAUGUAUGAUUAUUGUGUGCACAUUUGUACAAUCUUUUACUAGGUUUAAUUUUGAUCUUUAUGAACGUAGAACUGUUGGAUCAUUUUCUUGAGUAAGUGGAUUUGCCUAUACCGGGUGAAAUCAAGUUAAUUUCGAAGCACCUUUUAGCAUUCAAGAAUGUGUAGUGUUCUUGAAGUCGAGGAAAGUAGUCCGUAACCUGAGUUUUCUUCUUAUUACUUCCUCGGAGACUCCAUUGACUGUCAAAUGUUUGUACGCCCUACUGCAAGGGCUAAGUUUGAACACUAGAUUCUAUUAGGCAUUUGAUUGUUCUGUUCAGAAUAAUUUGUAGCAAUUAGGUGUGAUUGCAAGUGUUAUUCAUAACAAGAUUUUAUGUUAUGGGAUACACUGAGUUAUGCGGUUAAUAGUGAGGAGCCUUUUUACUAGUUUAUAUACACAUUUAGAAAAUAUUAUUCAUUCUGCUGUUUUAUCUACCAGGCACAAAUCAUGCUUGGGAUGGUACGGCCGCCUCAGGUAGCAUGUCAUUGUUAUUCUGCUUUCCUUUUAACUUUUUUUUUUUCUGCAUUUUCUGGUAGACAUCUAAGUUAUUCUUCUGUUUAGGUUCCAAGCAUUCAGCCUUCAGCUUCACAGCAUUCUCAACCAUCAACACAGGCAACUCAACAAUCAAAUCUUCAGCCUACUCAAACAUCCGCUCCUCAAAUAAGUUUGCAAGAACAGACAAGUGCACCACCUUUGGCCCCUUCUAGAAAACAAUAUCAGAACCAACCAUCAAUGCCUAUCUCAUCGACUACUCUUCCUACUGCAAACAUUCAGCCUCGGCCAACACCUCUGAUUCCUCUACAGACACCGCAGCAUCCCAAGGGGUUUGAUAUCCCCCAAGCAAAUCCCAUUUCUGUCCCACAACCCUCUCAAAUUCCAAGUGUAUCUCCAAUUCUUCCAUCUGCUGCUCAGCCACCUUUACUUCAUCAACCUCAGAUUUCAACUGCCUCCAUGCAGCUGCAGCAGCCAUUACAAACAGCCGAAAUUCACCACCUGCCUCCACAGGCACAAUUGCCCCCACAUUCCAGGCCACCUACGGGUCCAAAUUUCCACCAGCACUACCCCCCUCAAAUGGGCCACAAUAUGAAUUACCAACCUCCUGGCAUCCCACAGCAUGUUUCACAACCCAUGUUUCAUGUAAGUUGGAGUUUUAGUUUUCAUGCCACUGUUUUCCUUCUCCUUAGGAUUUACAUUACACAAAUCUCCAAGUGAAAAUGAUCUCUCAACCUCUGUAGUCUAUUUUUGAAUGUUUUAGUCAGGUACCAAACUCCCUCCUGGCCUAGGAAAUUCAUUUCCCCAGGGACAGUCUGGACUACCUAGUCAGCCACCACCCCCUCAAUCAAUGUAUCAGGUAUUUCUUUUCUCCUUUUCGUUUUACUUGAUUACAAAGUGUUUGUCCUGCACAUACUAGAUCGACUGAGUUCCUAGAAAGCUGAUGAGUCCUGACUUGAGCAUGGACUAAUGUCUUCUGUUUGAAGAAAAUAUAAUAAAUAAUUUGUUUGACUGGAUUGCUGUGCUUGGCAAUCUUUCUUUUUUUUCAAUUAUUAUUUGACAAUAGUAGCAUGGAAGACACAAUGAACUUGUAUAUCUUUAUAAUCUCAUUUUGCAACAGUAUUAUUCUUAGGAUGUGCUCAUUGCUAUUGACUUAUAGUAAAUAUAUGUGUAUAUGGAAUAUUUGUCAUUUUAAACAUUUAUGAUAUUAUUCAUUUAACAUAAGGCAUACAUUGAAAAUGCCUGAAUAUCCUUAUGUUAAGGCAGUAUAAUCUUCGGCUGUAUUGGUGUAAAGCUAAGCCUCCUUUUAAUCAUUUUAGUCUUUCUUAUUUAGUUUCCAAUUGGAAAUAUUUAUUGCAAUCACCUCUAGGUGCUUUGGGGAUCCCCCUAUUUUAUUUUUUCAAUGAAAUGUUUCUCUAAAAAAAAUCCUAAUGGCUGGUGUAGAUAUUGUAAAAUUGCAAUCACACCAUAGAAGCGGAAUAGAAUUGUAGGUUCUAGAGGAUUCAAGUGGAAUAUCAUAAUGGUUCAUGUUUGAUUUGUCUUGUAUAGUCGUAGAUAUUCCUAUUAGCCCUGCCUCUCUCUAAGGGGAAACGGGUUUGAUAUCCUUCAAUCUUGCACAGUUCUCUAUUGAGUUUUCAUUUGUGUUCUUGGUGUUUUAGGUGUACGGAGGACUAAAUUUUAUCAUCUCAAAAAGUUUAAUAUGAGUGGCUUUUAUUGUUUAAUUAUUUCUGUUAUUGACAUUGUACAUGCUUCUGCCAAUUAUAUAUAGUUCUUAGUCAUCAUAAAAGGUAGGGCUUGUAUAUGCAAGCAGGUAUUGAAUGAACAUGCCAUCUUCUUUUAGACCAAAUUAUUAAUGCCGUUAAAAAUAAUUUAUCAAAUAACCACAAUAUUAGCUGUUUCAAUUUCGGUUGGUGCAUUUCUCUCUCAGGCUGGAGGUUCUAAAUUAGGUACAGAAUUCAUGAAUCAAGUUGGAACAUCAAAGCCUGCGGACAGAGGGCCUUGGAUGCCUGGCCCUCCAGAAAACCCUACACUUCCACAGCAACUAUCCGGACCACCACCUAUCCCAUCGGUCCCUGGUGGUCAGAUGGGCCCUAACAAUCAACCUCGUCCUGCACCACCGGUACUUACCUAAUGACCUUUUUUUUUCUGUUUGGAAUGACAAGUUCUCAUCUUUUUUCCAUCUUUUGUGAUUGAUUUUGUGUUCCCCUCUUCUUCUCCCGGUGCGUGGUUCAGUUGAGUCAGGAGAUGGAAAAGAUGUUACUUCAACAAGUCAUGAGUCUCACACCCGAACAAAUUAAUCUCCUUCCUCCCGAGCAAAGGAAUCAAGUGCUUCAACUACAGAAGAUAUUGCGCCAAUGAAUAAUGUUUUAAGAGGCAGGAUUCUCUUGGUUUUCUUCCCCCCAACCCAUUGUCGAUUCUUACAUCAUUGAUCAUGCUCUAAAUGGUUUUAGGCUACUAGGGGAAGCCAUCUUACUGCUGUCUUUAAAACUUCUAAGCAUUGCCAUGGAGAUUGAUAUGUUACAGUUAUUAUCUUUUUUCCUUCUCUAUCCUUUAGAGUUUUCGUUUUGCUCUCCAAUGGGUUUUUUUUUUUUUCUUUUUUUCUUUUUUUGCAUUCUUACAUAUUUGUGUGAACGACUACUUUCAUAAAGCAGCUUUGCAGAUGAUGUAAGAAAAAAUUUUAAUGCUUAGAACAAUAUUGUUAAAUUGUCAAAAUACAAAGAGCGACAUCUUGGGGAACCAUUUUCGAUUGUACUCAGAUAUCUGAGGGUCCACAUCUACAGCUUCUUUGUUUUUUGUUUGUUUUUUUUUUUUUCUUUUCCUUUGGGGUCUGUUAGCUUAAAGUUUAAUGCUAUAUAAUAACAAAUGAGGCUAAUUCUUCCCAAUUGUUCAGAAGAAACAAGAAUUCCUAUAUGAAAAUGAACUUGACGGGUCCAUAUGUAUUUAUGGACUCGUUCUAAAUAACAUGUACACUUGCAUCAGAAUCUCAAAAUGCUGGCAGAAUCGUGAUUUGUACUGCAAAGUGCAAACUGAUGAGGUCAAGAAUUCUGAUGGAUCUGAUUAAUAUCCAGAUGAUCUUCUGCUUAAGGAAGGUGAUGAGUUGAGAAACUCCUGACCAAGUUCCUUGAUCUUGUUUAUUAGAAGCAUUUGUUCAUUUUCAAGCUGUACCAUGUACUCUUCUUGGAGAUCCUCUAGACUUUCCAGCUCACUCAUUGCUGUUGCAAGUCCUUCAAGAUUGCUAUCUUCAAUGAAUGUUUGUAACUUAUUCAUCAUUUGUUUCAUCUGCAAGAUGAAGGAAUUCGAUGUUAUCAUGUCAAGAAGUUGGGUUAUAAAUUUGCUAAAAAAUAUACUUUUACCAACGUAAAAAAACACUAUUCUUGCCCCCAUUACUUUUGGUUUAGGUUCGUUUUGGUUUUUUCAAAAUGUUCGUUUGGUUUAUUUUGGUUCAAUAAUUUGAUCUCUUAAAAAUGAAAAUGGAAUGACUAAAAUGGUUACUUUUUAAAACUACAAAACAAACAUUUCGAAAGUAUAUAAACCAAAACGAACCAAAGUUCGAAAUAAAUAGGUAAAAGUAUAGAUCUCAAAAUAAAGCAAAACCUAAAUUACAGCAACUAAAGUAGUAUUAGAAAGGUUUUUUUUAGUACACAAGAUAGGUUUGAAGUAUAGGGAUUAAAAUGAACCAAAACCUAAAUUACAAGAACCAAAAUAGUAUUAAAAGAGGUUCUUUUAGUACACUGACCUGACUGGAAACUUGAUGUGCUUUGUUCAUGGGAAAUUCGGAAUCCAGACUGGUUUUUGAAUCCAAACUAGAUCUUUUAUCUAAUUCUGGAACUCUCUUGGUGAUUUGAAUAUGUAUCUCACCCCUUUUGACCCCCUGAAGUGGUAUCCAUUUAUCAAACAUUUGGUUUGGAGGCAGCCCUUGAUAUUCCACAACACAAUCUCCUAUGCUUGAUGUGGGAAGUAGAGCAUUGUGGUCUUUCACAUGCAAUAGCAGAGGGCUCCCAUUGUCAGGAAACUCCAAAACUUGAUUCCAUUGGGGACUCAGAGUUUUGUACAUGAUCUACAUGAAAAUUGAUCAUUUACUUCUCAACAAGCUGAUCUAAAAAAGAAACUAAAUUUGACAUAAUGAUGUGGAACUUGAAAGAUACCUUGGUCCUUUUCUUCAACUUUCCAUAUUGGACCCUCACGUAAGGAUCACUUGUCCCUCUAAUAUCAGCAGCAACAAGAUCUCUUGCUUCAAUUAGAACAAGUUCAAUCCAGCCAUUUGUUGGAGCCAAGCUUGAGCCCUUGUGAAAUGGAGAAAUGUUGAAUCAAAUCAUAUCAACAAGUAAGCAAGAGAUAGAUCUAUUUCUAAGUUUAUGGAUAAAAUAUGGUCUUUUUCCUAUCUGUUUCACAAAAGAUUGACAGGCUCAUACCUUCGAUCCUUCAUUGUCAUCCACUCUGAUGGCUUCAAUUUGAAGCCUUAAUUCACCAGAAUUGACCUUUUCAAGAGGAAUCCAUACAUCUCUAACUGACCCUUCUACUAAUCCUUCCAGAUUUACCCUUGCACUGCCAGUGUUAUCGUUGCCGAAAAUGUCUUCAGUAAGGCAUUUUAACUUGAGAUAUUCACCACCGGCAAUCUCAUCAAAUUCAAACUUCUGAUUCCAUGUUGGAUUGAAGGAGUGAGCUGUUCUUGUGCGCUGGAGAGCCUGAAAUUAUACAAGACAGAAUCGUUAAAAGGUAGCAUAAUCGAUACUAUCAAUAUUAAGCAUUGCUAUUGAAGAAAUAUUCGAGAAAUCUUAAGGCAAUAAAACUACCUUUCCAUACUGCAAUUUGACAUAUGGAUCACACUUCCCAUUUUUGUCUUUCGUGGGUAAGUCUUUCCCUUCCACGACUGUGAUGUUAAUUUUUCUUCCAGUGCUAGAAAGAAAACUCGACGCCCCAUAGAGAGAUUGUUGUGAACUAACAUGAUACCUGUUAGAACUAUGUGAACCAUCCGAGAACAUCCAUUCCUUUAAAACCAGCCUCACCCGCAGCUGCAAACAGAGGUAAAAAAUCAUUAAAUCAUAUAAAUGGGUAUAAAGCAAAUAGGAUAUGGAGUAACCCGGGUGUCUUUCAUUUCAUCUCUCUUAGAGUGAGUUUAGGAUGACUUUUGAAGACUUUUGAAUGUACGAUGUUUAAGUGAAUACUUCUUUCAUAAGCUUUCUUUGAAAAUAUCACUAAUUAAUACUUCCUCUAGAAUGUUUUUACAAUUAGUUAAAAAAAAUUCCAUCGUUCCAAAAUUCAUCCCAACUUCUCCAAGACUUGCAAGACACAUAAUGAAUGUGGGCACUAAAGCUCAACCAUUUAAAUUGAGGGUUUCACUCUCCACCAUCAACAUUAUAUAUACUUUUGUUCUUCAAUAUUUUAACACACAAGCGUGUGUGUGUAGAUAUAUACGUAUAUAGAGAUAGAGUUGUUAGGAUUUUACCUCUCCACAAUGGGCCCCUUCAAAUGGAAUAUCCAUUUCAACUUCUUUUCCACAAAAGUCAGCAUACUUGGCUACCACACUAGAAUCUGGUCCUAUUGCCCAAAAUGUUGUGGAAUCAUCUGCAGCAUAUUUCAUCUGGUCAUAGAGGACAAAGUUUGAAUUAGCUAAUACUAGAGCUUGGUUGAAAACUCACAGUAUUCAUUUUGCAUUCUUUGCAACUAUUUCUCUUUAAAGGAAGAUAUGCCACAUUUUGAAGACCCCCUUGUAAAAGAAGCCUAAUGAUUCAUCUCUUAUAAGAGUUCUAAUAAUAUCUUUAUAACAGAUAGAUUUAAUCUAUAAAGAUAUAAUAUUAAUCAUGGUAUUGGAAAACACGAUAGUGAACGUAUAUAUUUCCUUUUUUCAUUUUCCUCUAAAAAAAAAAAUUACCAGCUUAAUUUUCAUAAAUUCACACAUCAACUUGAAAUGAGUUUAUAUGCUUAGUGAUCAAUAAAUUUAUACCUUAACCUCACAACUUGCAAGAUAAUCAUGUUUCACAUGGCUUGGAUUAUACUCAUAAAGAUGAAACCGUAGGGUUCCUGUAUCUUCAUGUAAAAUCAUAUUGAAUGUCGUAUUCCACUGAGGGUCUGAACCUGAUCUUGCAUCUGUUUUUCUACUAAGCUUUUCAAGUUCAACCUCAACAAAUGUCUGCAUAUCUUUAUCGGUAAGAUGCUCUCCAAAUGAACCAUUAUUAGCAGAGUAGCUUUGUUGUCUUCUGGUUGGGCUUCCUUUUAAACUACUUCUAUAGAGUUUUCUGGCAGAAAUGACAGUCACAUAUACAAUACCACCAACAGCUUUUUUCCUCAGAUCAACAGCUGGCAAAGAGAAACAACGCCUGCGAGGUUCGACCAUUGUUCUAACCAAGGUAUCUGUAAAAAUUUUGACCUGCAUUGGAGAGGGAAGGUUGUUAAAGCGACUCAAAGGGACUUUGCAACCAUUGUUUUGAUUGCAUUUAUUCUAUCUACUUAUACCUUUCGAAAGAAUUUUGCUAUUAAUAGAAAAAAAAAAGAUAAAAACAAUUUUGUAGAUUUAUUAAGUCAAUGUCUGGCAUAUGAUAUUUACUUACGGACUACCAGAGAUGGAUGUAGAAAUAUACCAGCCAGGAGGAUACGCCAGGGAGCUCAGUUGCAGGUAAUGAUUGGCUUCCUCCACUUCCAAAAGCAACUCCUAUUCUUACAUCAGGAGUCGUGACAAAUGAAAAUAAAACUGCCCUCCCAUCCAAAAUAGGCAUCAAGACAAGCUGUAAAGGUAAUCCAAACAACAGAUGAAAUUUUACGAUGCUGCUAACUUUUCAGUGAGUGUGGAUUUUAUAUGGUUGAGUGGCAACCGAAACUCCAAAGACACCCUAAAAACAUAGGAAAAACUCUUGAACUAUGAACCAAGGUGAAUGCAUUUGUCAAUAUAUUACCAAAACAACUUUGGCAGUAGCACAGGUAGGACUGGUUAAAGCAACUACCAUUUGUAUAAAAGAUAGGAAACUGCUAUUUGAUUCAAAUCAAAAGGAAGAGACUCCGGUAUUCCUGAGAUUUUAAUUAUUGAAUGACUUUGAAACCAAGUGAACGUGAUCACUCUCUUUAGUGAACCAAUGAUACUUCAUGGAUUAACCUCGCUACAUAUGCUGAAAAAUGACAAGAAUGGACAACUGAGGAAAGAGGGAAAGAAAUUAAACGUACAUCGCCCUUUAUAUGGAGGCUGUUUAUGACAAUCCGUGCAGUUCCCAUAAAAGGCUUGCCCAAUUUUGCUUGCAACAAAAUGCUCAUUUCAUUUGUGUCCCAAUCGAAACUCAAAUGCAUGAUUCUCUGUCAAAACUCAAUGAGAAAACUUCGUUCAGAUUUCUAGUCUGAAUUUUCGGCUUGAAGUUACAAUGUAGUAUUUUUAAUCACCGAAAACUACAACCAAGUCUAGCAAUAUAGUUGUAUGUGAAUGUGUUCCUCAAAAAUGUAGAAAAUAUGAUUGUUAUUAUCAACAUAUGUAGUAGCUAGUAGCAAUGGGAUAAUCAACGGUCAACAAGACUCUUUUUUAAACAGUGCAGCAGUCCCGAAAAAUCAUUAGCAUCACAUUUGUAGUUAAUUGGGAUACUGCACCCCAUUUAUACCCAUGAACUAUUACAGGAGCUCGCCACAACGGCUUCGCCACUUUUGUUGCUUGCAGCUUGAACUGUCCAUAAAUCUUAACAAAAGCAAGACAACUACGGAAAAACAAGAACUUGAGAGGGAGGUAAAAAUGGAAGCUCCUUGAAAGAAUUUCCAGAAGAGUACAUGUUAUCUACAAAGAAGGAGACGAAGGACAAGAAGAAGAGCCCCACCUCAUCACCACAAGUUGACCAUCGAGUCCCACUAAGACCCAAGCUAGGAGGGCAUGAGCCUAGAGAAAAAUCCAGCAGUUCAAUUUUUUCCUACAAAAUAUUGAGUUAUGAGCAUGUUUAUGUUUUUGCAUACAAGAUUUAUAAGAUGGAAUGGCCAAAGUUAGUAUACUCACAAUAAGCCUGGACUUUCGGUCCUUCAACCGUUUCUGCACAGAGAAAUUUUUUAACUAAGUUAAAUGAUGCCAAAUUUGUGAAUAUAACCAAUAGCAAUAAAGUAUAUUCUCUGAAUAGAUUAUAGACAGUUUUAGUAAUAAAAUGGGAAAAAAAUGAAGCGUGAAGCGAAGAAGGAAUAACAAUACAAUUGCCCGUAGUUUGUCUUAGAUUCAAGUUUUCACAUUACUUUACUCCCGAAAUUUUUAGAAUUGAAAAUCUAUUUAUUUAUAUAAUGAAAAAAAUUAGAACAUAUAUUUUCCUCUUAAUAAGGAUCAAUUCAAUUCUGAUGAUGGCACACAAGGGUAACUAAAGAAAGAACAGUCAGAAAAUUCGAUAUCCAUUGUUCACCAAACAGACAUUAACAAAUUCAAUCAUGAUAUAGGUGCAACCGAAAGAAGAACUACAACUAAGUUGGAACCUACAAACAACUGAACAAUGUGAAUCAUGUUAUCAUCAUGAGGAAGUGAGAAAGAGUAUGGUACUCACAUUUACUGUGGAAGUAAACUUUGUGGAAAGUUUUGGAUUAAAAUAAUUUGGCCAUACUUCCAUCAACAGCUUAUUCAACCAUGCACAGGGUUCUAAAGGUGUUUCAGGCUGUAUAAAUUAUCAAUGAAAGAAAAGGAGAACUAUUAGCCCAGCACAUUCAACAUUUCAAAAAGUGUUCAAGUCAAGGAAAAAGAAAAGACAUGCCGAAGUGUUUGUUAUGAUUCGCCUCCAUUUUGUGUUCAACUCAUCAACAAUUAAUUGGCGUUGAUAACUUCCAUACUGCAGGAGAAAGAUGAUAUUGUGGUCAGUACUGCAUGCAAUCCCUGCUAAAUCUUAUCAGUUAACUUGCAGCACAUGAGAAUCACGAAAACAAUAAAUUUCAAACCAAGGUUUUAUGACAUUUUUUCAACUGAAACAUUAUAAUGAGGAUUAUAGCCAUUGAAAACCGCCAAAGCUGUAGCGACUAGAUGUAACAGUAACACAGAAAACUUCAAGAAGGUCAAGACAACCAAGUGGUUCAAAACAGAACCACCACUCAUAAAAUUGUAUUUUUCUGUAAACAUGUGUUCAAUAUUUAGGUCCCCAAAGACAAUGAUGUAAUAAUAACACAAAUUUCCAGCCAUCAUCUCUCCUUAUUAGAAUGCUUAAGCCAAGUGGUCAGGGAUGUCGACCAAGGUUUUCAAUACCAAAAUAACAAUAUUCAGUUGAUAGUUUUCAAUAAUCAACGAAUCUACUCAAUACCAUGUUUUUAAUCUUUAUUGAAUGUACUAUAAAUAAAUAAAAACCACUAGCAUGUUACAUUGGACAAAGAAUUUGAAUGUUCAGUAACUUAAUUAAUCAGAUUGCUGCUAUAUUUGUAAUCCUAGAAUUAACGUCUUCUAGUACAUUGUAGCUUCUGAUUAUCAAUUGCCACACAUUUUGGUCAGUGGUGGCUGCAGAAGCCCGUCGGUGGGGGUUAUCAUCCAGUUUCUAUAUCAUCAAAGAUGGAUCUAAACGAUCAACAGUUUUUGAGUUGGACCUCAAGGUCUCAAUGAAGCAUACAGACUAUAUAACAAUAAACUCCAUAGUCCAAAUCCACAAACUUUAUAAGAAAAUAGUUGAAGAACAAAGCAUUGACUCAACUCAAGGUUUCAAACAGAUUUCGAACGAAAUGACAAAUAUCAAACACCAUAUGCCCAAAGACAGAAAAUUCAAGAUUCCAGUCAAACACAUUCCAAUUGAGCUAAGAAUAGCGUUCAAAUAAGAUAGAAACAGAUCAGAAACAAACCAAGGAAACAAAGAACAAGAAGAAAAAGAAAAACGAGGACUAAAAAAAAUGGAGGGAAAUUGGAAUAGGAAACAAACCUGUAAAGUGGCCCACACAGCAACAGCCAAAGGAACCCAAUUGGAGAGAGAGAAAACCCAUCUCUCAAUAGACCAAGCAAUCAAAACCAAAGGUAUUAGAAAUGGAAGAAGAGGCUUCUCCGCCAUUAAAUGAUGGAAAAACUCCAUAACCCCUUCGCCGUUGAAGAAACCCCUCUUUCGGCCUCUUGGGCCGCCGUCCCUAGCCAUUUCAAACGAAACCCAAAAAAAAUCAAACCAAGUCUUGAGCUACGUGACUCUGCCUCUUAAGUCCGUCGUUGCAGAGGAAUAAGAAAUAGUGGAAAGAUCAUUUGAGAGCUUGAAAAGUCAAAAUUAGAGAAUUUGAGGAAAACAAAAAUCGAAAUUGGUAAAAAAAAAAAAAAGUAAAAGAUCAAGUGGGUAUCACAAUAAAGUCAUAGUAAAUUCAAAAUGUCAACUGAAAGAAGAUGAAUCGGAGGAGGAAGCUAAAAGGGAAAUUUAGAAUUGGGAAAACGAAGAAGACGAAGAAGAAAAGACACGUCAAUUUACUUCAUAACUAUAAUAGUGAUAACGACAGAUUUCUGUCUGUAUCUCUAUAAUAGUUUGAAUAUCACACACAUAUAUAUAUAAUUAAAUCCUUGAAGCUCUCAAUCGUCACUGCUUUUGCUCGUAAUCUUUAAACUCUUCAACCCCAUUACUGUUCAUGAAAAAUUCAAACUUCGAGGUCAGCUCGCAGAAUCAGCUACAUAGAAUGUUCUAUAUUUUGAAUCUAUUAUCCGUUAAAAGCUUAUUACUAAAUUCUUAAAAACUUUUAUCCAAAAAAAAAGUUCUAAUUAACAAUUAUACAUUGUUUCAAUUGAACAUCUAAAUUAUUAAAUCAGUUUAGAUUAUUGGAAUAAUAAGAUUUAAUGAGGAACAAAUUAAGGUGAAAGAAAAGAAAAGAGGUAAGUGGUUUGUUUUUUUUCUUACUAAAAACAUGAUUGACCCGUAAUCAAUAUCAUGUCCUUACAGGGAAAACGGUGAUAAAUUGGGUAUUUUAAUUUUCAAAAAAAAAAAUAAUAAUAAAAUAGAAGUUGUUUAUUUAUUUAUAGAAAAAUAUAGAAUAUUUAUUUGAGAUGAGAUUAUUAUUAUUAUUAUUAUUAUUAUUAUUAUUAUUAUUAUGUAGAAAGAAAAAAAAAAGAAAAAAGAAAGGGUUGGUAGGUUGACCCAUUAGUUUGUCAAUAUCGUUGGGCCCACGCGUUUUCCCGCGCGUAACGGUGACCGAGUUGGUGACUCACCUCGAAUUUGCCGAUUUGGAAACCACGACCCGGACAAGAUCCCCCCAACUUCAACUCUAAACAUGGUAACCAUUAACCAACACAUUGGGUUAUUUUUCUAAUUUUUCACUUUCAAUUCCAUUCUUCCUUUUAUAUAUAUAUAUUAACAUUUUCAACUAUACAUUUAUAUCAUACCGUGUGAAUCUCUUAGUAACAUUCCAAAAUGAACUAUAUCGAAACAAUGAAUCAUAGACCAUGGAUUAGAGUUUCGUGUUAUAAUUGUUAAGUAAUUUUUAUGGAUUUAUAUGACUUCUUUCAAUUGAGAAGGUAUGGAAAAUUAGAACACACGCAACAAAAAGAAUAAAAGAAAGGGAAAGAGACUCAGUACAACUCUCAAGCCAAUUAGAAUAAUAAUAGAAAAACUUUAGAUCAAACAAGUUGAUUUAACCACGUGAAAAAUACAUAAAGAAGCUGUAUAGACAUAUGACUAUUUUCGUUAAAGCGACUCUUCAAAGCUUAUGCGUAAGUGGAUUAGUUUGCACUUACAAUGAUCUCAUCAUUAAUUUUUUUUUUUAAUUAACUACAAUAACACUCGAAAGAACAAAUGAAACACAACCUACUAAUAUAAUCACCCAAACGGGAGAAGACUAGCAAAAUGGUUAGAUUGUAAGGAUUACUAGACAUCCACUAACCAUUGUUUAUUAGGGAAAAUUUGAAAUAAUAUCAACAUAUCCUUAAUUGGUAUGUGAGGGAGAUGAUCUUCUUUACCUUUUAUAUAUAUUAGCAAAAGGACCUUCUUGAAAUUGAUGCCAUGGAAAUCUUUGAUAAUAAUAUAACAAAUAUAUGCAUAAAUUCACAAACCCCAUCAAUGGCAGAUGGUCCCAAGCCUUGGAGAAACCAUAUAUAUAUAUUCAAUUUGGUCUGCCAAUUCCAUUUCUCACAAAAUAAGUCUUCAAAUUUCCAAACACAUUGAAGCUUGUAAUGCAUCAUCAUGCACCCUUUCUCAAAGCACAACAAAAUUACUCUCUUUUUUAAUCCUUUUUCAAAAAUCCACUCGUGAACAAUACGAUUUAAUUAAAUAACAUACAAUCAAUCAAAACUUUAUCGGUUGAACUGUAAAUCAGUAAUCAAUUAUGUAAUUAAAUUAUUUAUGACAUGUUAUUGUAUUUUCUUUGACCGAAGUGAAAUUGCUUUCUUUAAUUGGUUUAAUCAAUUAAUUAUGGAGCUCACGAAGAGUUGAACUCUUAUUUUAAUUUAUUAUAUUGAAUUGUGAUCUAGUUCUAUUUGUUUGGAUAAAUUAUUGUAAAUUAUUGUUUAUCCUGUUUUAGUUUAGGUUUUUUAUUUUUAAUUGUUAUAUUAAAAAAAACACAAUUACUAACAAAGUUAUUAUAUUUAUAUGAAAAAUAGAACCACAUUACAAGGUCUCAUAUUAAGUAAUUUGCAUGUAAGUAGACAUAGGACUAAAAUAAUGUGGACAUAUAAUAGGUCAACAUUGAAUGUAACAUUAUUUAUUUUUUGCACAUGUAUUAAAAAAUAAUAAUAAUAAUAAAUAAAUAAAUAAAGUUGUUCAUCAAGUCAAUAUUCAAUGCUUGAGGAUUUGUGUCAUCUAUUAAAGUAUAUAUAUACAUAGCCAAAUUACAUUAUAAUCCUUGAUAAAUCUUUUUGUCAUCCUCCCAAAACAACACUUAACAAAAAGGGCUAAAAUGUAAUUCUUUUUGCCACUUUCAAUUAAAAGAUACAAAGUGAAAGUCAUUUAUCUUCACAUUUAUAUAUAAUAGAUAAACAAAUUGAUUUAAAAAUAGUUUUUAAAUCCCACAACAAAAAAGGCUAAGGCUCGUUGGGCUCAUAAAUCGGCCCAAUACAUCAAAGGCUUCGCCCCAAUGAUAUUAAGCCACUUGAGCUUCAAAUUUAGCCCGUUUGACCCAUUAACCCAAUUGCUCGCCCGUACUCCAUUUUAUUUUUUAAUGUAAUAUUUAGCUUCAGAAGAAAUUAAAUAAUUACAAUAUAGUUUUCUUAACCUUCAAAUCUUACAUUGAUUGAUAAAAAUAUUUAAAUGAACUGUAAAGGAUUAGAUGAAUUUUAGUAAAUAGUUUUAUAAUCGGUAGCAAUUUUAAGUAUGUAGCAAUAUUUUUUAAAAAUUAUAAAUAUAGUAAACACUAUCAACAAUAGAAGUAGACUAUAUGAUUUAUCAGUGAUAAAUCAAUAUUUACAACAUAGUAUAUCAAUGAUAGACUUCUAUUAUUAAUAGACUUUGACAGAUAUUCACUAAAUAAAAAGUGUGAUCGAAAAAAUCUUCAAAAUUGUAAAAUUUUAAUGUAAAUAACCUAUAAUUUUUUAAAAAAAGUUUUUAGUAUACCUCCCCCAAACAACCAAUAAAAAGUAUAUAUAUAAAAAAAAAAACAUAUCUAAAUACAUUAUCACCACAUGUUCGAGACAACGUGUAACGGUUAACGUCUUCAAAAUAGAUUAAUUUUAAAAUAUAUAGUUUAGUAUUAGCCAUUUCCAAUAAGAAUGGGUAUAUAUAUAUUAUUGUUAAAAUAAAAGAGAGCGAUAUAAAAUUGAAUUAUACUGUUGUUUGGUUAUUUUUAUAUGAGAAAAAGAGAUGAUGAGAAAAUAUAUACAUAUAUGUGUCCACUCAAUGUGAUGUUUAGUUAAUAUCAUCACAUACAAUAGUUGAAGACUUGGAUGAGGAUGACAACCCAUUGUUCCAAUGAUAAUAUCUUAUUUGGUUUUAUGGAUAUAAUACACACAUUAUUAAUCAUUGCCCUUAAUUAUUUAAAGAAAUUAUAGUCAAGUGCUAUCUUUUUAGUUUCAGUGGUUGAGACAAUAAGAAGAAUAAUUAUGUCAUGACAUUUAAUUUUGUUUUAAUUUCUUCAUUUUAAUGCUAAUUUUAAUGAUCUAUAAUUAAUUAAUCAACGCUCUCAUAUCUUCUAAGGAAAUCAUUUAUUAAUCUUGUUCAAUUGUAGCAUGUGCAACCAAUCUCAAUCAUUAUAUGGUUUCUAUAACUUUAAGUUGUUUAAAAUGUGCAAAAGAGUAACAAAAUAAUAUCAUAUAUCUAUUAUAUAUAAUUAAUAAAUUUUGUAAUGGGUAAGAGUUUAGUGUUUAGGGUUUGAAAAUAAAUAAUCUAAGAAAGUUGUCUCGUCUCAAACAUUCACGAGACAAAUAGGAAAUAGACGCAAGAGAGACACAAAUAAUGAAAGAGUGGGUGAGAUAAUUUGGUCAUAUGGUCCAACAUGUCCGAAGCCAAUCAAAUCGUCCAUGUUCGCAUGCGAUCGUUUGACCCAAAAGACCCACCUUAACUAACAAUUUUUACUAAGUGAAUUGAUUAUAUAGAGCGUGAUAAAUUCACGUGGAAUAAGUUCAUCUUCUUCAUUGAAUACUAUAACCUAAUAAUCAAAAUGUCCCUAACAAACACUAUAUAUCAAAGGUACCUCUACGUUUAUAUUGGGAAGCAAAAUAAUAAAGUAAAAUUGAAUGGGAUGAUGACAACCCACCAACCAGAAUGAAGAUGGAAAGAAAGAAAUGAUGUGUAAUAUGUGAUUUUAGCGUGGGAUCCUUGAACUUGACCAUUUUAAGCAUAUUGGAAUUAUAAUCCUCAAUAUUUCUAUAACAAUAACUUUAUCUGUUUGUUCAUGCAUAUACUCCACAAACACCAAAGCUAAAAUGAAAAAUCAGUCAAAAAGAUCUCUCUCUCUAUAUAUAUAUAUUGAGAGACAGUAGAAGAAAGAUGAUCUAGUGGGGGAAACAUACACAUUCUUCAUUAACCCUUUUUUCUUGCAUUUUUAGACACCAUUAUUAUUAUUAUUAUUAUCAUUCUCUUAUUUAACUUUUAGUGCUUUUUUGUUUUGGCUUGAUCAUCACAUCCAAAACUUUUCCCUAAUAUCUCUUUUCAAAUCAAUAUAUAUGAACUUAUUUAAACUCAUGAAUUUUGGUUAUAUUCAAUUUUAAAUUACCAUUUAUAAAGUUGAACUAGAGAGUUUUAUGGUAUAUUUAACAUAGUUUAAGGUAGUCAAGAUCAUGAGUAUAUAUAUUUAAUAAUGUAGUAUCAAACAAAAUAGUUAGAGAUUUAUUUGUUUUGAAUAGUAUUAAUCAAGAUGUUGAAGGUGGAAAAGUAAACAUAUAAAAUAUUAUGAAUGUCCAAAUUGUUCCUUCUAAGGUUAAUUGAUGGUAUUACAUUUACAUCUUUUCAAUCAAAAGGAAGGAAAGAAAAAACAUAGAGACCAAUAAUAAGAUAUGAUGAAAACCCAAAUAUAAUGGUUUUGGUAUUAUAUAUAUAUAUAUAUAUAUAUAUAUAUAUAUAUAUAUAAUUUUUUGGUUUCACCACAUGGAGGUUCUCUCUUCAAUUAUUUUUGAUACAAUGGAUCCAUCCAUCUCUUUACACAAACAAUUAAAUUAAAAUCAUAGAGAAAAAGAAAUAAAAAAGAAAUAAAAUGUAAAAUCAUUAAAAUUGAUGGAAUUUAAUUGGAGGGAUGAAUGAAAAGAUUUUGUAUUGGGUGUCGACAUGUGGGAUCUCAAAGAAAGGGGGGUUUAGCUUUUUGUCCAAACAGGAUUUCCACAACCGACUUGUCGUUCGCAAUAAAAUUUUGGUUCCCUUGUUUUUGGCUUUUAAGUCCCUAAUUUUUCUAAUGUCUUAUUCUUCAUUUUCUCACUCCCCAAAAGGAAUUUUGUCAUUUUCAUAUUUCCCCCCACACUUUUGGUUUCUUUUGCUAUUUCGUCCUUUAAUCCUUUGUAUUUUUCCCUUUACUUUAUUCAACUCUUCCCUUUUUCUUUACUAAAUAUUAUUCCACAACAUAUAUAAUCCAACUUCCAACUUGAAAGUUCUUGUUUAGGGUAUGCAAAAAAAAUUAGAAGUUUAUAUCUUCUUUUUUUUACCCUAAUUCCAAACAACUAAAAGUUGAUUAAUGUGAUGUAGAAAUUUUGUCAAAUGGUUAAUAAGCAAAUUUAAUGUUUAAUUGACGAGAAAAGGUCUUUAUAGGAGGUUGAACUCGAGAUAUCUUGUUUUAAUGUCAUGUUAAACCACUUUAGUCAACUUAAAAGCUAGGUCGAAUAGAUUAUGACAAUUUAAUAUUAUAUCACGCGAUUACAUAGUUAAUAUCUAAUUUUUUGUUUUGAAAAUCUAUCGAGAAAUCUUGUACUAGCCUAAAAAAUAUAUCGAGACUACACGGAAAUUUUCAAGUUUUAGAUGUUAUUCUAUGGAGGUAAAUUUUAAUUUAAUUUAAUUUAUUUUUAUUUUUAUUUUUUGUAAUUAUGGAGUUUCCAAAAUGAAAAGGGGGACAUAAAGUUAAUAAUGUUAGAUAAAAAAUAGUUUUCACAUAAUAAAAUAGCAUCUUCCAAAAAUAGAUAUAUUCAUCAACAACCAUGUUGUUAUAUGAACACUCAAGAUCUUGUUGAGGUCCAAUCAAGUUAGAUUAUGUUUAAUAAUGCUUUUUCAAAGAUAUGGGAAUUGAAAAUUUAAUUAAAGCUCUGUCAAUGGCUAAUAAAACCCAAUAAUAUUGGAUUGAAUAAUAUUAAUUAAUUAUGAUAUCCAUGAAAUAAUAAUUAAUUAAUUUCUCAUUACAUGUACGAGAGGGGUUGAUUACAAGGAUAGAUAAAUUUAUAAGUAUGGCUUAAAAAUUAAAGUGGGGAACAAAUUUUUGGUGAUGGAAAAAUGAAGAAGAAUAAUUAAUAUAGGAACUAUUAGCUAAUUAAUGUUGUUGUUGAUCAUAUUAUAGUGAUCAUAUGGUGUUGAAUGGCAAUGUUGAAUAUGAACCAAAGCACAAGUCAAAGGGACCAAGUUGAGUUGAUGAUCCAAUCAUUGAUAUUCCUCCAUUUCCUUCUCUUAUUUCCUUUCCCUGUGAUCCAUUUAAUAAUUUCCAUUCAAAUUCUAAGUAUUAACCACAAAUCUUAUAAACAUUCAUCAUGUUUACUCACAUUAUUACACAUCCAAAUCUUAUUAUAAAUGUGUGAUAAUGAUCUAAAUUAAUGUUUGUCAAAAGUUCGAACAAGGGUAUUAUCGAAACAAAGAGGGAAAGUUAAGGUUGGUUUUGUAAUUUAACAUUUGAAAGAAAUUUAGUGUAUAAUAAUGUACCUUCAGUUUGUCUUCAGCAUCUGAGUCAGAGUUGAAGUCAUGAUAGGAGCUUGCAGCUGUGAGUUUCAUAGAAAGAAACUGUACAAAAACAAGAACAAAAAAUCAUUAUUUGUGUUGUUGUUUUUCAAAUUCCCAAAUAAUGCUUAAAACUUUAUUACCUCAACUUGAUUCUGCAAAGAUUGCACAUAAUUGAUUAUCUCAUCCAACAUCACUGCCAUUCCCAUUGUCUACACAAACACAAUGUAAAUUAUGUAAUUAUAUGUUUGUUGUCAUUUAAGGGUUUUUUUAGAAAAAUUUUGCUAAACAACUUCAAUUUUCAUUUACCUUGUAACAUCCAGGAACAAUGUCUUGUAAACAUCUCAAUCUUUCAUUGAUUUUGCCUCUUCUUAUCUGUUUGAGAAUAACAGUAAUGUUUGUAUCUCCAUAAAUACAUUUGUAAAAGAAAAGAAAAGGUCUAAAUUUAUGUUCUUCAAAUCAAAGUUACGUACCCUUUCUGCUACACUAUGACUGUCUGUUGCUUGACCUCUUCUAGCUCUAACAUGAACAACUUCCCUCGGUUUUUCGCCGUCGUUUGUGUCGCCUUUUUUCGACCGCUUCUCUUUUCCAUUGUUCUGCAGACAUGAAAAUAAUACAUGGAAGUAAGAACAUUUCCAUAAGUUUUGUAAUUUGAGAAUAGAAAAACGAAAAAGGAUGAGAGUUUUUUUUGUUUACAUUUUUGGUGUUGAUCCCAUUUUCAGAAACUUGAGGGGUAGAGUUGCCAGAGCUGCUUUCAUAUGCAUCAUUAUUUUCAAGCUUUCUUUUCUUGCUUCCAUGGAGGUCAUUUCCAAAUAGAUUUUUAGGCUCAAAAACAGGAGAAGAAGUGGGAGUUAUGAUCUGAUUGGCUUGAUGAUGAGAGAAAAUCCCUUGGAAAUUUUCUCCCCAAUUUUCUAGGAAUCUAGGAGAAGGAACAGCAGUUUGAUUGUUAAAGAAACUUUCACUGAACAAAAUUGGAAUGUUGUCAAGAAAAUUAAGAUUUGGGUUUUGGUUGGGAUCUAUAUCCAUUAGAGGGAAAGAUGAUGGUUUUAAGCUUUGAAAGUUCGGAGUGAAGUCAGCCAUGGAAUGUUUUGAACUAAAACUUUUUUUUUCAAAACCCCAAGUUUGUGUUAUUGUGGAUAAUGAAUUUUUUCUCUAAAACUUGUAUUUAUAGUGUGGAAUUUAGUCUAUGAUUGAUCAGUUUCUUAAUUAUAUUCAAAUUUUAAGCUUUUAUUUAUAUAAAAAAAGAACAUUGAAAAUUAAGGGUUUGGUGUUGUUGGCCCUCUAAAUUAAUGGACCCCUUAUAAUUUCAGGAGUGCAUAUCCAAUAAUGAUAAGCUUUUGGCUCUAUACACUCUGUGAACAUUCCUUUAACUUAUCCACAAAAGUCCUGAUUUGAGAAUAGGAAGUUCUCGACCUCUGAUACCAAAAUGGUUUCUUUAACACAAUCAAAGUGAAAUUGAAAAAGGAAUCAAAGUGACAAGGUCAAGAAAAAACGACAAGAGAUUCAGCCAAAGAUAACAGAAUAGGCUUAGUGCAUGUGUGUCCUCUCACCAAAAGUAAUAGCCUACGACGACCAAAGAGGGGUCUAGAGGAAGGAACAUAUGCCUUACCACGCUCGCCUAGUAAGUUGAAUAAUUAUUUUGAAUAAUCGACUUUCAAACAAGAAAGUAAGCUCAUUCUCACUCUCAAACUCUUAAACUUUUACAUACUAAUUCACCUUCUAAUUUAAAUAUCAAAGUGUGUAAUAAUCAAAUUAUGUGACAAAUGUUUAAACCUUUACUUUGUCUAUAAAACCUCACUCAAUUAAGUUUGAGAUGAUCAAGUUGUGUGAUAAUAAACAACUGUACACAUAUUAAAGAAAGAAAUAUAAUUGACAGGAAAGUGUGUACUAUUUUUAUAAGGUGAACAAUCAUUUUCCAAAGUGUAUAAAUCACUAUUUUGCAGUGCACUUUCCUUCACAAAAUACUUUGUUUUUGUGCAUAUAUGAAAUGAAUCUGGCCGACAUUGAUGAUUACUACAUUGAACCCAUUUUGCAUAUGUUAAUGCAUCUUAUCUCCUUGUUUUACAACAAUAUGUUUUCUUGUUACAUUAUCAUCAUCAUUUGCUUCCCAUAGAGUUUGAAACUUUACUUUAAGGUUAUAUAAAACUAAUGUGAUUUCAUUUAAUAAAGUGGGAGAAGUAUCAACAUCGUCUUCAUUCAAAAGUUAUAGCUUCCAUUCAUUGUCAUAACAAAGUGUUAAUAGCAACUAAAGUACACCAUUCUAAACUUAUCUAUAAGAUACAUAGUUCUAAAAAAACAAAAAACAAAACUAAACCCUAGACGACCCACCUUAUUUAAAUUCAAUAAUGAGACAAAGAUAAGAAUUGAAAAAUCCCAUAUGGUUGGAUGUCAAGUGUGCAUCCUCAAGUCCACUCUUUUACCAUUCAAAACGAAACAAAUAUUCUACUUAGUUAACAUAUUGGAAAAGUAGAAAAAAAAAGAGAGUGAAAAAGUAAAUAGAUGAUUACAAAUUUCUUGCUGAUUUAACUCUGACUCACAAGUCAACAAUCACAAAAAUCAGUCUGAUCUCUACCCAAAAAAUAAAGUAAUUAUUGGAAUUGUACAAUAUCUUUUAAAUUACAAUGCAAUAAUAUAUUUCUCAAUUAUGCAGUAAUAACUAUCUACUAUUAUUCAUUGCCCAAUUAUCUCUUCCAUUUUUAUUUUUCUUUUGAAGGAUUUUUCAUAGCAAGUGGCAAGUUGGGUUGAUUUUCUCUCAGGUUUCAAAGGACCAUUAGGGUUUGAAUUUGACUUCAAAUUGUCUUGAUUUGAUUAUCCCUUUAGGGUUAGUGCAAUUCAUUCUUGGGCCCUAAUUUUCUUAUGGCCCAUUGUUGUUUGUUCUCAGGGAAAAUGGCCUUUUUAGCUCACUUGUAAUUUGACCUCUAAUUUGGUUGAGGAAGGUACAAAAUUAGUCUAUAUUAUUAUACCAUUUCAUGUUCAAAAAUCCUUUUUCACUCAACUUUUAUAAAACAAUCGACACUUGUUUUAUAAGUGCAAAAGUAGAUGGAUGUAACCCUCUCAUUGUCAAUUAAUUUUAGAAUAAAAUCUUAUACUAUGAAAUAUAGUAUCAUAGUCCAUAAAAUUCAAAUGAAUACUCAGUUCAAUAAAACAAAAUUAAGAUCCAAUCAAGAUUAGUGAAAACCCAGAAAGACAUCAUCUUGACCACAUUUAUAAGAUAGAUGAAUUAGAACUAGUUAUUUGAAUCUCUUACUUCUAAGAUGAAAUGUCAUGUCAAUUAUCGUCGAGCUAAGCUAACGUAUCUAUAGAUAGUUGGGAUUGAGUAAAAGUUUGAAAUAUUAUACAUUUGGUAGGAGGAGUAGGUUAGUUAUAGCUAUCAUUGCCCACCAGAAAUGCCUACCCUUCAAGGCUUAACAGUAAAAGAUAUAUCCCCCAAUCAAUUAAAGAAACUAUAUACUUAAACAAGCUGCUAAAGUAAAUGGUCAAACAUAACAUAUAUACAUAUAUUUAUAUAAGAGUUGGAAGUCUAAGGCUACAAGGCAAAUGGCUAGCUGCUUCUCUAGGGGGGAAAAGUCUACAAUUACUACUGUAUCUACAAACAAAUUGGGAAGAAUACUUACAUUUUAUCCAUGUAAGAGGCAUUUGAUGCUACAUUUUUCCAUCACUAACAAAACGAAGGAGUAAUAAAGUAAUAUAUGAUGUAAAACCAUAGGUACAUUUGGUCAAACACAUUAAUUUAUGAACUGCCAACCAAAAGCCAAAAUGCUCCAAUGGGAUUUUGACCUCAUUUAUCAGCAACCAUUAAUUUUCUUUUCGAUCUGUUUUUUCUUUCAAAGACUAAACCAUAUAUGAUGUUGAAGUUAAAUAGUUAUCUGUCUUGUUUAUUUUAUAAUUCAUGUUGGCCGCCGUUGAUCAAGCUCCUAAUUUUUUCUUUCUAACUUAUGAUAAUUAAUUUCCUCUCUUUAAUGUCUUUUUUCUCCUCCAUCCUCUUGUCAUAUAAUCCUCAAUAUUUGAUUUAAAGUUUUAACCCUUUUUUUUUUUCACUUAUUGUUUCGUAUAGUAAUGAGUUUCAUCUAUGAAGCGAGUUCAUCCUGGAACAUUCUUUUGCUAAUGAGAAGAGUUAAAAAUUAAAUUUGGUAUCCAUUAUGUGUUAACAAAAAUUUGGUGCCACUAUGUCUUAUUUCUCUUCCACUUUUAUUAGAGUGAUUUGGGUGUUGAAGGUAAGUUUCCCUAAAUCUAAAGGGCUAGCUCGAGUCUCUAUCAAUCCGGAUGAAUUUUUAAUUUAUAUUAGUAUAAAGCAAAGUCGUACUAGGCCUCCAUGCAAUAAGUUAUCCUCUUGAAUCUUUCUACAUGCAAUUUUUUUAACGUUGUUUUUCAAUUUUUCUUCUUUUUCUCGUAUACUAUUAACUCAAGACAACAUGUUUAGAUGUAAACUAGAAGAUAAUAAAAUAGUAAUUUUGAUGUAAUUGAUUUUAAUAUACUGAAUAAAAUUUUGGUUUUAAUUAGUUAUAUGCUUCGUUUUAAAAAUUUGAAGUUAUAUAUUUAUUGACUAUGAGAGCUUUAAAAGAAGUGUAAGCUUUAACCUUUUAAUUAUUACUGUCUUACAGAUUUUAAUUUUCUGUAUAAUUAAUUUUCAAGUUUCAAGUAAAUUUUAAUUAUUAAAUUAAACAUAAAUUCAAUUUCUUAUAAUCACUGUAUAAAUCAAAUAAAUUUUAAUUUAAAAAUUGUUGUAAGUAAAUAAAGUAUUUGACUUGAAAUUAACUAAAAGUUUGGAGAUCUUUUAGAUAGUGUUAAAGUUCAAUGUUCUAUAAGACAUAAAAUUAAAAGUUGAUCGUUCAUGAUAAAUAAUUGCACACGAUAAAGCACUAUGUCAAAACUAAACAACAAAAUAAAUCUUAUGUCUAUGGACCACUAAGAAAUUCAGAAGAGUCACUCACAUGGCCACGUCAAAGUAUUUCGAACAUAUAAUAUGAUGAUAUGAUGGUCACAAGACUCGUCUUUCUAUUGAGAGAAAACACAAACAUAUUAGAAAUUUCAACAUAUCAAUGUCGUGUCUUUUCAAAUUAGCUUCAAACUAACAAUGAAAAGUAAUAUAAAUAAAUAUUUACAGAAAAAUACAUAGACUUCAUUUAUUUUUAAAGUUCUAACAACUACAAAAUGGGGAGGAUUAUUAUUGUACGCCAUUAACAUUUGGAAUGGUAACUAAUGGUAGAUUGAUUAACAUCUUGAAACGUACAUAAACAAUAGAGUCAUCGAAAUGCAAGAUAACAUAUUCAAAAUAUUUCAAUAAAUGCAUGUCUCUUAAUUGUUAAGCUAUUCUCUUAGCUAUUAAGAUUUAAAUACAUUUGAAAAUACAUGGUCCCAAGAUGACGAAGAAGUUUAUCAAAUCAAUAGCGUAUGAUAGUUUAGACUUUUCAAUUUAACAAAGACGUAACAGUAGCAUAUGUCAAUUUCAAGAAAUCUAAUUGAAUAGCCCAAAUCUCAAAUUGAUGGGAUUCAAGAACAAAACAUACACAAGGGGAAAGGAAUUUGAGUUUGCCAUUUGAAAAGAGAUGUUUACACACAAAGUUGAUGAAAGGGAAUAAUAAUAAUAGUAAUAUAUAUAUAUAUAGAAUGAAUGUAUAUGAAAAUAUGGGAUAAUGUAAAGGACUAAAGGGAGAGUGCCAACUUUUUCCCAUUUACUAACUUUUUUACAACUGGGAAAAUGUUGGAAGUCAAACUUAGCUGCAAUAUGACUUUUCCAAUAAGCACUUCUUUUUUCUUGCUUAGGGAUCGAUCAAAAGAGAAGUUGCAGCCCACAAAAUUAAAAAGGAAAGAUUUGAAAAAUGUGUUUUAUAAUGAUGUGUUGUGAGAUUCCAUGGAAGCUGCAAAUGCCGCCACCCCACAAGCAAACAUGAACUUAAACAGUUUGAUUUAAUCAAAGUGAAAUUAUCUUUUUCUCGAUUGGAUUUAUAUUUGGUUUUAGUUCUCAAGUUGUUUAUAUAUAUAUAUAUUUAAGUUUAUGAGUUUUUUAUUUGGUUAAUGUAAUUGUGUUAAAUUUAUCAUUAAAUAUUUGUUUUCACUUUUAAUUCUAUUAAUUAUUUUUAAAUAAUUAGAAAGUGAAGAUUUAAAUUUGAAUUUAAUAAUGAUGAAAAGGAGUGAAACUUAAUUAUUAUCAUUUUUAAUUCGUUUAAAUCAAUUAUCAGAUAUUUCACACUAAAAACGAAAAAUGAGUGUUUAUAAAAAGCAAAAUAAAAGUAAAUUGAAUUUAUCUAUUAUAAUUAAUUGCAUUAUGUAAUUAAGGACUAAAACUAAAUUGGUUUUAUUAGAAACAUUCUUACAAAUAGUAAAAUAAAUUAAAAUAUUUAGAAACGGUAGACAAAUUUUAGAUUCUAUCCGAUAGUCUUCUAUUACUCUUUUUAAAAGAAUUUCUUUCUAUUAUGAUACAUUGAAUUAAGUGAAAUGUAAAUUGAAUUAGUUGACUACAAUUAUAAUUAGGUAGAGAAAAUAUAUCAAAAUCAUAAAUAUGAUGUGAAAGGUAAAAAACAAUGAAUUCAAACAAAGUAUUGCCCAAAUUUUAAAAGAAAAUUGUUGAAAAUAUAAGAAAACUUAUACUAACAACUCGGAACAUUUUUCUUAAACAUUAAUUAUAGAUUUAGUUUUUUUUUUUAAAAAAAUAAAUUUGGUUGAAAAUAUAAAUAAUAAAAAACAUAUUAAAAUGUAAAAUGUGUUUGAAAAUAAGUAAAUAGAAAAAUUCAAAAAUAACAAAUUUGAUAAAAUAUUUACAAGCUAUAACAAAUUUUAUGAUUGUGAUUGAUAUGUUGUUGUGAUAAAAACUGUCAUUGAUAGAAUCUAAAAUUUUACUAUAGUUUUAUAAAUAUUUUUAUUUAUUUUACUAUUUUUAAAAAUGGUUUAAAACAUAAAUACAAAAUUCAUUUUAGACUUAAAAAAAAGUACAUUUUCUUCUAAAAAUAACAACAAAAAAUAGGGAUAGCGUCACCGACAUGAACUCUACCAUUGUAUUACUUUUUUUUCAAAAUAAUUUUUCCUUUUUUUUUUUCUUUCAAAACUAUGUUAUUUUUCCAAUUACUAAAAAAUGUAAGAUGAAGCUAAAAGGGGUAUUUUUCUCCUUAAUUUAAACAAGCAUAUCUUGGUCAGUCAAGCACGUUUCAUAGGCAUGAGAAAAUGGAGUGUGUGGAAAAUUUUGAAGAAACUUAAAGCAAAUGACAACCCAUCAUUUUUAUUUUUUUAAAGAAAUCAUAGUUUUGAUUUCAUUUUCAAAUUGGACUGUGACAUGACAUUCUUCUUCUUCUUCUUCUUCUUCUUCUUUCUUGUUUUGGUCUUUUUUUGGGAAUCAGUCCAAUAUGUCAUACUUUUUAGUACUUUAAUGCAAUUUCUCAACUAUCAAACUCUCUCUUUCUUUUUCUCUUUAUCUCUUUCUCUCUUUCUCACAUGUUUGCUUUUUCUUACUUACAACUUCCUAUAAUGAUUAAUCAAAUGUCAUUUCUCUUUCACUUUCUUGAUGGAUUGCAUGUUUUACCUUUCUUUAAAAUUAAUAAAUUAACUUAGGGAUUGGUAGUUUUUAAAUCUCUUCCUUACUUGAAUUUUUAUUUUCAUUUCAAAACUUAUAUAAAAACUAUAAUAUCUCUUCCACUUUCGUGUCUAAUGGUUUAGUUCUUGUACUUAAUCUCAUUGGAAUUAGUAGUAAGAUUUAAUGAGUUCUUUUUUUCAUAAAUAAAUCGGUAAACUAGUUGAGACUUUUUCUUACAAAAUAUUAUAAAGUCUACGUCUCACAUCUAAUUUUGAUAGUUUUCUUUUUUUCUUACGUCAAAGACUAAAUUGUUACCAAAUAAAAAAAAAAUGUAAUUAUUAGGAGAAAUUGACAAAAGUAGCACACCUUUGAUUUUAGUUUUCAGAGAUAGCAUAUUUUUAAAAACUCCUAAAACUGUUUUCAUCAGUGUUAAAAAAAAAAUUAAAUAAGAUUUGAAAAUAUUUAUAAAAAAAUGUAGAACUUCGGCCUAAUUGUAUAGUGAGAUGCACUGAAAAAACUCGAAACAAUCGAUAAGUUGAAAUUUUUUAAUAUUUUAGAAAAUCUCGAUGGUGACAGAGAAAAACAGUUUUACGAGUAUUAAAAAGUUUGCUACUUUUAAAAUUAAAAUUUAAAAGUGUGCUAUUUUUAUUAAUUUUCUGAUUAGUAGUUAUAUUAAGGAAGAAUGGACUAAGUAAAUUUAGACCUUAAUAACCGUUGCUAAAUAUAUAAGACAUUUUCUCCGUGAAAAUUCAUUGUGGAGUUUCCUUCCCAAAUCCCAAAGCCCAAAGCCAUUUCUUUUGAAAAGUAAAAUAUGGAUUAAUGUUGUAGUUUUCAUUUUUCUUUUAUUAUUUUUAUCUUCACCUUUGAAAAAAAAGAUGUUGAAUGGAUUCCUAAUGGCAUUGGAAUAUCCAACUUCUAGAAAAAGGAAUAUAAUAAACAAAGAAUUGUAAAUAAAUAAAUAAAAUAUGUUGGAUAUUAUGAUCAUUAUGAACAUGGCAUCAAUGUUGAUGUCACAUAUAACAUCACUCAUACAAUACUCAUCAUCAUAGUAUAAUAGGGAAUAAGUCCCUUAACCUUAAAACAUACAUGGAACUUUGAUGUAAAUAUAUAUAAAAUAAGAAUCAAAUUAAUAUAACAAAAUCAAAACAUUGAAAACAAAUCUAGUUUAAAAAUUAAUAUGUAAUACUAUUUAAAAUAAUAGUGUAACGUUUUAAAAUAUAAAUAUAAUAUUAGAAUUGAAAUAUAGUCUCAAAUGAGUUAAUAUAAAAAAAAAAUAAUGAAAAGUAAUGAAUUUGAUAAAAUUUUGACAUAGACUUCAAAUAUUUUAAUUUAUUUUACUAUUUUUGAAAAUAUAUUAAAAAGAAGAUUAUGAGCAUGUAUAGAUUAAGAAUAUCGUCUUCUUCAUUGAUAUAUUUUAUUUUUUUUCUUUGAGAACAUCUUCGUAAAUAUUUAAUACAUUAUUUUCAUAAAACCAAAAGUUGAUUCAUGCAUUAUGAAUGCAUACACCAUUUUUUAAGUAUAGUAAAACGAAUCAAAAUAUAACGAAUUAUGGUAGGUCCGGGCUAUUUGUUACACUUCCUUUGUUUAACUAAUCAGAUUUGGAUGGGUUGGUAAGAAGCACGCCUAAGUGUGAACUAUGAACAGUCCCCAUCACGUAGUUAGCUUGAAGAAUACGUACAUAUAUAUAUAUAUAUGAUUAUUGGCACGUUUGUUUGCAUCGUUUAUUCAUUUCAUAACCGGCCGAUUGGGUAUUGAUUUAUCAAUGAUUGUAAAUGUCUAGUUCAUCUCCAAAAAGCUUCAGCAGCUGCAGUGAAAUUGAAGAUGACAAUAGCAGCAAUGGCAAUGAACUCCGCAGAGGCCCAUGGACUCUUGAAGAAGACAAUCUUCUUAUCCAUUCCAUUUCUACUCACGGCGAAGGCCGUUGGAAUCUCCUCGCCAAACGCUCUGGUACUAAAUUUUGUCUUUUCGUUUACACACAAAUUCAACAACAACAACAAAAAAAAAACUUCAAGAUUAUUAUUCUUACGAUCAAUACACCAUUAUUUCAGGAUUACGAAGAACAGGGAAGAGCUGCAGAUUGAGAUGGCUUAAUUACCUUAAACCAGAUGUCAAGAGAGGAAAUUUGUCUGCUCAAGAACAACUCUUGAUUCUUGAUCUCCAUUCUAAAUGGGGCAACAGGUAAUUUGAUUUUCUUUUAUCAUGAUAUUUGAUGUGAGUUUUGCUCUGUUAUUGCUCUGUUUUGAUUUAAUUUGUGGGGGUUUUUUCUGGGUGGGAUUAAGGUGGUCAAAGAUUGCGCAGCAUUUACCGGGAAGAACAGACAACGAAAUUAAGAAUUAUUGGAGAACGAGAGUUCAAAAACAAGCGAGACAUCUUAAUAUCGAUACGAACAGUGAGGCAUUUCAGCAGAUCAUUCGAUCCUAUUGGAUGCCAAGAUUACUUCAAAAAAUCAACCAAUCCCCGCCGUCGGAAUUGCCGAUUACUUCUCCACCGGAGAUGGCAUCCCAGACUUCGUUUGGUUUUGAGGCUCCGACGACAGCGGUGACGCAACCACCGGCGAUGACGCCUCUGCAAAUCGGUGGAGAUUUGAUGGGAAGUUCGUGUACUUCUUCACAAAUAACCCAAAUUUCUUCCUACCAGAAUUACGAGAAUUACGCCCCGUUUGUGAAAGAUUAUUGUCACGACGGUGGCCAUGGCGGAGGAGAGAUGCUGAACUGGACGACGACUGCGGUGGCUGGAGACUCCGGUUAUCCGGUUUCUCAUUGCCACGUGGCAGAAAAUAAUUGGAUGGACGGCGAUUUUACCGGUUAUAUGUCCAACGUGGAUGAAUUAUGGCAAUUUUAAUUAGGAAGAAAUUAAAUUUAAACAAAAUAACAAAAAAUCUGGGUUCUUAAUUUUUUUUGUCUUUAGAUAACCCAGAAAAAAAGUUCUUAAUUGAUUCAUAAUUUUCAAUUCGUUUGGUACUUCUCUCCAAAUUAGAAAGAAAGAAAGAAAAAAAUCACUCCCCAAAUUGUAGAAUAUUUAAAUAUUUAAUAUAGUUGUAUUUAACAAUAGUAAUGUUUGAUAAAACAUUUUGUAAAUUACGAUCGAGUUUAGUUUUUUAAUUAAUGCAUUAAGCUAAGUGUGGUUAUUCGUUCCAUUUACUUUUGUACCUUUUACUUUUGAUAAAUCACAUUUACUAAUCUUCAAAUCAUACACUAAUUUUUAACAUAAGUAUGUUUAAUUCUUGUCUUUUUGUUACAACAUGGAGUGUGACUGUGAGUAAGAGUGAGGCCAAAUUAUCUAAUUAUAUUAUGUUAAUCUGCCCUAUAUCAUAUUUUCAUAUUAAUAUUCAUAUGUGACAAUAGUAAAGUGGUUUAUUUAUUUAUUUAUUUGUUUUAAAGAUAUUCUUAAUUAACUUUAAAAAUAUCUUAGGAUAUUUUACUCUUUGUUGGGUUUAAUUUAGGGAAUAUAGAAGAGGUGCAAUUGGUUGGUGGAUGUAGUGGAAGACUUUAGAGGAUGAGUCUUGGAAUUAGAAUUGUUAACUUUGAAAAGUAGCUUUCAACAUGGAAUUAGAAACUUAGAGGAUUCAAAUUUCAAGCACACACAUAAAACAAAUUAAACAACGUUAAGUGAAUGAUUUUUUUUCUCUAAAAGAAAACUUAUUGGUAUUAUGUUUAUUUCGUGGAUAGGAAAGAAAGAUGAUUGGACUGUCUCUCUCUCUUUUGAAUUUUCAAACCAUCUAGAUUCGUACAUCCCUUUGGAUUGGUGGCCAAGUUAAUUUCCUCUUUUAUAACGGUUUGAAAAACGUAUAUGUUUUGUUGUUAGGUUGUAUUUGUUAUCUUCGUUUUAAAAUAAUAAACUAUUAGUAUUUUACGAUAUCGUUUAGUAUAAUAUAAUAGGAGCAUGAACAAACUUAAGAAACGAGUAAACGUUAUUGAAGUUCGUGUUUAUUAAGUACUCUCGUGUUUCUCUCAUAAUCUACUUUUUCAUAUUUAUUGAGUAGCUUAAUCUUACAACUCUCUAUGCGUGGAUAAAAUUAUCAACUCCAGUUUAUUUACUUUAUAACCAUUAAUUCCACCUAGUAAACCAAAUUAUGAUUUAAAAAUAUUACAAGUUUACAACUUAGAUUUCAGUUUUGUUUUAAUUUGAGCCUUAGAUUUCGAGGUUUACAUUUUUUUGUCUUUAUUAAAAAAAUUAACGUGAAUUGAGUUUCACUCCUUUUUAUUACUAUUCAAAUUAUUUUUAAAUUUUAUUUCGUGGUAGUUUCUGAUUGUUUAAUAGACACUCACGUCAAAGACAAAGAAAUAGCAUGUAGUAAAAAUGACCGAGGUUAAAAGUAUAAAAUAACGUUUGAUUAUAAUAUAUAGAUAUAGUUCAUUUGUCGAUCUAAAAUAAAGUCAAUUAGCUAAUUAUUAUAAUUGAUUAAAGAGUUAAAUCAAUCAAAUUUACCUAAUGCAUCAUUAAUGUAGUUAUAUAACUAUUUGUUUUAAUUUAAUUUAAUUUAAUUUGACUUUAAAGAAGCAUUCAAUUUAGAAAAUGAAUUUAAAAAAUGAGAAGAUGUGAAUCAUAUGAUAUAAUUAAUUAGCAUAUAGUGAUCACUUUUCUUCUCAUCUUUUUCCUUUUUGUAAUGUUUGAUUUAAUAGACAUAGAUGUGAUUAGGCAGCAAUGAAGUUUCUUUGACAUUUAUAAUAUAUUGUUUUCUUAUAUCUCAUCAACUUAGCCUAGCAGUCCAAAAUUAUAUUAAUCACAUAGAAAAAUAAAAGAAAAUAAGUUUGAUGUUUGGUUGGUGGUAUGUUAUGACUAAUUCCAAUCCUAUGGAGAAAAAUAAAAACAUUUCCAAUUUGAUAUGAUAUUUCUUUGUACUAUGCAUUUUUUUUAUUUAUAUGUUAUUUAUUUGUCAUUUUUUAUACCUUUCAAAAUUUUAAAAAUUAAGUUUAUUUUCUUUCUACGUGAAUUUUCAUUUUUAUUAAAUACAAUUAUUUAAUUGUUAACUGGUCUACUUUUUGAAAUGAGAUAGUUGCAAAUUUAGCAAUUAUAUUCAAAAUAAUUAAAUAUAUAACAAUAUUUUUAAAAAAUUAUAAAUAUAGCAAAAAUUGUCAAAUUCCAUCCAUAAUAGAAGUCUCUCAUCGAUAGACCAUGCUGUAAAUAUUAAUUUAUCACGAGUCUAUCAGUGAUAGUUUUGCUAUAUUUACAAUUUUUAAAAUAUUGGUAUAUUCUUAAAAUGACACUUUAUUAUAAUUACACAAUUUUAAAAAUAUAUAGAUAAAAAAAUUAAAAGGGCUAUCAAAAUGGACGUUGGUUUUUAAAAUUUAACCUAAAUUUGUAAACUAUUGACAAAAUGCAGGUAACGAACAAAUAAAGUGAGAAAUGAAAGGAAUCUUUAUAAGUUUAAUUUCAAAAAAUAAAAUAGUUAUCGAAUAGAGCCUAAAUAAAUAAAUUGUUUUCGUUUCUAUUACAAGCAAAAUCUUGAGAGAAAGCAAUAAUAAAUUUAAUCAUUAACAUUAUUUUUUUAAAAAAAAUCAAUGGUUAUUAAAUGGGUUAGAAAAUAAAAAAAAUACAUAUCUAAGAGGAUAGAGUUAUGAAAAAUGUGACUAUUAUUGUCACUUUUAAUAAUUAGUGUGUAGCUAUGUUAAAAGAUAAUGUAAUAAAGUGAUGAGUGAUUUGGGUUUCUAGUCCAAGUAUGAACAAACUUAUAAUAACUAAUGAUUAAAUGUCUCAUACAAUUGGGUUUUUAACUUUAUGUGUUUAAUUUAAAAAUAAAAGUAUGUGACCCUUUUUGUUAUUUUUAAUAAUUUAUCACGUGGAUGCGUGGAGUGACCAAACUCCCCAUCUCUCUCUCAAAUUUAGUCCAUUAAGUCUAAUGUACAAAUUAGAGAGCAACGUGUCCUUAUUAGCCCGUACAAACCCACAAUUUAAAUUACUAUUACUUACGAAAAUCGUAAUUCACCGCCACCAUUUUAUCAAUAAUAAUUAAGGUUGCAUCAAUAUUUUAAAAUAAUUGUAAACAAAUUAAAACGGUAGCUGAUAGACUUGUAUUGUUGAUAUAUUUGUAUAAUCUACCAAUGAUAGAUCGAUAUUUGUAAUAUGGUCUAUCAGUGAUAGAUUUCUAUCAUGAAUAUAAUUUGACAAAUUUUAUAAAAUUGUUGCUAUAUACUUAAUUAUUUUGAAUCUAAUUGUUAAAUUUGCAAUUAUUUCGAAUAAUCAGUCAUAAUUUUAAAAAUAAUAAUUAAGUAUACAACAACAAUUUAAAAAAAUUAUAAAUAUAACACGUUUUUUUAAUGAAAAUUUGUAAUAAAUUUUAUCUUUUAGGAAUUUUUUUAUCAUAAUUUUUAAAGAGUCUCUAACUUUAUCUUCUUAUUUUUUAAUAUGUUAUUGAUAUUUAUCGAUAAACUAUACUUUACUAUCACCAACAUUAUAACUUCUAUGUAUAUUAACUCCAAGAUUGUUAAUUACACUUUGUGGGCCAAAAAGCCCCGUUUUCCCCUUGUUUCAACGGAAUGGAUUAAAAGAAGGAGAAAAUAUAUAGGGUAAUUAUAAUCGAUAAUAAUUUUAUAAAUAAUAAUUAAGUAUAUAAUAACAUUUUUUAAAAGAAAUUACAAAUAUAGCAAAAGUCUAUUAGUGAUAGACUAUGAUAGUUUAUCAAUGAUAGACUUCUAUUGCCGAUAGACUCUUAUGGUUUAUCAAUAAUAGAUCGAUAUUUGUAUUAUGCAUAGUCUAUGAAUGACAGACUCUCAUCAUUGAUAGAUUUUGCUAUAUUUAUAGUUUUAAAAAAAUAUUGUCAUAUAUUUAGUUAUUUUGAAUCUAAUUAUUAUAUUUGCAACUAUUUUAAAAAUAUAAUAUAACAGAUAGCAAAUUUAUGGAUAAUAUUUAAGUGUAUAAAUUUUUUUAAAAAUAAGUUGCAAGAAAAGCCUAUAAGUAAAUAGGCUUCUGUCUUGUAGACUAAUAUUUACAAUGGAUAAAAUGAUACACAUUUGUUACUAAUAGAUUCCAACUAAUUUUAUUAUCAUGGCAAGACCGCUUGAAUUUAGGGCAAGUCGGGCCUUUUAUGGGCUUUCCAUAAUGAUACCCAUGGCAAAGACCAACUAAGUCCGUCUGGAACAACUUUCAAUGUAAAGCCCAAUGUGCACUUUAACUGGGCUUAUUUGGGUAAAUUAAGCCCAAUAUUUCUCAUUAGAGCCCAAUCCAUAGACAUUUAUUUUCAUCCGUCCAAUAGUUAAAAGUAAUCACAGCCGUUGCUUUCGUAGUUUUAUAAACACCCCUCCUCCGCGAAACCCUAGUCUCCAUCGGCUUAAAAUCGGAUUAUCAUCCACUGAGUGGCCGAUCGUUGCCUUCCAGCGCCGUCGAGUAUGGUCCUUUAACUGCUCUAUUUCGCCAUUUUCCCUUUGCUAUUAGUCUUCAGUGCUCUGUUCUCACAUCAUUCUUUAGGAUUUUUUAAAACUUUUGUAUAUUCUUCAUUUUCCGAAUCGUUCCAGGUUUGUGAUUGUUUGGUGUAGUUAGCCUGCUAGACGAAGGAGAUGGUUAAUCUAUUACUGAUCGACUUCGGCAUUGUUAUUUAACUUUAUUCGUUUGAUUGAGUCCUUGAAUUUAUUUAUAGACAGUGAGUUGUUAAAGACUUAGAUUAAGAAAUUCCUCACAAAUGCCUGAACAGGAUAUGUGUGUUUUGCUUUCGUAAUUCCUUCCUACAAUGGAUUUCAUUAGACGAGUUUGAUUAGAUACUAUGAAUUUUCAUUUUCACAAUGUUUAGCUGCCUCUUAUCAAUGGUUUAUUGGGUUUUUUUUUUCAUCUUACGUUGUUGUUUUGAUUAUCUAGAUUUCUCAAGAUGUAUACGGCCCUGAAAAAGAUCCACAAGGAUAAGGAUGUUGAAGCCUCCGAGUUCGAAGAGACUGUUGCGCAGGUUGUUUUACUAGAAAAUAUUUAUCCUUUUGUUUAUUCGACUGUGAAAGAUGCUUUACGUUCUUCUUUGUUGGCGCUUCUGAUGAUUGCAUGUAUCUGCAGGCACUCUUUGAUUUGGAAAACACCAAUUCGGAGCUGAAAAGUGACCUUAAGGAUUUGUACAUUAAUUCAGCGCUGUAAGUGUCAUUUAUUUUCGGUAAAUAAACAAUCAUGAUGAAAUGGGUAUGUUGUUUCAUAUUAUACCAACACGCUUGGCUUUUUUGGUUGCAGUCAAGUUGAUGUUUCUGGAAACAGGAAAGCCGUUGUUAUCUAUGUUCCCUUUAGAUUGAGGAAGGCUUUUCGCAAGAUUCAGUUGAGGCUUGUUCGUGAGUUGGAAAAGAAGUUCAGCGGGAAGGUAAUGGAUGGUUUGUUAUUGUUUCUGUUCUUCUCUUCUCACUUUCCAAAAACAGUAUUCUUUUUAGUUUUUAUCAGUAGUUAACUUGCGAUCUUAUCUAGGUGACGGUUAGAUGAACUGUUUUUAGGUUUAGGAGAGAUGUUCUACAAAAUUGCUUCAUUGACUUGAUUUGAUGUUAAGCUGCAAGGAAACGUUGUAUCUUGUUCUACACAAUCUCAAGUGAUGUAGUACAAAUUUCUUAAUAGUCAGUUGGCAUUUCUAUAAUUAGAAAGAUGCUUUACAUUUUCCCCCCCUAUGUUUUCUAGUAUACAAAUUGAUGGUUGUGCAUACAAGUAGCAUCUCUCAGGCUUAUUUCUUCUCAUGCUAAUUUUCUUCAUUCCAUUUUUAGGAUGUGAUUCUGGUUGCUAACCGAAGAAUCUUGAGACCUCCAAAGAAAGGGUCAGCAGUUCAAAGGCCUCGCACCCGCACUCUUACUUCUGUGCACGAAGCAAUGCUAGAAGAUAUUGUUUUGCCUGCAGAGAUUGUGGGGAAACGAACCAGAUACAGGGUUGAUGGAUCAAAAAUCAUGAAGGUAAAUGGAUAGUUUAAAAAUAACUUUUUCCUCAUUUCAUUUAUGUAGUUAAUGAAGUUAGAAUGACACCUGUCACAUCUAUAUUUAGAAAAAUAUAUGUUUCUUCAUUGAUUUCCCGAAGAAAUUGUAGCUAUUAUACCUAGGCACCCACAGUAGAAAAGCCAUUGCUCAUUAUUUUAAUUUGGUCUUAAACUGAUACUAAACUACAUGUUAAAACGAAAGAUGGAAUAUGCUAAAAGAAUCUAGAACUGCCCUAUCCCGGUUCUUGCUGCCACCUCCAAAUGAUUUUGCCACGCUUUGUAUCAAGGGAAUGCAUAGUUUGCGACUCAUCUUAGCUCAAAUGACAAAUUGUUAAUUUUUGGUUCUUCUGGGAUGCAGGUUUUCUUGGACCCAAAGGAGAGGAACAACACUGAAUACAAGUUGGAGAGCUUUGCUGCAGUUUACAGGAAGCUUUCUGGAAAAGAUGUUGCGUUUGAGUUCCCGAUAACCGAGGCCUAAUUAAUAACCUUUAUGCCAUGUGAUACCGUUUUAGAUGCAUUUAGUUAAAAGUCAUUCAAAUUUUUGAUGUUGAGAACGUUGAGUGAUCGUCUUAGAUUCUGUUUUUAUAUGAUUUUUGAUUUGCCAAAGCGAAUUGUUUUAUGAAUGUGACGGGUUUUAGUGUGGUAGCAAUUUGAAUGCCCCUAUCUAUUCUACUAUUGUUAUGUUCACAAAUUUUGAGUAGCCGUUUCAAUUAGCUUUGAAUUUGAACGAAAAAGAACAUCAGGUGAUUGAUGGUGGAAUAAAAAAUUACACACUUGGUAGUUGUAGUUGGACUAGAAUUUUUCUAUAGUGUUUAAAAUUUAAGUGUGCCGAUAAGAAACUAAUAUGUUAUGAAUCAAACUUGAAGGUUGAGGGUAUUUGUCAGAAGGUUGAGGUUAUUUGUUUGACAAGGAAAUUUAAAGUUAUUGGAGCCGAGGAAACAAUCAACAAUUUUUAUUUGUUAUUAGUAGCGAACUAAGAUUAAAUCCAUUAAAAAAGAAGAGAGAAAAUUGGAUGUAUCCUUCAUUAUUUAUUUAGAAUGAAAAGAAUUGAAGUAACCUAAAGCAAUAUCAAAUUUCUAGUAUCACCUGCCUUCAUCAAAAGAAGAAACGGACAUGGAAUUCCUUGAAUAAUCUUCCAUCAAACUAUUACUAGUAGAAGCUUUGGUAACCCCACUAUGUGUACUAGUAUUCGUCUUGGUGAAAGCCAAAGUAGAGGUAGUUGUUCGAUGACGUGGUGCUCGACCAUGAAUUCCAGGCUUUCCAGGUCGUGGCAACGUGAAUGAAUCACUAGAAAGCAUGAGAUGAGUGGUACUCAUAUCAGGCCUAUCUGAAACCUUUGCUUGACAACAUAACAAGCCCAACUGUAUGCACAUAGCUGCCUCAUCUACAUUGUAUUUUGUGAGGCUUUGAUCCACUAAUUCUAAAACCCUUCCUUCUUGGUAAAGCAACCAUGCCUGUUGAAGACAUAUUUGUUUAGGUACUUCACCUAUUUUAUAAAGAGAACCUUAAAAGCAUUCUACACAAUUCUCUUUUUCAUUCUCAAACACAUUUCAAUAAUGGAAGGGUUCACAAUCAUCCACAAUAACUUACGUAUCCCAAGAGGUCGACUUGUUGUGCGCCAAGUCGAAUGUCAUGAUUUUUUCUUCCACUAACAAUCUCCAACACCAAGAUGCCAAAACUGAAUAUGUCACUCUUUACAGAUAAAUAUCCAUGAAUUGCGUACUCGGGAGCCAUAUAGCCACUGCAUUAAGCGAAAAAUGCAUUUAUUAAGCAUAAGGAUAAGUUAGCUCAAUUUAGGAGUCAAAUAUUGUUUGCAAGAGUCAUCAAGUAAAACUACUUACUGAGUACCAGCGAUCUUAAAUGUAUUCAAGUGUGUAUCUUCUCCAGGAAAAAGUCGUGCUAGUCCAAAAUCUGAGAUUUUCGGAUUCAAUUUCUCAUCUAAUAAUAUGUUACUAGCUUUGAUAUCCCUAUGUAUAAUUCUUGAAGGAGCCUCUUCAUGCAAGUAGAGAAGACCUCUCACAAUACCUGUAAUUAUAUGGAACCGUGUUGUCCAAUCCAGGGAUGGAGACUUCUUUUUAUCUGUCCAUGUUGUCAAUAUAAUUAUCAUUUACUGCCAUACAUUUGCAAGAAUAAAUUCCCAUUAUCCCCAACCAACUGCAACAAGAUACAUGUAAAUUUCAACAUAACAAUUAGAAGAAUUUCACGAAUCCCCCUGGAGUGAGGUCCUUACCAAAAAUAAAGUAAUCAAGACUUCUGUUUGGCAGGUAUUCAUAUACAAGCAUCUUUUCAGGUCCUUCCACACAACAGCCCAAUAAAAUGACCAAAUUUCUGUGCUGAAUUCUCAGUAGAAGUUUCACUUCAUUACUAAAUUGCUUCACUCCUUGUCUUGAAUCUAUCGACAGCUUCUUGACUGCUACUUGUUGGCCAUUUGGCAUCAAACCCUGUACAUUUAGCAAUUCUACCAACAUUAGAUCAACCGCCCUACACUCUUCUUCAAACACAAAUAGAGGAAAGACGAAAUAGUGAUCUGGAAAUCGAAAAGAAUCAAAACCAGUGAACAGAAGGCCAGCUUGUAAGUUAAUUAUUUCCCCAACACUAUAAGGCGUUCAGGUCAUAAUCACUGAGAAUCGUUAUAGAAAACUUUUAGGUCGUACUAUGCAGUGGUCAACUAGUCAUCAUCUGGGCACUCACUCGGAAAUAUUAAUGGCUAAGUCUAUCUAUCUUGUGCUCCUGAUUUUAAAGGAUUCUCACAUGCAAUAUAACCCAAUAUGUCUUUGUUCAUUGGGAUAAUAAACAGGCCUAUGUGAUUGGUAAGUCAGAAAACUUGAGGACUAUUACAAAUCCACGUGGGUGGUAAAUCCUGAGAGGUCAUGAAAGGAGAUUCAGCAGUAUACCUCCUAAAGAAAGAAAAUAUCAGAGCCAACCAAGUAAUAUCACGUCAAAUUAGAAUCAUGUUAAUAUUUUAGCAACUUUUUUCUACUUAAAAUGCGAUACAGGACAUACCCCUCUAGUUAUUUUGGCUCAUGAGAGAGCCGUGUAGAUGAAAGUUUGUAUACUUUCUCUAACAUUUGUAUUUAUGGAAAUACAUGAACGAUCUUCUUUGACAGGCUUAAAUAUUAUUUAAAAGACAUAAAAAAGUAAACAAGGACAAAAGAUGGGGAACACAAAAUUUUAUUUCAUACAUAUAAAAAAAAAAAUCCCAUCAUGCAGUCAUCGACUUCCAUAUAAUAGUCCGGAUAAUUCAAAUAUAGAAGAGUUACUUGUGGAGAACCUUGGCAACUUGUAGAGCUUCGAUGUAAAUGAUAAUUACCUUUCUUUAACAUAGCACGAAAUCUUCUUAGCUAUCCAUUUCUUUAGGUACAAUUUCAAGCGACUUUCUUCUAAAAUAUAUACUGAAUUCACUUGAAUGGAUUUUUUUAUUCAAUCAAGAAGCAAUUAAAUAAUGGGUCGAAACAGGUAGCACCGAACUAGAAAUAAAAAAAUUUCCAUUGAAACCUACACUGUUCUUAAGUAUUAGAGUCUUUCCCUACACUGUUCUUAAGUAUUAGAGUCUUUCAUUUGUCUUUGUUCAAUUUUAAUAAAAUAAUGAUUGGUGUAAAGAACAUCUUUCUGAUCCUGUUUUCAAGUAGGAUGUUAUAAAUAACUAUUUUGAGUGUUCUGUAUGAGUGUGUAUUGUGCACUUGAAAUCACUCAUCACAAAAAUAUAAGAAGGAUUAUAGAUAUUAGUAAAUUAUAAAACAUGCCAUGGUGCCUCAACACGUAUAUAAACCUUUGCCUAGAUUACAAACUUUAUAUCUAGACUACAAACCUUUGCCUCAACAUGCCAAAGUUUAUAUCUAGACUACGAACCAACUUUUUAGCUCUGUAGUCUAGAUACAGAGAAAGGCCUGUCGACCUUUUUGCCUCAACACGAGCAGACCCAUGAUCAGAGAAUGAAAACAUAAAUAUACGACAGCCAAAGUAUAAACCAGAACAUUGAAAAAUUCGUUGAGAUCCGAAAAAUGUCAUUCUUCAACCUUUUCUCUUUAAUUAAAAAAAGACUUUAACCUUCGUAAAUCAGUAUAAUCAAACCUAUAAGAUGGUAUUUGGAGUGUAUUCCAAUAAUUUGUGAAGUUCGGGGAGUUUUGUGCUCUUGGCCCAUGGUGCAAUCUUUGAAAGCUUGUGUUUGGGAUAUAAAGCUUAAGAUCAAAAAUAGAAAAGGAUAUAAAAAUGAAGUAUUCCAUAAAUGUUCAAACUUCAUUGGUGCUUUUUUUUUCUUAUGGAAGUUGAGGCGUUAAACACCAACAAAAAAAUAGUUGGUGCACCAAAUGAUCGGUGAAUGUAAUCUUACAACCAGCGCUAUUAUAAUAUUAUAUAAGUAAUCUCUAUCAUGAAAAUAAAUAUAUAUGAAAUGGUCUAAAAAUUGAUAAGUCAACCAGUCAAUGCCAUGGUGACAAAUGGCAACAACUGUGAUAUUCGAAGGUUCAAGUAAUUUAUUAUUGGCAAUUGACACGGAACUGUUCCGAAACCCUAAGGAAAAGAAGAAGAAAAGAAAAGGAAAACUUCCAAGCGGGCAGAAUUUUCAUCAAUGGGUUUCAUCGACCUCAAAAAUCAUAAUCUAGGUUAUUUAACACUUCAGAAACAGUUAAAUGAACAGAACAGAUAGCUCGAGUUGCGACGCGACCAAUCAACACUUUUGUAUCAUAAUCAUCCAAGUAGAAUCACAGUUCAGAAGCAGAGAAGCUAUAUUCAAUCAGAGCCGAAAAUGAGAAAAAAUAGAACAAAUAUAUUAAACAUUCCAAAUUCCCAAAAACAACGCCUUAAAUUCAUUACUCCAGAACAAAUAAAUCGUACCUUGUAGACGGGCCCAAACCCUCCAUUGCCGAGCUUAUUCACCUCAGAAAAGAAAUUAGUAGCAAUUUGCAAAGUAUUCAGUUCAAAGAAGAUGUCAGUGGACACAUCUUCAUCAUCCGCUUCGUCGGCACCAGCAGAAUUAGCAGGUUUAAGUUUUUUCUGCAAGCAGAGGCAGAGAGAAGACAAAAGCCCCAUAGACAGCAUUCAAACAACGCCGCCAGCAAGACCGUAGGUGAAUUGCGCCGAUGAGGUCGUGGUGACGGCAGAACAAGAGAUCGGCGAAUGAGAAGAUGGUACGGAUUUGAACUUUCUUAGAGCCACCGGAAAACAGAGUUUUGAAUUAAUGUCUUGACGCCUUAAAUGUGAAUACCUCAGAAGUCCCGCUUAAACUAUUUUAUAUAUAUAGAGUCAAAUCACACGUUAUCAAUAAAUGACUUUGUUGAGUCGAAUCACCAUCGUUUCUUCAUCGUUUCUUUUCUUCUUCUUCUUCCAUUUUUACUUUUCUCUUUUCUUCUCUGUUGAUCAUACCAUUCCAUGAUCGUUUUAGUUUCUCUGAACAUUCUCAUUUGAUGCUUCUCAUAGCCAUACAUCAUAAAAACUGAUUUUCUUCGAUGGAAAUGUAGUUUUGUUUUUCUCUUUGUUGGAAGAAAAGUGAUUAGCUUCGUUGACAAAGAUAAUAGUAAAUAAAAUAAAAAGGUUUUACUUUUAUAGUCCUUCGUAAUUUGUGAAAUUACAUAAAAAGGGCGGGAGAUAAAGGUGCCAUUUUCCCACAACUUACCAAAAAGCGUGUCAUUCUUCCAAACUUGGAGGCAAAGGAUUUCACGUUUUAAAUUUCCAAAAUUACCUUCACAAGAAAACCAAAAUGACUUUCUUGCCCUCUACGACGAAUUGCGUUUUUCUAUUCUACUCCGCCAAGCCUGACGCCCGAAUCCACCAUUGAAGAGCCCACAAGUCUUUGCUGUGAAGCUUACUGGUCGGAGUAACGAUCUAGGUUUUCAGAUCACGGAAAAUGGUUGUAUCAAUUUCGGAAGGGAAGCGAAGGUGAGAGACAACAGUUCUCUUCAGAGGGUAUCAGAAUGAGACCUUCUUCGGAUAGAAUCAACAUCGCCGCCAGUACCCGGCGGGUCGUUGUUGACAAUCGAUUUCCUCUUCGUUAUUACUAUCGUGUCGCCGAUAAUGUUUUGAAACAGGUGAUUUCGCCUCUUGAAUUUCGCUUUCUAUUUUGCUCACCGAUGUAAAAUUGAGAUUGUUUUGACGAGCGUUUUAAAAUUGAGGGGUUUUUUUUUACAAUUUUUUUCCAUUUCUAAAUAUUAAUCUUUUUUGGGGAUUCGAUCUUGUUGUUUGUCCUUGUGGACUGCAGCUGCAUUUAGUCCAGAAAUGGAACGAGGCUGUUUGAAAUCUUUUUGCGAAAUAUUUCUUGAUUGAUUAAAGAAGUGCCUUGGGGGCAGUCAAUAGACUGCUAUUUAUUACAUAUAACAAUAUUCUCUGGAGUCAUAAAACAAUGAAUCAUGUAGCAAUUUUAUGAUUAUGUUGGACGAGUUGCUAAGCAGCUUCAAGUUAGGUGUGCAAAGUUUGUAACUUUUGAUUUGAAAAAAAAGCCGGUUUCGGAUAAGUUAAAAAAGGGAAUUUAGCUAAGUGGAGGUGGUUUGUUUUAAACUGUAUGUCGUUACUGAAUCAAGUAUGAAAAUCUGUCGCAUGUUUAACUUCACGGUCUUGUUUUUUUGUCCAAUUAAUAUUUAAUUCUCCGCCUAUCACUAUUUUUACAUUUCAGGCUGACAUCUUUCGAGCAGAGAAGAACAUAAUCGAUCUUUAUGUCAUGUUAAUGAGAUUUUCAAGGUAAAAAUCUAAAAAAUCUAGAAGUAAUGUCACCCAGUUCUCAAGCAACUUUGAUGUUUAAUUGACAUUUUCGUCUUCUGUAUUGUAUUUGGUGUUAUGAUUAUCCACCAUGUUACACUUUGUUUGUAACUAGCUACUAAGUUAUUGUGUAAUCUGCUAUCAGUUUGCAAGAACCUGAUCUACUCUUCUGUUCAAGAAAUGAAAGUUGGUUUCUCUCCUCCAUUUGUUGUUUCCUUGUUUGCUUGCCAGUUUGUAGUUUGUAUGCCACACAUGGAAAGUUAAAGAAGCAGGAUUUCUUUAACUUCCUUUCCAAUUAGAUUAUUGUUGGUCUUUCAUUCAGUAUUAAGAAUAACCCUACAUACAUUUGGUUUUUUCAUGCAUCAGUUUGGUCACUGAGACGAUACCUCGUCAUUUGGAGUAUGGGACAACUCCAAAAUUCCAAAAAAAUCAUUUUAGAAAGGUAAAUGCUGCCUUUGGUUGUAAUUAUGGGCACUGCAUUCGUGUUGUCCAUUACAUCAACUUAGUUUGUUUAUGCAGAAGCUAUUAGAUGCUUUGAGCGAGCUUGAAGAGUUGAAGCCAGCAGUGCAAAGAAAGGUGGAUGAAAUAAAUGGGAAACAAAAAUAUCAAGUUAACGGGCGGGGUAAUCAGCAACAAAAUGGUUCAUUGGAAUGGCAUUCUGGUGGAAAGCAAUAUCUUCCUAAUAAUGGCAUGGCUAAGGUAUAAUCGUGUUAGAAUUUGACCAUUGUUCUUUAUGAUAACAUCGUGAAGUAAUACUGUCAUUUAUGCUCCAUUAGAAAAUAAAAGAAUUUUUGUUUGUAAUUGCUGUAUCCUCUGACAGGCUGGUAGAUCACCUGCUCGAGAAAUUGCUCGUCAAGGUUCAGGACCUCAACAAUUUUCAUAUUCCAGGUCCAUGGAUGACAAGUUCUGCAGUUUGUGCAUGUCUAGAUGUUAAUUUUUUAUCUAAUGCUUUAUGCUUCCAUUUAUGACAGUUUUUUUUCCAGCACAAUUCCCUUUUAGGCUUUCACUUGGUGUACAUUGCCCUUUUGUUUUUUUAGCUUAAAGGACUUUAUAGUCCUAUGGGGAAACUUUUUCUAAUUUCCUUGGGAUUGGGUUGCCUUUUUCUGUAAUUUCUUCACAUCAAAGAAAUUGUCUCUAAUCCAAAAAAGUUUCUAAUUCUUCUACUGGGUACCAAAUAAGCUUACAAUAGAUAUCACCCUUUUUAAUGCCGCAAGUAUUGCAGAAAUGUUAAUGUGUUUUUUUAAUUAUAUAUUAAGUUCAUUGUCCUAAUCUUGUUAAAGAACAUGGUUGAUCUUGAUGUGAUGUGACUCUUUAUUUCCUCAUUCCACAUGUUUGUAUCGUUGUAGACCUAUUCAUAUUCCACUCCCGAAGGAGGAAACAUUAUCCCGUCAUUCUAUCUUGGGUCCCAAUGGGCUUCGUGGCCAGUGGCAACCACCUACCAUUGAUAAAGGGGUAUUUACAUACUAUACCCUUUUUCUAGGUUUCCUCAGAAGUAUACUGAUAGAUCUUAUCAAUGUAGGUCCAAUAUCCACGUAUUUUGGAUGUGUCUCCCGUUGACAUUCCAAGGUUUGUCUUUAGUUACCUUUAACUACAUUGAAUCUUAUUAUGUGUUCAAGUCAUCACCCAGCAGGCUGUAGGUCUGUAUACACAAUCAAGUUCUUACAGUUUCUAGUCCUACCUCCAUGCUUCUGAUUUCCAAAAACUUUAUUGUCAUGGUAUUUUUGUUUCAUACCCGAAAGGAGUUUACAUUUACCUCUAUUUUAUUUUUGUACAUAACAUCUUUUUUCUCGAUGUUCUAUAUAAACAGCUUACAACAAUCAAUAGACAAACUUACAAUAGAAAAAGAUCUUGGAAACUUGGAAAAAAAAGGAUCUGAUAUAGAAUCAAUCUGCACCCAGAAUAAUGAUCACGAGAAUAAUGCCACGGAAACAGAUUCCUUGAUCUCGUUUGAAAAUGUUGAGAUGCCUGCCCCUAUUGAAAUUGUGCGGCAGCCUUCUCCUCCACCUGUACUUGCUGAAGUACAGGAUCUGAUACCUGCAGUGUCACCUCAAGUUUCGGAGGUAGAAUGUGCAAGAGACACUUCAUUGUCGGAUGGUUUUGUUCAUCCUGAACCUUCUAUGCAGUUGCAUAUUGUGAGUUACUGAUCCUUGUUUUUGGUUUAUUUUCUAUGCCUUGUGCUUUUUAGUUAUUUCUGGAGUAGUUGGCAAAUUAUGAAAAAGAGAAUCAGCUGUAAAGAUAGCAAGUCAUAUAUGUAAUGUUUUCAAUUAUGUAUAUAUGAGAUAAAAUUAUUUUUUAUGCUUAAUGUUUGGAAUAUUUAGGGGUUAUUUUGUCUGGAUGGAGGUGUUAGAUUGGUGUUUCAUCCUUACAAUUUUUUUUUCAGUCAACCACGAUGAUGGAGAGUUUCAUGAGGCUAGCCAAGUCAAAUACUGCCAAGAAUUUAGAAACCUGUGGUGUUCUUGCCGGUUCACUUGUAUGUUUUGCUGUUUCUAUCACCUGCACCAUUUACAAAUUUUUGCAUUACUGGCUUUUUAUUUGCUACUCUAGAUCAACGUUCCAACUAAAUAUCCUCUUUUUUGCAGAAAAACAGAAAAUUUUACAUCACUGCAUUAAUUGUACCAAAGCAGGAGUCAACACCAAAUACUGUAUGUCUGUGGUUUUUGUUCAUUCAACUCAACAAUGUUUCAUUUACAUUUUUUUUCAUCUAAUGAGUAUAAACUGUUUAAACUAUUGACCAUCUAAUCAUCCAAUCAUCAGUGUCAGGCAACAAAUGAAGAAGAGAUAUUUGACGUGCAGGAUAAGCGGUCUCUAUUCCCACUUGGGUGGAUUCAUGUAAAAAUUCUGGUUCCUUACCGUAGUUGAUUGUCUUAUUAUUCUACUUGAGAUUGUUUUAUUAGCAUGUUUUUUAGUUCUCAGUUUAAAGUACUUUUUCUGAUCUCAUCGAUGAUUGGAAUUCAUUUUCAAGUUCAAGUCUUCAGAUUUAUUUCCUUUCAAGCAUGAUACAUUUUAAAAAUAGACUGUGAACCAUGACCACAAGUGUUGUAAAAACAUCAUUUCUUUCCAUCUUACCGGCUUCUAGUUUUAAAAUACAAUUUAAUGUAAAAAUUUUUGCAAUGUAAUAUCUCUCACUAGUCACUAGUUACCACAGAGGUCUUGAGUUCUAUUAUCAAUAUGCAAUGGAUAAUAGUAGCUUGUGCUAGGUAUUUAUUGUUAGUCUACUAUAUUAGUUUUUGAGUUAUGCACUAGUAUUCAUUAAAAACACCUCAACUGUACUGGUUACGAUAUCAAGGAGAAUAGUUGUGACUGUGUGGACCAGUUGACAUUUCUUAAAAAAAUCAUUAUUGUUCUUGUUGUUAUAUUCACGUAUAUCUUUGAUAGAAAUAAGUAAUGAUGAUAAUUAGACAACGGAAGAUAAGGUAAACCAACCUCCCACCUAGCCAGAGAUCACAAGGUUCAAUAAAAAAAUUGUUCAACAUUUGAUCAUAGGAGUGUUAUGUUAUUGAAACAAAAUUUGGCAUGGGUUUCUUAUAAAAAUAAUGGUACUAAAACAAAAUUUAUUUAACUCUGCAAGAAAAUUAUCUCCACCCCUUGAAAUUCUUCUUGAAUAAAACCUCCAAAGAAAUGCCUCGAUAACAUUACUCUACUCCAUAGAGACUGCUUUCUCUGAUUGAUUUUCUAUGGAAGUUUGAGAUAGAAAACCAAGAUUCCUUUUUGAUCUCAAUCGCCUCCCUCUUGAAAGUUGAUGAUGCUUAAUACCAAAAGGGGCAGAAAGCCGAUGAAUGUUCAAUUGACUGUUCUUACAUGGAUGACUAUUUGUUUCUGACAUGUAUACUGUUUUUCAAUGCUAAUGCCAUUAAUCUGUUUUCAAUGCCUUGAUAUUUGAUCAUAUAUGCUGUGCGUGAAUUAUGAAUUUAUUGGGCUUAAGGCGAUUUAUAUCUUAUUUCAUUGUUCCUGUUGUGUUACGUCAGACACAUCCUACACAGUCAUGCUUCAUGUCGUCCGUUGAUGUCCACACACAUUACUCAUAUCAGGUAUCUCGUUUUCUUCCAAGACAUAGUUAACUUGUUGGAUAUUUGAUCAACUAUACUUCCCUCUCGCAUGAAUUAUCAGUAUAGUAGUUUGUAAGAGUGGGCCUCCGUUUUGUAACCCUUUGGUCCUAUGGUGGUUCCUCGUCUUCCCUCUUUUGUAUGGCGUCAUUUUCUUCAACGUAUGCUCUUUGUUUCUUUCUUUUUUUUUAAAAGGAAAAAAAAAAAAAAAAAGAACGUAAGAAAAAUGAAAAAGAAAAAAGCUCCACAGUUGAUUGAAAAAAGCCCUACAAUUAAUUGUUCGUAGGGUAGGAUAAUUUCGGAAAGAUUCAUUUGCCAUUUGGCAGCCUUCAUUUUUUUGGUAUGUAAAAAUCCUUUAAUUUUAAGUUAUCCUUCUUUUAAAUCCUUCCUAUAAUAAGACUAUAAGAGAUGAAGGCAGAUAGAAAGUAAAGUUAUUUCUCUCUCUUUUACUUGUACUUUUCGUUUUUGAUUCCUUGGUGAUUUGAGGGACGUUAGUUUUGCUUAAAUGAGAUAUAUAUUACCAAUUGUGAUAGUUCAGAGCUUACUUCUAUUGGCAAAAGAAAAACCUUUAUAUCUUUAAGGAACGGCAAUGAAAUGCACUCCUUUGAUUAUAUAUGUGUAUAUAAACGAUCUUUUCCAUGAUUUUGAAAUGAAUUAAUACCCAUUUACUUAAAAAAUCUAUGUAAACAAUCUCCUUCCCUCUGGCGAGGGGAAAAAGGGAAGAGGGGCAGGUUGGGAUACUCCCAAGUUAAAUCAAACGGUGGAGUGAGGGGUGGGAUCAUUGAAUCUCCCUCUCGUUUUAUUUGUGUGUGUGAGACAGGAGAGAACUUGGCGUGGAUUGGGGAAAAAAAAAAAAUUGCAUAUGCAAAGUCACGGGAAACUUAAAAGAGUGAGGAGUGAGGACAUUUUGAUUUUUGCAAACGCUUGGAUGUUUCGGUGCAAGUAUUACUAAAUCAUCUGAAAUUAUACAUUUUUUUAUGCUGUUGCUUUGGAAGCUAAUGUAGAUUCACCAUCUCCAGGUAAUGUUGCCUGAAGCUGUUGCAAUUGUAAUGGCUCCCAAGGACAGUGCAAGGUAUGAUCCUAAAUCAAAAUCCUUGCCUGGUUUGCUUUGCUUGGAUUCCAUUAAUCCUUCUCUUGGAAAUUCUUUAACAUCGUCUUUCUAAUAAUGUUCUCCCUGACAUGAACAGAACCCAUGGUAUUUUCCGGUUGACAACUCCCGGCGGCAUGUCAGUGAUUCGGCAAUGCCAACAACGUGGCUUUCACUCACAUGGUCAGCCUCCUGAUGGCGGACCCAUUUACAAAACCUGUACAGAUAUAUACAUGGACCCCAAUUUGAAAUUUGAUGUCAUUGAUCUUCGAUGAUCACAACCAUUGAAUCUCGAACCAGUAUUUUUGUGGCAUUCAAUCAAACACUCCUAAUUGUUCGUACAGAUCUAAAGUUCCAUCAAUAGAGGCAAGCUUCUUUAAUUUUGUUCAUACGUACACUUCACCUCCAGUGGCAACGAUGUUCAGUCUUCUUUUAGCUUGAGCUUUUGCGCACCAAGUAAUUUCUCGAUACUAAAAGUAAAGAGAUCACAUUGAAACAAACACGUUAGUAAAGAGAUCUCACUAAAACAAACACGUCCAAACGAGUGUUUCUUGUACAAACAUGCUUGCAUUGUAUAAGCAAGGAAUUCUAUACCUUACAAAAUGGCUUCAGGAUCCAAUAUUGAGAAAAUUACUCUUGUUAAUAGAUUACAAAUGAUGAAUGGAUGUUUCGGUUUGUUUUGAUACGUGAAUACUAAGUUUUUUUUUUUUCCUAUUUUUGUCUUCUUUUUUAACAUACUUGCAUUCUGAGGACAGGCAAUUUUUUUUUCCAUAUUUGAAUUGUGAAAUUCUUAUACAAUCUUUUGAAAGAUCAAUGAAACAGUAAAUAGUUUUGAGUAUUGGAAGAUCCAACUUUAUUUCUAAUGGAGAAUGAAAAAGCAGAGAUGGUGAAAAGAUGAAUAGCAGGAAAAGCUGGGAGUAAAGUUGGAUCUACAAUUAACACAGCAGGGGAGCUGGGAGAAAUGUGGAAAAUCUCUUUAAACCUCAUUUUUGAGUUACCACAUUAUAGUUAAAAAAAAAAAAAAACUAGUCCGUCCAUAAUUAAAAGGAAGAAAGAAGAAAGUUGAUUCAAAUUUUUGGUUCAUUUAUAAUUAAAAAGAAAAAAGUUGGGGCAUUUUUAGGUAGUAACAUUCACACAUUCAAUAUUCUCAAUUCAACCAUUAAUUUUGAAUCAACUAAUUUUAAAUAUUGUUUUUAGUACUUAAAAGUUCUAAAUCGACAUAACACACGUCUUUUGAAAAUUGCAACUACAAUUUAAUUUUCAAAUCAUUGAUCAAACUUGAGGAAGAAACAGUAUAUAGUAAUUUGAUGAGAUGGACUAAAUGCAACUUGGGAUAUAUCUAACUAUUUUUCUGGUACAACUCUUUCCUUCCACGUUUAAACAGACAUUACAUGUCAGAAAUGGUACUCUACCAACAUGGUUUGUAUGAUUCAAUAAUGAAAUCAAGACAUUGAUAGGGAACUUUCUUGAGAGGGGUCUCCUAUUGUAAGUUCAACCACCAAAACAACACACUUCCAACACACCUGUUAAGGUUCAAUCACAAUCACAGAGUAUUUUAAUGCUUCUUCAAAAAAAUUGUUUCUGUUCUUCAUGUUCGUUCAUGUCCACUGCAUCAUUGUUUUCUAAACCCAUCUCUACAACUUGACAACACAAGAUGAGGAGAUUGGUGCUGGCUGAUGGGUUACAAUGUUGCAGCUAAGGACUUUUUUGUCAUUUACCUCUUCCUCUUCCUUGCCCCUCUUGGUCCCCCUCAACCAAGAUUGGUCAAAUGGCAAGUUGCAAGGAUUAUACCCUACUUCCCAUCAUUCUCCAACUCACACAAGCCAUCUUAUUUGUUACUUAAAAACCAAUUUCCAUGCCACCGUUUGUGCAACCUAAGAAGUACGAACACUUUAGUUUGACUCGUGUCGAACAUUGAACACCCCCGACGCUGGUUGGACACGUAUAAGACACAUGUUAGUGUAUAUAUAUUAUAUUAGAAAUGUAUAUUUAGAUAAACGUGUUCUAGCCAUAUCGUUUCCUAGACUUUUAAAAAACGUCGCGUUGUAUCCAUAUCUCGUAAAGAACUCUUCUUGUGUAUCUGUGAAUAGCCAGUAUUGGAGAGCUUUUUGACAUGGAAAUGAAAAGAUUUGUAUGCUUUAGGAAAAAGGAAACAGAAAAGAAAAGGGGAAAAAAGAGAAAGUUGGCUUGACUUAAAGCAUUCUCCAUUUUUAUCAUGUUCUCUUGUUGUAGCUUUUGUCUCAACUAAGCAUAUUCUAGUGGAGACUGAAAUAUAGUAAAAGAAAUAAUAAAAAAUGGCAAAACCCAACCUUUGAAAAUGUGUAUAUAACUGGAAAUUCAAUAGAUCUUGUUAAGAUCAUUGACAUAUUUUCUUUAUUUACUGCUUGUUCAGACAUUGCCCAAUAUCAAAAAAGUAUUACAGUUUUGAAUAAAUCAUUUGGGACAGCUUCCUUCUGAGCUAACUACAGCUAAAGCACCUAAAAGUCAACCUAAAAAAGAUCAGCAGUUAACUUCUACCUCAAUUAAACUAUAACUAUGUAAGAUUAACAUUUAAGCUAAAAUAUGAAAAAAGUUUAUAAACAGGAGAUAAGUCAUUUUUAGUUUAAACUAAGAUGUAACAAACAAAAUAAUUUUUCUCAUUUGAUAGGUUAUCUUUACACCCUUUACUAGUUGGACUGUCAUUUUCUAACACGUCUAUAGUUUUGUAAUUACUCUCGUCCUUUUCGCUUAACUUUUUGAGUCAUUCAAAAUUUAACAUGGUAAUAGAGUGAAUGGUUUAGAAGAUUCUACGUUUUGGAGUCAAUAAUGAGAUGAUUUUACGGUAUCCAAAAGUAAGAUUCAAAACAAAAACAUAAGAGCCUUAUAGACUAAACUAAAAUAAUGCUAUCAAAUUAGUUAUAUUUAGAGGCUCUUCUCAUCAAUCAAACAAUACAAUAGCUAAGAAAUGUAGCAGCAAGUUUAAGUACCAAAUCCCACAACUGCUCUUCUCUUCUUCUUCCAAAAUUAUUAGCCUUAUGAAGUUUCUUCCUUAAAGUUUACAUUUUUGAUCUAAGAAGGAAUGUUCAACUCUUUGAAAAGGCCACAUUCUAUAGAAGUUGGUGGAAAGAGGUGGUUUGUUACAUCUAAAAAUAGUAGUUUGCUGCAUUAAAUAGGACCAAUAAUCCACUAGUUUUACAAGUAAUCUUAAUCUAUAUAUUUAUCUAUGACCAAUGUAAUAAUUUUGUAUUAGAAAUAUAGAUGCAUUAUGAUUUUCUUUUUCUUUUUGCUCCACUAUGAGAGAAAUUGGCUUGGAGUUGUUGACAAGUUUUUCUUUACUGAUUCAACAGGGUGAUUUCUUUCUACCUUUGAUAAUGGAAAAAACAAUAAUAAUAAUGUUGAAACAAUCCCACCUAAUGUUUACAAAUUCAGCCAUAUAAAAAAAAAAAUUAGUUCAUCAUAAAAUUGUUAAAAUCACUCCUAAAUAUCCUUUUGAAAAUGUUUUUAAUAAUUUGAAAUCACUUUUAUUAUGUUUUAGAAGUGUAAAACUUGUGUUUUGGACACUUCAAAUGUGACAAAAGUGAUUUGCAAAUUGAGUUGAUUAUUAUUUCUUGUAUAUGCAAAUCUUAAAAAUGUCUUAAUUAAACUUUCAAAAUUUCCUUUGGGUGAUGUAAUUUCUGUGUUGAAAAUAAUGAAAACAAAAGACUUUUUCUAUGCUUUGGAUUAUUACUGUCUAAGUACAAUUGGCAAAGUCUAUAAUUUUGGUCUCUAAUUCAAUAUAAAAACCUCUACCAAUUUCCAUUUACUUUACCAUCACUUUCAAAUCCUUGAAUCCAUUUCCCUUCUUUCUUACUCUUCAAAAUAAUCCUAUCAUUUUCUUUUUGCAUCUUCUCACAUGGGUUCUUCUUUUUUUUCUUCCUUUUCUUCUCUUUGAUGCCAUAUCUUGAAGCUAAUUCCUUACCCUUUCUCUAUCUCUAGGUUUGAUAUGAAGUUAUGGGGAUCCAUUUUUUCAUCUACUUUUGUCAGUUUGAACCUUCAAGGUUGUACAAAACAACAAAACUUCCCUUAUAUUCUUGACUAAUUUGAGCAUUAUUUGUCUCACUUUUGAGUUCCCUCUUUUCACUGACAAAUAGCAGAUUCCAUCUCCAUUUACUAUGAAGAGUUAUUAGAACAUUGAAGCCCCUAAUUCUUGGGCUUUUUGGAACUCCAUUUUUUUCUCCCCCUUGAAACAUGUGAAAGACAGAUCUUUCUUUGUUUUUGUUCCUUUUCUUGUCUUCUAUAGGCCUUGAAACUAAUUCCCCAUUAUUUUAUUUAUCCCCAUCACUUUUUCUUGACUUUCUUAAAGUAUUCCUCACCUAUUUUCCCUUUUUCUCACCCUCCUCCUUAAGACCUCUAUCUUUUCCUCCUCUUACAAAAGUUUCAAACUUGGAAACCGGGGUGGUCGAGAGCUAACACCAUGUGCUCGGAAAUAUCCUCACCCAGAAUAUCAUUCUCGCAUAAUCUUAUAUGUGAGAGUAGAUCGCCGAUGGAUCAGUACGUCGAGUACAGGCGGCGAGACGUGUCGUUGUUGGAUUCGAUAGACUUUGAGUUCAACAUCAGCAUUGAACAUGAAUCUUCCUGUGCAGAUGAGAUUUUUAGCAAUGGAAUCAUUCUUCCUAUCAAAAUUCAGUCUCACAAACAAUCUCAUCCUUCACUUCCUCCUCUUCCUCCUUCCAUAGAACAUUCAAAGAAAAUCACAUUGGUGACUUCAUCAUCAUCAUCUUCUUCUUCUUCUUCUUCUUCUUCUUCAGAUCAUCAGUUAGAACAGAGAGUUUCAGAGUCCAAAUCCUUUUGGGGAUUCAAAAGAAGUACGAGUCUCAACAACUUUGAAACUAAAACACUAUCUCUUUGCCCAAUUCCACUUCUAUCAAGAAGCAACUCAACUGGGUCAGUUUCAAAUUCAAAAUCCAAAAAGUUUAAAGAUUCACAAAAGCAAAAUUCUCAGAAACAGAACUCAUCAUCAAUGAGAAAGUCGUCGCCGUCACCACCGUCUUCGUUAAAUCAAUAUCCAACAAUUCUAAAGCCUCAAAUGUGCAAGAAUCCAGGUGGGGUUUAUGGAACUUAUCAUUAUAUUGGUCCUGUGUUGAACGUUCCUCCAAAGUUUUUUGGUUUUGGUUCACUUCUUGGAUGUGGGAAAGAAAAAAAGAGUAAGAAAUGAAUUUUGUUCAUCAUUUUGGUUUGUAUUUUUUCUUUUCUUGAUCAGUUUAAAAUCAGCACCUACCUUUGCUAAUGUGUAAUGGGUUUGUUCUAAGGUUCUUAAGCUGAUUUCUAUGGUGAAUUUUUGUGAAAAAUAUAUUAUUAAAGGUAAAAAAAACUAAUGUAAUUUAGAUAUAGUUGUUGUGUACUUAUACUUUAUACAUUUUUAAUUCUUCAUUUAGUACAUAUAUGACAACAAAAAUCUCCUACUUUCAUGUUUGUGUCUAAUGUUGUCUAAUAUUUUAAAAUUUGAUGUUUAUCUAAUCACUAUGGACUUUUUAUUAUUUUUAUUGAGUGUUGGACGUUUGGAAUUGUGAUUAUCACUUUAAUAUUAUGUUUUACUACUAGUUUUAGUUUGAUGACUUUAUUUAUACCAAAAUCUGUAAAAAUCUAUCAAUGGUAAAAAUCUAUCAUUCAUAGAUCAUAUUGUAAAUAUUAGAUUUGCCUAUAUUUAUAAUUUUUUAAAAAAUGUUGCUUUGUUCUUAAUUAUUACUCCUAAAAUUGCCACAAAUUAUAAUUACUCUUUCUCUAUCAAAUUAGGUGAAGAAUGAAUUCAAAAUUUUAAAAUAAUAAAAUUUACAAAAUAUUUAUAAGAAAACUUUUUAAAUUUUAUCAAUUAUAGUUGCUAAAGUGAUACAAGUCUAUCAAGGUAAAGAUCAGUGAUAGCAUUUUUUCUUUUAUUUUGUUUAAAAAUAUUAUUUAAUUCAAGUUCCUAUUCCAAAUAUAAAUGAUGAUUUUUCAAAUAUAAACGAUUCUUUUCUAAAUAUAAACCAUAAAAUCUUUCAAAUAUAAACUAACAACAAAAAAUGAAAAAAAAAAUAGAUUUGACUGAUAAAAAAAAUAGCUAUAAUAAUUUCUUUGUAUCAAAAAAAUAGUAUGAGACGGUGUUAUAUUUUAUAAAAGAUCUCAUUUAAUACACGUGAAAAUAGAAUAUUAAAUAACUCUUAUUAAAAAAAUGAAGCAACCAAUGGAGUUCAACCAACUAUACAACAUUUGUAUUGAAUGAAUAAUUGAGAGUUACUCAAUCACUAAUAAAACAUUAUAAGAAUAAUGUUUACAUUAUAAGAUUUUGGGUUUGAAGAAAAAGGUUGAAUGCAAAUAUAUAUAUAUUUUUUAAAAAUUGAAAAUGUAAUUCAAAGAAAUAUUAAUUUGGUUUAAAUGGAUUUUCAGAAAAAAAAAACCAAUAAUUAUUUGGUUUUGCUUCAAAUCCUUUCCAUGGAAUUGCUUUCGCAGUAAACCCUUCUUCUUUGCAUUUGGUUUUGCUUAAGCUUCUUCUUUCCAUGGACGGCCAUGUCUACGAUCCCUUCGAUUCACUCGCAAAACUUUGCCUCAUUUCCCACUCCCAAGAGGAUAUAUUACGUCACUGCUCUUUCGCCGGCGCCCCUAACUCCCUUGAUGCCUCUCGUUUUCCGCCCUCCCAAUUCCUUCACCCUUACCCCACUCCUGUUUCCACGGCUUCUCCUCCGGAAAGUUUGGAACAAAGAGAACAACUCAUCUCUCCUGAUGCCUGCCAGCCUCCACCGGAACAGUCUGGUGGACGCCGGCCCGUGGUUGUUGAUGAUCCUUCUGUUCAAGAUGCCGCCGCGGCGGUUGGAGGUGGAUGUGUGAGCAAUGUUCCUACUGGAGUCGAUUUGGGGAAAAAUGAUGAACUAGGGUUUCUCGAAGUUCAAUCCACUCGACAGACUGAUGGAAUUGAGAUUAUCGGUGUUCGUAGAAGCAAGGUUUCGGAGUCUGGUACUGAUGGAGAAGCUGAAUCGGCAUCAAAGAGGUUGAAGCUCUCGAAUGAAGCUUUGGGCAAAGACUCUUCUGUACCUUUUGUCGGUCUACUGAUCGAGAAAUCGGUACCAGUCGGUGAAGAAUCCGGCAAAAUUGAUGAUGGAAAGGUCUCCAAUGGGGAAGAAACUCACUGUAACAAGAACAAGCAAAACUUGACAGAGAAGAAAGUCGAAAAUUCCCAGCCUGAAGUACCGGGCGAGUACGACGGAGUGAUGAAUCGCGAUGCAGGGAGGGAGACUCUGAUAUCAAUAUUGAAUGGAUUGAUUUCGAAGGAGAAAAAUGAUGAUGCAACCUCAUCUGGUGAAUCUGGGAGUGGCAAUUCCAUCAUUAUGGAAAUCUUGAAGAUUUUGUCACAAGUAGAAAGAAGUGAUGAAGACGAGAAAUUAGCAGACAUGAAUCUUAUUGAAGUGGCAAUGAGCCGUGGAAUGACAUUUCCUCGGCCGUGUUGGUGGCCGGAGGAGUAUGGUUCCAACGGCUUGGAGAAGAAAAAGUGAAGGUAAAAUUAUUAAGAUGAAGAACUUAUUUUGGGAAUGAAAUUUUCUAAGAUGAAGAAAUGUAUAGUUAGUUCUUGAAAUGGUUGAAUGUUUUGUAGCAUCAAAUCAAUGCGUUUUUUAGAUGCUCUGAAUGGUGAAUUUAGGGUGUUUGUGUUUUGUGAAGACUGACUGACUGACUUUGAAUGUAAAUGAUUUUGAAUCCUUCCAUUUCAUUGGUGUUCUCAUGGGUUUGUGUUCUUCUUCAUCCCUAUACUUUAUGUUAAUGCAUUAUUGUGCUGAUUGUUUAAACAGGAAAUGGUUUGAAAUUUGUCGAACUCAGUAUGAAUCACAAUCACACAUCAUCGAUUGGUAUAUUUGGUGUAUUUUCUUGUAUCUUCUUAGUUUAUAAAAAUUGAGUCUUUUCUUUCAACCCGAAUUAAUUAAGCAAUUUCAGUUUAAACUCUCAUUGAACACUUGUCAACAAUGGAAAAUGUGAUGAAUAUUUGAGCGAUUUUCUAAAAUUUUGAUACCCAAUUAGGUUAACUAAGAGCCAAUAUUUUGAAUUAUCUUCUAAGUUUUAAAUCUAAACCAUAACUUGUCCUCAAGAAAUUAUGAGAUGUUGAAUUGAAUAACAAAAGUAUUAGAUUCAAAUAAUAUUGAAGGUUAGAAUGUAUCAACAAAUCAGAGUGGCGCAGCGGAAGCGUGGUGGGCCCAUAACCCACAGGUCCCAGGAUCGAAACCUGGCUCUGAUAUCUAGAGUGGCUUCCGUGGUCUUUUCUUUUUUGUUCUUCGAAGUUCAUUUCGAGUUGCAUUCAAGCCCAUUUCAGUAUUAGAGCGAAGCCCACAUACCAAAUCGUCGUCUUCGUGAAUCAAUCGAGCUCCAAAAUCCAAAUCCAGAUCAUGGUCUCUUCCCAUUUUCACAAUUUUAUUACACAAAGCUUCUAAUUUUUUUUUUUUUUGUUUUGUUUAAUUCUUCAAUCUCGUCCCUCGAAAUCUCUGUUUCCUGUUGCAUCAAUCGAGCUCCACCGAAUGGAACUGAUUUAAUUGAUUUCUCCGAUCUCUCGUUCUUUCUUCAACCAUGAAAUUCUAGCCCGAAUUCCCAUCUGGGUAUUGGCUACACAGACAUUAGAGUGACUAGUUUCGUCUCUAUCAAUGGCGGGUUCAUCUCUCAUGGACACUCUCUUCCAGCGAACUCUUGAUGACCUUAUCAAAGGCCUUCGCCUUCAACUUAUUGGCGAGUCUGCUUUUAUCUCCAAGGCCAUGGAUGAGAUUCGUCGCGAGAUCAAAUCUACGGACCCUCAAACUAAGUCCACCGCUCUGCAAAAGCUCUCCUAUCUCAGUUCCCUUCACGGCAUCGAUAUGAACUGGGCUGCUUUCCACGUCGUUGAGGUUAUGUCAUCUUCUCGUUUCGCUCAAAAGAAGAUCGGGUAUCACGCUGCGUCCCAAUCGUUUCACGAAGCCACCCCAGUUCUUCUCCUCAUUACCAACCAGCUCCGGAAGGAUUUAACUAGUACCAAUGAAUUUGAGGUUAGUCUUGCUCUUGAUUGUUUGUCGAAAUUUGCAACUGUUGAUCUUGCUAGGGACUUGACACCUGAGAUUUUUACAUUGUUGUCGAGUACUAAGGUGUUUGUUAGAAAGAAGGCAAUUGGUGUGGUUUUGAGGGUUUUUGGGAAAUACCCAGAUGCUGUUAGGGUGUGUUUUAAGCGUUUGGUUGAGAAUUUAGAGAGUUCAGAUCCCCGGAUUUUGUCUGCAGUUGUUGGGGUCUUUUGCGAGCUUGCUUCUCAGGACCCUAGAUCUUAUCUUCCAUUGGCACCUGAAUUUUAUAGGAUUUUGGCUGAUAGCAAGAAUAAUUGGGUGCUGAUUAAGGUCUUGAAGAUAUUUAAAAAUCUUGCUCCAUUGGAGCCUAGAUUGGCAAGGAAAAUUGUUGAACCUAUAACUGAGCAUAUGAGAAGAACAGGUGCUAAGUCAUUGUUGUUCGAGUGUAUUAGGACUGUGGUGACUAGCUUGUCUGAUUUUGAAACAGCAGUUAGACUUGCUGUUGAGAAAACUCGAGAAUUUUUGGUUGACGAUGAUCCGAAUCUUAAGUAUCUUGGAUUGCAUGCUCUUUCAAUCCUUGUGCCAAAACACUCGUGGGCAGUUUUGGAGAAUAAAGAGGUUGUAAUCAAAUCUCUAAGUGAUGUGGACCCAAAUGUUAAACUUGAAUCCUUGCGGCUUGUGAUGGCUAUGGUUUCUGAUAACAAUGUAACUGAAAUUUGCAGAGUUUUGGUGAACCUUGCGCUUAAAUCUGAUCCUGAGUUUUGUAAUGAAAUUCUUGGGUCCAUAUUAGCCACAUGUGGUGAGAAUGUGUAUGAAAUCAUUAUUGACUUCGACUGGUAUGUGUCACUUCUUGGAGAAAUGUCGAGGAUCCCAUAUUGCCGAAAGGGGGAGGAAAUUGAAAAUCAGCUUGUAGAUAUUGGUAUGAGGGUCAAGGAUGCAAGGCCUACUCUUGUCAUGGUUGGCCGUGAUCUGCUAAUUGAUCCGGCAUUACUUGGUAACCCUUUCAUGGAUAGGAUACUAUCAGCUGCUGCUUGGGUGUCAGGAGAAUAUGUGCAGUUUUCAGGCAAGCCAUUCGAACUUCUAGAGGCAUUAUUACAGCCUCGCAGUAAUCUUUUGCCACCAUCAGUUAGAGCAGUUUAUGUUCAGUCAGCAUUUAAAGUAACGAUUUUUUGUUUAAAUUCUUACAUUCAAGAGCAAAACAUUGACUCCUCUUCCUAUGUUGAUACAUUGGUAGAGAAUGGUUCAGAAUCUAUCUCUGCCAGGGAAUGCCAAGAUGCUUCUGCUUUAGCAUCAUGUGAUGCUUCUGAUCAAUUUGAACAGGUUGAAGUGUUCAACCCAAGGGGGUCUAAUCAACCAACAAAAGUUACUUUUGCAGAAAAUGACAGGGAGACAUUGACUCGUGUCCAGACAUGUACAUCUGCAUCGUUAGAGGAUAAUAGUUCAUCUCUUGGAUCGAUAGUUGAGUUGUUGAAUUUUAUUCAGUUUUCUUUGGGCCCUUUAACGUGGAGCCAUGAUGUUGAAUUGCUCGAGAGAUCUAGAAACUUGCUCAAUUUUAUUGAACUAAUUAGGAAACAGAUUCCUGAUGGCCUAAAUGAAAAGGAUGGGAGUGCAGAAAUGGAACUUGCUGAAAUCUCCAAAAUAGUUGAACUGAUUCUUGAUGCCUUCUCGGAUGACUUUGGCCCAAUCUCAAUAAAUGCUCAAGAAAGGGUUCCAAUUCCCGAAGGAUUGAUACUCAAGGAGAAUCUUGAUGAUUUGAAAAUGAUAUGUAGUGAUAUUGAGGUAUCAGAAGGCUCCUAUUCUUUUGGAAAUUCUCUCUAUGAGGAAAAAGUUGAUUCAUCUAUAUUAUCCCAACAGAUCCAGCAAGAGUCUGAAUCAUUAAAUGCAACCACAUCUCUUCUCUCCGAACACCGUAAGCGGCAUGGAAUGUAUUAUCUUCCAUCAGAUAAGACUGAUGAUGCCUCCAAUGAUUAUCCACCAGCCAACGAACUCAAGGUACAAGAUAUUCUGGAUGAUGAUGCUGCCCACCUUGUCAAGCUUGCAGAACGGUCUCUCGCAUUGAAGAAAAAAUCUACUUCAGCCAAGCCUAGGCCUGUGGUGGUGAGAUUGGAUGAAGGAGAUGAAUUGCCUGUUACAAGGAAGAAACCUCAGUUGAACGACGAACAGCUAUCCGAUGCAGUUCGCGAUGUUCUUGUGGGUAGUGAUGCGAGGCCUACUUCCUCGCAAACAAACCAAUCUUCCAAACCUUCUGGCAGGAGAAAAGGAAAGGAGAAACAGAAUGCUGAUAAUCUUUUGGAAUCAAAAGAAAACUUGGGCAAUGUCGAAGAGCAAUCCUCCAACAUGGUAGAUACAAGUUUGAGAAGAACACAUCGACAUCAUGAAAAAGAUGCCAAACAAGAAAGUCCGGAAAAGAACAGUGAGAAAAAGGAUCAAACUCAUAAAAAAGGCAAACGAACAAGUAGUCAGCGGCAUGGUAGACAUAAAGCUAAACAAAGUGGGGAUACUUCAUUACCUGUGGCUUCACAGACAGUUAUACCCGAUUUCCUUUUAUAGCUUGAAAAACCUGAAUCAGAUUUGCUGCAGAACAUUCUGACGUAAUGGCCAGUUUGAUUUCCAAAUUCUCAUGUGCCAUGGUUAGUUCUGCUGUGAAAAUUUGUUGAUUUUUUUGAUGUACGUUUGGGGGUGCUUUUAGAUUCAUAUGUUCCAGAAUAGAUGUCCAUUUUAGAAACAGAGUUUCAUAUUUGGGAUUGUCUGGUUUCUGGUAUUGAUAUGAAGCAUUUUUUCUUGAAAAUUUGUGUAUAAUAUAUAUUGUAGUGGUUGAUCCAAAUUUAAGUCAAGUAUGGGCAAUUUUGAGCUGGAUAGAUUUAGUUAAUGGCAGACGUUGCUGGAUAGAUUUGAACUUCUUAAAUAUUAAAAGCAAAACAUCACUCCUUAGAAACAAAGGUAUUUAUACUAAAAACAUGUUAGUAUUGUCUGUUUUGCCUUUUCUUUUGAGUACUAGGAAAGAGACCAAAAGAGAGAAUAAAUUGCUUCAACUUUCCCGAGUUGAGAGCUACCAAUAAAGCAAAAGGAGGAACGUGGUGAAACCUUAAAACGAUGGAAGUGUGUUAAUGAAGGGUUUAAAGUCAACCACUUGGAAAUGGCAAAUCCAAUGGGAAGGAAGACUUUUAGAGAGCUAUUAUCAAAGUUAAUCUCGCACAAAUACUCACUAAUCAUAUAUCAUAAUAUUUAACUCGUUGCUUAAUGGAUCUGAUAGCUUUAAUUUUAGCUAAUUAUUAGUUUAACUAAUCGUAUAUCACAAACAUGUUCACAUUUUCAUAUGGGAGGAUGUUUUUGCAUGCUUGAUAUGCCCUUCUUGAACAAAGCGAACAGAGAAGACUUUGGAGUGGAGAUCACAUGAUUUCUUACUAACUUUCGGUUCAAGUUACUUUUUUUUCACUACUCAUUCUACUCUCUUCUCUCAAAUCUUCUUCAUAAUCUUCUUCUUCAUCUUCUUCUUCUGGUCAAAAGCCAUAACCAAAAUGGCUAAUGAUCCGCUGAAGCAUUCUCCAUCUCAGUUUUCCCAAAUCUUCCAUGUGUUCUUCUUACUUGUUGGUUUCUCCAUUGGAAUGGCUGUCAGUUUGAACCUCAAGAGCUUCUCAUCAUUCAACAUCCAGCUCCCCAACUUUUCCUUACCAUCUUCACCAUCAACAACACUAGUGUUUAUCAGACAACAACAACCACCUCCGGCCUCAUCGUCACCGCCACCACUUCAACCGCCAUCUCCUUCAGUUGACUCCUCCGAAAUGAAUAGUUUUUUUGAGGUGAACGUAGAGCCGCCUCUAAUGCAUAGAAUGAGUGAUGACGAGGUGUUUUGGAGAGCAUCCAUGGUUCCAAUGAUCAAAGAAUUUCCAUACGAACGUGUGCCAAAAAUUGCUUUCAUGUUCCUGAUAAAAGGGUCAUUGCCUUUAGCUCCUUUGUGGGAAAUGUUCUUCAAAGGACACGAACACCUGUUCUCAAUUUAUGUGCAUACUCAUCCAUUGUAUAAUGUUUCUUCUUCUCUGCCUCCAAACUCUGUCUUCUAUGGAAGAAGAAUCCCAAGCCAGGUGAGGUUAAAGCCUUUCUUUUCUAAUUAAAUUACGACUUGUUGUUUCUGUUUUACGUAUACUUUCGAAUUAAAUCACAACAAAUUGGUGUUUUUUUACCUAAAAAAUUUAUAUAUAUUUGGUUUAAGUUGAGAUGUUUCAACCUUGAUUUAAAAUAUAUGUUUAUGUUAUUGAAACAUUGGUACUAAAAAACGAUUAUAAAGUUUUCAAAUAUUUAUAUAAUCUAGGAAUUUUGAUUGAUGACAAUGGUUGUUUAGUGAAAGAAAACAGACUUACAAUAAUGAGAAGAGAACACUACUAAUUUAUGCUUUCUUAUACUAAUUUUUUAGAUAUACAUUCACUUAUAAGUUUUAAGAAACUUUGGGAUGAUUUGAAUGAACAUAGGCAGUGCAAUGGGGGAGACCUUCCAUGAUCGACGCCGAGCGUCGCCUUCUAGCAAACGCCCUUCUCGACUUCUCUAAUGAAAGAUUCAUCCUCCUCUCAGAAACGUGCAUUCCUCUCUACAACUUCACCACCAUCUAUAACUACCUCAUUAAUUCGCAAUACACCUUCGUUUCUUCCUACGACGAUCCCCGAAAAAUAGGUCGUGGUCGAUACAACCCCCGGAUGUUUCCAGUCAUAUCGAUCGCCGAUUGGCGAAAAGGAUCGCAGUGGAUUGAAGUUGAUCGAAGGGUGGCCAUCGAGAUAAUCUCCGACUCAACAUAUUACCCUGUUUUCAGGGAGCACUGUGGGCCGCCAUGUUACAUGGACGAGCAUUACAUUCCUACAUUGGUUAAUAUUGUUUUGCCAGACCGGAACUCCAACCGAACCGUUACUUGGGUUGACUGGUCCAAAAAUGGUCCGCACCCUGGCAGAUUUGGGAGACGGGAGAUCUCGGUCGAGCUUUUGAACCGGGUUCGGUUUGGUUUUAAUUGUAGUUAUAAUGAUGGAAACGAGACCGUUUCACUAUGCUUUUUGUUUGCUCGGAAAUUCAUGCCCGAUUCUUUACAGCCUCUGCUCAAGAUUUGGCCGUCGCUAUUGCAAGGUUUGAUUUAAGCUUUAAAUAUAAUGUUUGGUAUAUUAUGAAAAAUGAUUCAAUUCUUUUUACACAAAUUGAUGUAAUCUUGAUUUGAAUUAUAUUAUACGAAACGAUUUAAUGAGGUGAGAUUCACAAAAGUUUUAAUUUCCUUUGGACAUUUUUAUUUGGAUCUCAUGAAUUUAAUGAGACCAUUAAUUUGGGUGAAUUUAGGUAGAUCCUAUGCUAAUGAAUCAUAUUAUUUAAAUAAGCUAGAAGGUAAAACUUGUAUAUACUUUUAUGAAGUACCAUAUAAAUUACAUUUCUAUGGACAUAUGUUACCUAUUUUCACGUUUUUGUAAGUUUGAUAUCUAAACAAUUAGAAAUUAAAAAGUGCCACAAAUCUAAAUAUCAUAUAACUUGUUUAGGGUUAAGAUUCACAAAUUUUAAGACGAGAUCAAAAGACUUCUUACUCAUAUAAAAGCAACCAAUAUCAUGUUGUCAACCUCUCAACUAAGAGGUCACGGUUAGUUUUCAAUCUAUUGUGGUUAUAUACCUUAAAAUUAAUUUUCUUCAAGUUUUAUUGAUAUACACUUAAAUACUUAAAUGUUGUAGGAUCCGAUGAAUUGUUCGUGAGAUCAUUAGUCGAUGUAUAUAUAAAAUGACUUACAAAACUAUUAGGUACUACAAAAAUAUAUAAACUAAAAAAUUAUGUCUACAAGCUGCCUGCAAAAUAAUAAUAAUGAUGAUGAAAGUAAACUACGUGUUGACACAAAUUAAUACUCCACCAUAUGUUACUCAAUCCUCCAUAUGAAAAAAGCUAAAUGCCUCCAAUUGCAAUUUCUUAUUUAAAAUUGAUUUGGUUGGUAUAUUAAAACAAAGUUAAAUCUAAAUGGUGUCAUAGAUGUGAAGCUCGACACAAUUACAAAUGUUGAAAUCUCAAUUUUAUAAAAAUGUUAAUUGACAUGUCUAUAAAUGUUAUUGACGAGAUGUGAAUAUCAAUAAAUUCUAUUUACGAGAAGUUCAUGUGAAUAAAAACGGUGAACUUAUAGAAUAAUAAUACAGUAAUAUUAAUAACACAUACAUCACUAAAUUAUUGUAGUAAAUUAGGAAAAAAAGGGUAAGAAUAUGGGAAAGAUAUAUGAUAUAUGGAAUGUGACUAUACGUAUAAUACAUAUGAUUAUUGAUUACGAAAAGAUUGAGUGAGAGCAUAUAAUAAACAGAUCCUUAAUUCAACACCUUUGUAUCUUAAAAAAGUAAUUCAACUUUAUUUUUUAAUAAUCAGAUCAUGAGUUUAUACUAUUUAACAUUUUAUUAUUUGAAGUACGUGCAACUUAGUUGGCCUCAACACACAAAUAUUCCUAACUAUAUACAUAUACACAAAGAUUAUUCAUGAAAUAACAUAAGCUCGCUAUUUAUUCUUUGAGACUUAAUCAAUUACAAUAAUUAAAAUUAAUUGUUGUCUUGUGUAAGUGAAACUUCAAAUAAUCAAAAAAUCAGAAAAGAUAAAAGUAAGAUAAUAAAGAUAUGAUCGAUCAUGUAGAUUUUGGUUCAAAUGAAGUCCAAAUGCUGUAUAUGUUCUUACUAUCGUGUGAAAAUUUUAUGCAUUUUGACUGUUCAUAUUUUGACGUAAACCAUUGUAAUUAAUAUCAGUGUUCAACUACAAAACAAGAUAUAGGAAUAUUACUGUGUUUCAUAAACACUUUGAUUAAUAAUGUUGGUGUAGCAGUAUUAAGUUGUCAAUAUCCAACCAAAAUUCCAACCCUUGAUAGUGGCCGCCACCUUCUUUUUUCUUCCACCAUUAUAUUGCAUUAAAAAGUGGAGUUAUAACGAACUAAUAAAUCCACACUAAUUAAUCAAUUAAUCAAUCCCCAGAAGAAGAAGAAAAAAGUAUAUAGACGAUUUUAUUUUGCUGUUAAUUCCCCCAGCAACGGCCGCUGCACAUGGCGGAGCCGACGGCGAAGGUUCUUCAGGGCGUUCAGUUUCAUCAACUCAGUAGCCUUAUAUCUCACUUUCUUGUGUUCGGGUUAGGAUUGGUUAUUGGGAUUACUUUUAAUUUCUCGAUUAGGGGUCGUUUAGUUUCUUCCAGUAAUUUUGAGCUGAUACAGUGGCCGGUUACUGCACCGCAACCGCCACCGGUGGUGGUGGGGAUGAGAGAAUUUAGGAGCUCAAAAAGUUUGGGGAAAGAGAUGAGUAGUAGUAGCGAGGGGGAUGAGUUGGUUCACCGGAUGAGAGGGUUACCGGCGGUGAAGGGAAGUAGGGGGAAGGUGGCAUUCAUGUUUUUAACGAGAGGGGAUUUGCCAUUGAGGCCAUUUUGGGAAAGGUUUUUCAAUGGAAAUGAAGGUUUAUACUCAAUUUAUGUGCAUUCUCGUCCUUCUUUCAAUGCAACUUUCCCAUUAAAUUCUGUGUUUUAUGGACGUAACAUUCCUAGCAAGGUUAGUAAGUAAAACCCCUUUCCUACUUUUUUCUCUUUUUCUCUUUUCUUCAUUCAUCAUUCUUAGUUCACCUCUCUGCCUUCCACCUAUGUCCAUGCAUGCAUCCUCUUUAAUAACAAGAUAUGAUUUGAAAACUUCUUUACAAACAUAUAGUUGCAACUUUGAGAAUCUCUAAAUGUUUAUUUAUAAAGUUUUGAGAUUAAAAUGUUGAUGUGUUGAUGAAGAUAUACGGAGGCCUUAAUUUUACAAAAAUGAUGAUAAAAUAUCGGGAUGUUAAAUACAUGUUUUAAAAGAAAAAAGCUAUAUACUUUUUACAAGUUUUUUUUUGUUAUAUUUUAUAAAUAGUUUUGUUAUUUUUUUUUUGUCACCCACAAUAAUUUCUUUAAAAUGUAUUAAAAGGUUAAUUAUAUACCUUAAAUUAAUUCACAUAUUUUGUUGGCUUUUUUUUUCAAUGUUUUUAUAGCUUUUUCGAUAGAAUGUAAAUAUCUUUUAUCUUUUAUGAUGUUGUUGAAUUCAUGAAAAUGUAAAAGUAUUCACAUAUGACCAAAAGAAAAUAGACAAAUGAGUAACAUAAUUUUGAAGAGAAUUGUUUUCGAAAUUAUAUAUACAUCAUUUAAAAUUUGUUUAAAUGAUAAAACUGUAGAAGAUAUUUUAUGAAUAUAAUAAAAUUUGAUAGUCUAUAUAGUAGACAACACACAUCUAUCGGUGAUAAAUGAUAAAGAGUUCCAAUAUAUUUUAUGAAAAAAAUUCAUAAUAAUUUGAGUAUUCUACUUUUUUUAUUUUUUUUUUUAUUUUUAGGAUAGAGUGAUUUAUAGCAACAUUUUAAUUUGAAUUUUGAAACAACACAAAUAGAAUUAAAAGUGGUUCUAAAAUUCUUUUUUUUUUAAUUCUAAAAAUAAAUUAAAUAAACAAGUAAUAAUGCAAGACAUUAAACAUUGAUUAAAAAUGUUAAUAGGAACAUAAAUCAACUAGAUUAUGUUAUGCAUAUGAGAUAAAACAACUAAAAUUAAACAAAAACAAAAGAUUAGAAAAUGUUACCUCACAUAUUAUUAUCUUAUAAGGUAAGAUCAAAAUCCUCACCUCUGCAUAUCAUUAAUUACUGUAUUUGAAUAAAGAAAGUUGCUACAAUGGGAAGAAAACUUCAAAAACCCUAUAUUGUCCAUGUAAUUAUUUCUAAUAUAUAUAUGCCAACUUUGAUGUUGAUAUUGACUAUAUAUAUAUAUAUAUAUAUUAAGGUUUUCAUACAGAAAUUAAUCUCACUACAACGUCGUAGUAUGUAUAUAUAAUGUAAGAAGAUUUGAAGUCAAAAUCAAUCCUUGGGAAUAUUAUGAGACGAAAGCAACUGAUGACAUAUGUGUUAGUUGUUGUCUUUUUAAUGAACUUAACUGUAAUAAACAGAUAGUAUAUAUAAAUUUGACAGGUAGUAGUUGAGUGGGGGCAGCCAAGCAUGAUUGAAGCGGAGCGACGGCUGUUAGCCAACGCUCUUCUCGACAUCUCCAACCAACGAUUUCUCCUUCUUUCCGAGUCUUGCAUUCCCGUCUUCAAUUUCACCACCGUCUACACUUAUCUAAUGGGGUCAGCUCAAAUCUUCGUCGACUCCUAUGACUUACCUGGCCGUUUGGGCAGAAACCGGUACAGGUCCGAAAUGCAGCCCACAAUCCUUGAGACCCAAUGGAGGAAAGGGUCGCAGUGGUUCGAAAUGGACCGACGGACGGCGACGGAGGUGGUGGAGGACCGGAAGUACUUCCCAGUGUUCCAAAAGUACUGCCACCCGGGUUGCAUUUCGGAUGAGCAUUAUUUGGCGACGAUGGUGAGUAUAGAGUUUGGGGAAAGGAAUUCGAACCGAACGCUAACUUGGACGGAUUGGUCGAAGCAUGGACCUCACCCGACUGGGUUCGGGAGCGAGAAUGUGACGGUUGGGCUUUUGGAAAGGAUACGGGACGGCAGCACGUGCGAAUAUAAUGGAGAAAGAAGUAGAAUUUGUUAUUUGUUUGCGAGAAAGUUCAUGGGAAGUGCUUUGAAUGGGCUGAUGGAAAUUGCUUCUCAAGUUAUGUUCAUCCAUUGAAUUAUCACUUCCCUUCCUUCACUUGUAAUGUAAAUCAUUUUUCAGUUUUAGGCCAUUAUACUGUAUAACUAUAUAUAUCCUACAAAUACCUUCAAAUGAUCUAAUUAAUUAUCAUUUUCUAGAUGGAUGAUUAGGGUUUCUAUAUUGUAGAUUUCUUUUUGUUUCCUUAUUGAAUGAUUAGAUUUUAAUAACUUAGACGAUGACGAUUAUCGAUAAUUCAAUCUCUUGAGACAAAAAAGAAAAUUAUUAUCUUUCAUUUUUAUAUUUAUAACUAUUUAGAAUCAUCAUCUAUCUUAAUAUUUAAGAUUUGGGUUAAGUAUAAUAAUUAUUUGGAUUUCAUUUGGUAAAGUUACGUUCUAAAACACUUCUAAAUUAAUUUAAACGUUUUCGUUUUCGUAAAAAACAAAAAUGUUUGUAAAAAAACCAUUGAUCACCAAUAUGACUUUUUCUUUUAAAAAAUGAGAGGUAGGAUAUUUAUUUCCACAGUUAUAUAUUAAAAGAAAUCAUUGUAGGUUGACCCAUAUUGAUUAAAUUAUUGACUUGGAAAAUGAUGAUAAAUAAUAAUGUAUAUGGCAAAAUGCUUUGAAUUGAUGGGCGGCUGGGAAAUUGCUUCUUAACCUAUCUUCAUCCAUUGACUUAGACUUUUCAUUGACUUGUAUUGAUAUUUCAAGUCCAUAUCAGACCAUUACUAAAGUUCUAAAACACUUCUAAAUUAAAUCUAUCUAUUAUUAAGCAGUUAAUUUAAUACGUAUUAAACAUCGAUACAAUAACUUGAUAUAGAUUUUACAAUUAUUAAACUAAAAUAAAUGUCGCAAACACAUAUUAUACUUAAGGAAAAAAACACUUAUUUUCUGUUCAAUUUUGAAAUUACAAAAACUAUUUUUAGUUUUUGAAUUUACUAAGUAAAUGAAUAGUUAUAAGAAAAUCAUAACAAGUGCAUUUUCUAACCCUCACAUAGGUAUCCAAAAGAAACUUAUAACUUUUAUGGUAUUUUCUUGCCAUAUUUAGGUUUUGUGAACCUUCAACCAAGUUUUGUUAGUAAUUGAUGAUUUUUGGGUUUACAAACUUAUUUGAGCCCUUUGCUUUUCUUUUUAUAUUAUUUUUAAAUAAAAAACCUUUAAGAAGUUAGGUCUAGAGAUUCUUAAGUUUGAAAACUUCCCAUAACAAUUUGCUAUAUAUGAACUCGACUCUGAUGCCUAAAUUAAUCGUAGAAAUUAGACCCUAGAACAAUAAAAUUGAAUACUCAAAUUUAGCUUAUAUAAUCAGUCCAAUUUAUAUAAUUAUGUAAACUUGAAUAAAGUUCGAGCUCUUAAUAAAAAGUGUGAAAACCACGUUCUGGAACGUAAGAGUUGAGAAGAAAGCGGUAAAUGUUAAGUAUAAUUGUUAGGCAUUGAAGACCGUAUGGGUUUUAGCUAGUGACAACCUUCUUAAAAUGAUUAUCCAUAUUUGUAUCCCUUUUGGAGUUUGACCUUGCAUCUAUUGUUGGGGUGAAAAUUAUGGUGUGAGGAAGAGGAUGUGAACGGUCAGAAAGUAGAACACAUGCUACCACUAAGCCUACAGUGGAUUCGGCUGCUCAUUUGUUGAACCCAGGCACUAGGAGAGAAUAGUAGAAGAAGAGUUGAAUGAAUUGAGAGGUUAAUUCAAAGGUUGAUAGAGGGAUUGACAGUGCAUCGAAAGAAGAAGUUUGGAUAAUAGAAAGAUUAAAGGGUUUAGGAGCAGAAGAGGUUGCUGGAACACAGUUUGUCCAGAAGAAGCAGAGAAGUAGUUGAAGAAAAUAGAAAAAGUGUUUCAGAGUGAUGUGAUGUCCCUGAAGAUAAAAAAUGGUGGACUUAGCCACAUUUCUACUUCAAGACCAGCAGAAAACUGGUGGAUGUUAUUUGAAAGAGCAAAAGCAUGGAAAGUUAAGUUAGGACAGAUUCAUGGAAACAUUCAAUGAAAAGUUUCACACGAAAACCUACUGUAACUAAGGAGAAACGAGAGGAAUUUCUGCAUUUGAUGCAAGGCCAAGAUGAGAGUGACAGAAUAUGAAAAGAAAUGUACACAGAGUUGGCAAAGCAUGCGUUGACGAUAGUGGACUCAGAGAAGGAGAGAUAUAUGUAGGCGUCUUGAGAAAAGGUCUCAAGCAGGAAAUAACAGGCCAGUAGCGCCAACUGCUGCUUGUAUGAUGUAAAUUCUCAAAGUUGGUAGAGGCAGCGUUGCGAGUAGAGAAGGGAUAUCAGUGUGAGGAAGGGUCCACAUUUAAAGAUGGGUCAAAAGAAUAGUCUUAAAGUAAGUUAGUAAGUUUAAGUAUAAGUGAGAGAGACAUUGAUUUAUAGGGACGUGUGGGACUCAGUGUUUUUUAAAAUAUUCCUAAGAACUUCCACACUGUUACCGACUAAUUCCCCACACAAUCAUCUCUCUAUUUCUCUACCAAAGACAAACUCAAUAUAUAUUGAAAGACCGAGUAAAUCAACCUGUCUUUUUCAUUAAACAGAGAGGGGAAAAAAAAGCACAAUGUCUUUUUUAUUCCAAAAUUGCUUUUAGUUCUUUCUUGCUUUCUUCUUUUGACUUCUAUUAUUCUAACCUUUAUCAUAUCUAAUCUUUGGAGAAAAAAGAAAAAUCAAUUUUGAUCUAAUUCUUCCAAUUCAGACUUCAAAUUUUCUUACAUUUCAUCCCACUUCCCAUUCCAAUUUAAAUAUAAAGUGUUUUCCAUUUUCAUCACUUUUUGAUUCGACACUUCCUUUUUCUUUCUAGAAAAAUGAUUCUAAUAUUUUAUUAUUAUUUUAUCUAUAAACACACAACUUUACUAAAUAUUUAUUUUCAUUAAUUACUUUAAUAAAUUUCUAAAUGCAAUCAAGUAUUAAAGUUUUUGUUAGAUUUAAAAUGGUAUAUAGUGAUUUAGAAUCAAAUUUCUACCAUAUAUUUUCACUUGUGAUACAUUCAUUGUAUUUCUAGACCCUAGUAAGUGUUGAAUGAUGUGAUAUAAAAUUUGACUAUACCAUUGACUUAAACUUUCUUUUUUUUCAUUAACGAUUUAAAUCAUCGUUUAGAAAAGAAAUAAUAAGAACUUAGUACAUUAUUAUCAUUCAACAAUUUGGUGGCACUUUCUUUUAUACAAAAUGCAUAUAAAUAUUUGUCUUUAUUAUAUAUAUAUAUAACAUAAUUUCAACCAUGGAAGAAAAAAAGAAGACUGUUUUUGGGUUGAUGGAGCUUACGUGGGAUUUCAGUGAUAUUCUGAACUUACGUCUCUGUUGUUUUCUCAUUUGGCUACGUGUAGUUCAGGCUUGUGUGGUAAUAAGUUCCCAAUUGAUCAUCCAAAGAAGCUAUAUAUGAACAAAAAAGUAAACUAAUAUCUCAAAAGAAAAAAAUGUGGCUCUCUCUUUAAUUAUAAUUUAUUGAAUUAUCAUAUUUAUAAUUGCUUAAUUUAUGCAGGAGUGGCUCUCUUUCUUAUGCAUGGUUUUGCAGAAGGUUUUGGAGGAUAUGGAGAUCAGUCCUCAAAUUUUCAUAUAGGUUUUUCCCUUGUUUUCUUUGUUCUCACGACAUAACGCUCUCUAUCCUCUCCAUUUACACGGACGGGGCGGGGGGGUGCACUGACCAACGGUUUGGCGGCUGCCUCCUCCUCUCCACACAGCAGCAGGCGGCACCGAAAACUGAUAUAUAGAAGGGUGGCGAGUGGGCUGAAAACUGGAAAAUCUGCCGUUAUUAUACAUUAACUUUUUGGUAGAUUUAUGUAACUGCAAAGCUAGGGGCUUAGGGUCUGAACACUGG